Molecule: long non-coding RNA, 116547 nt
Filed under: Populus trichocarpa (black cottonwood)
Lineage: Eukaryota; Viridiplantae; Streptophyta; Magnoliopsida; Malpighiales; Salicaceae
Description: long non-coding RNA (PTRI_LNC004393)
Source: RNAcentral
UUUGGUUGGCCAUAACCCCAUGGAUGCCAAUAAUUGGAGGCCCACUGCCCCAGGCGGAGAACCUGUCAUUGACACGGGUGAUUGGAGAAUUCAAUUGCAGCCUGACUCACGGAAAAGAAUAGUCGACAAAAUGUAAGUAUGUGUUUCCUAAUAUGUGCAAGUGCUGCAAAAUAGUAAAUUUUUUAUUUAUAUGAAAGAAAAGUAGAAGGGCAAAAGGUUAAUUAAAAUUAGCUGGACUGCCAUGAGGCAACCUCAAGUAUCACACACUCUUUUUUUUGUUUUUUUUUUUCAUCUUUUCAUGUGUUUCUCACAAGAAGCGAACUUGAGGGAACGUAAAGUGCUGGGAAGAGUUGAGAAUAAUUGGGAGGCUUAACCUAAUGGUUAGUCAACCUUUUCUAUAUAUAUAGGUAGGGCAAUAUACAAUAGUAAUGGUGGAGGUUACCACACAAGAGUAUGUCUACAAUAUUUCCUAUAUACAAUAUUUCCUAUAUAAGUACAUUCUAUAAUAUGCCCCCUCAAGCUGAGGGUGGAGGAUCAACCCGAAGCUUGAAACAAAAAGCAGUAAACGAAGAAGUAGGAAGUGGCUUAGUGAAGACAUCGGCAAGUUGAUCCUGGGAGGAAAUAAAACGAAUCUGAAUCUCCUUCUUUGCAACUCUAUCUCGAACAAAAUGAUAAUCGACCUCAACAUGUUUUGUGCGAGCAUGAAAAACAGGAUUCACAGACAAAUAAGUGGCACCAAGGUUGUCACACCAGAUAAUAGGAGCAGAAGUAGACGGAAUCUGGAGAUCUAUUAAUAAAUACUGAAGCCAGAUAACCUCAGCAGUGCCAUCAGCUAAGGCUUUGUACUCAACCUCAGUAGAAGAGUGAGCAACUGUGCGUUGCUUACCGGAUUUCCAUGAAAUCGGCGUCUGACCAAAAAACACAAGGUAACCACCCGUAGAUUUUCUGUUCUCAACACUGCCUGCCCAAUCUGCAUCUGUAAAACCAUGUAAGGCAAAAGAAGAACUGCGAGUAAUAUGUAAGCCAUGUGAUGUCAUACCCUGAAGAUAACGCAAGAUGCGUUUCACGGCAGCCCAAUGAGAAUCUGUAGAAGCAUGCAUAAACUGACAGACUCUGUUAACAGCAAAGCAAAUAUCUGGACGCAUAAAAGUGAGAUACUGAAGAGCACCCACAAUUUGACGAAAGCAGGUAGCAUCAGAAAACAAUGGAUCGGGUAAAAUGGUAGCUUUGGAUGUAGAGAUAGGGGUAUCAGCAGGUUUGCAAGAUAACAUACCAGCCCGAGUGAGAAUGUCAAGUAUAUAUUUAUGCUGGCGGAGCAUAAGAACCAUACUAGUAGACUGAACCUCAAUACCCAAAAAGUAAUGAACAGAACCCAAGUCGCGAAGCUUGAAUUCUGAGCUCAGUAGCUGAAUGAGGCGUUGGAGCAGAAGAGAGUUACUACCCGUAAGCAGAAUAUCAUCAACAUAGACCAGAAGAUAACAAAUAUCAACACCAACAGAGAAUAUAAAUAAUGAGGUAUCCACCUUAGAGGCACGGAAACCAAUAGAUAACAGGAAAUCAUUUAGACGAGUGUACCAAGCCUGCGAAGCCUGUUUUAAACCAUAUAGAGAUUUAUGCAAUCGGCACACAUGAGAGGGGAGAGCAGAAUCAACAAAACCUGGAGGUUGUUUCAUGUAGACCUCCUCAUCAAGAACACCAUUGAGGAAGGCAUUAUGGAUGUCAAGCUGAUGAAUUUUCCAACCACACGAAACUGCAAUGGAGAAGACUAAUCUGACGGUCGCCUGUUUGAUGACCGGACUAAAGGUUUCAGAGUAAUCAAUACCUUCUUGCUGAGUGAAACCUCUAGCAACCAGACGCGCCUUAUACCUCUCGAUGCUGCCAUCAAAUCUGCGUUUAAUCUUGUAUACCCACCGACUACCAAUAACAUUCAUGGAGGGAUGAAACGACACUAAGGUCCAAGUUCUGUUUGCGUGUAAGGCUUGAAUUUCCUCACGCAUAGCACUAUGCCACGCCUCAUAUCUGUUAGCAUCAUUAAAAACAAGUGGCUCAUGAGAGGGAGGAGAAACUACCCGGCUGAAGGAGACAGCAGAGGCUGCGGUAGUGGUUGUGGACAGCGCUGUCUUGGGCUGCCUUGGACGAAGAACCAUGGGAUGUUGACGAGCAGCUAGGCAUGGAGAAGUGUGACCUGUACCUGGAAGAGGCUGAAGAGGAUAUGAGGAGAGGUCUACACAGAGCUGUAGACCAGCUGGAGAAGCAGUGGAGGGACUGGUCGGCACUGCAGACACUGGUGAGGCUGCUGCAGAACUGGGAUGAGCUGAUGCAGAACCGGGCUGCUCUGUUGCAGCAGACCUGAGAAUAUGCACAUCCGGUGAUGGAGAACCUGUACCUGCACAAUGAUCAUUGGAAAGACAAGCAUAUGGUGACAAUAUGGUAGUGUGGGAUGGUGAUGAAGGGGUGGCAGAAUCAAUGGGCAAAGGGGUAGUCUGGUGGGGUGCGGCAGAGGGCAGAAUUGGGUUGUGGUUGGGGCCGGUUUGGUAAGUAGUAGGCUGAAAGGAUGGAGGAGGGUGCAAGGAUGGAAGAUAGGUAGGUGGGGUGGGAGGUACUGGUGAGGAUGUUACCUGUUCAAACUUCGCAAAAGGAAAGACAUUUUCAUGAAAACGAACAUGAUGGGAGACAUAAAUAUGAGCAGACUCUAAGUCAAGACAACGAUAACCAAGAUGAGAUGAGCUAUAACCUAAAAACACACAAGGAGAAGACCGAAAAUCUAAUUUAUGAGCAUGAUAUGGACGCAAAAAGGGAAAAAAGACACCCAAAAGUACGUAGGAAGUUAUAAUCAGGAGUGCGUCGAAACAGACACUCAAAUGGAGAUGUAUUUUGGAGAACAAGAGUAGGCAUGCGAUUAAUAAGGUAGACCGAUGAUUCAAAAGCAUAGUUCCAAAAUCGCAAUGGGGCAUUACACUGGCCUAAAAGGGUUAGGCCAGUUUCGACAAUAUGUCGUUGACGACGUUCAACAGUGCCAUUUUGUUCAUGAGUAUGAGGACAAAUUAACCGAUGAUGAAUACCAAUGGUCUGAAAAAAUUUAUUUAAUUUACGAUAUUCACCGCCCCAAUCAGUUUGACCAGAUUUAAUUUUAAGAGAAAACUGACGCUCAACAAGUGUUUGAAAACGUUGAAAAGUGGAAAAAACAUCAGAUUUCGCAACAAGCGGAUAAUACCAUAUAUGUUUGGUAUGCGCAUCGACAAAAAAUAACAAAAUAGCGGAAGCCAUCAGAAGAAAACAUAGGGGCAGGACCCCAAACAUCACUAAAAAUUAAUUCAAGUUGGGCAGAAGUUUUGUGACCCGUAGGUCGUAAUGACAAACGGGAUGACUUUCCGAAAGGACAAGCUUGACACUGAGUAAGAGAAUGUCUAGAAGUACAUACGAUUUUAUUGCUGGAAACUAACAAAUUGAAAAUGCGAGGGGUUGGAUGACCCAAACGACGAUGCCACAGGUCGGCAGUCGCGGAGAUGCAAGGAGACCAAAAAGCUUGAGGAACUGACGUGGCAGAAGACUCGGAGAGGACAUAAAGGCCAUCAUGACUCUGACCGGAAAGGAGAACUUCCUUGGUGAUGAGAUCCUUCACAUAAAACAUAGAAGCGUGAAAUUCAAAAUAAACAUGAUUAUCACGACAGAAUUUUUGAACAGAUAACAACGGUUUGGUAAUGUGAGGCACAUGGAGAACAUUAGAUAAUGUAAACAUGCGUUUUGGGGAAUGUAAUUUAGUAUGUUCAAUAUGGGAUAUGUCAAGGCCCUUACUGUCACCAGCAUGCAAAUAAUCAUUACCAAGAUAGGGUGCAGAAUCGAUCAGAGUUCCAAGAUCAGGUGUGACGUGUUGAUUUGCGCCGGUGUCGGGGAACCAAGUCGCAACAGAGAUAUUCCCAACAGCAAGAUGAGCAGAAGGCUACAGAGAGCUGCUACGAAACUAGGAACAAUGGGGAGUUGUGUGCCCAAAACUGGAGCACAAUUGGCAGCAUACAUGCUGCUGUCCAGACCACUGCCCAGCACUGGAAUUGCGCCUGGUUUGCUGUCAGUGGUUUGGUCGCCAAUCUGCCGCAGAUUGGCCCCUGUUCUGGGGAGUGGAACGGUUGUUGUGGGGAUGCCAAUUACCUCUAGAGCGACCCCUGUUGCGGCUGAAAUUGGGGCUGUGAUGAGACAUAGCAUGGUGUGCAGAAAAAUGUGGUGUUGGCAGCAGAGGUGGCUGCUGUGGCAGAGAAGAAGAAGACAGCAGAGAAGGAGCGGCAGCCAUGGAAUGGAAAGAGUUCUUGUGCAGAAAUUCAUGGGUAAGAAGGUGGCUGUGAAGAUCAGCAUAGGAUAGCGGUUCUGUCUUGGUUAUGAGACUCGUUACCAAGUCUUUGAACUCACCACGAAGGCCACGAAACACAUAAAGAUUGAAAUCUUCAAGAGACAUGGGGCGACCAGCAGCAGCCAAUUCGUCAAAUAACAAUUUGGCUUGUUGCAUGUAUAGACUAACCGAUGAGUCACCUUGCCGAAGGUCUUGAAAGGAGCCAUGGAGUUGCAUGGUGCGAGAAUUAGACGGAGAGGCAAGCACUUUCUCAAGAAUGCGCCAAACACAAUGCGAAGUAGAACAAUCUACCACGAGAUGCAACAAAUCCACGGAGAGAGAGGAGAGCAAAGCCCUCAAAAUAAGUUGAUCCUGUUGCUUCCAACGAAGAAAAGAAGGGCUGAUGAUGGCGGAAGAACCAGCAAAGCUGUCAAAAAUAUGAGAUGGAGGACACGGCACGGAACCGUCAACAAAGUGAAAAACACCUUGACCAAGGAGAUAUGGCUUCAUCUGCAUUCUCCAAUAGAGAUAAUUUGUGUUCGUAAGUUUUAGCGAAACAACUUGGUGAGUUUCGCUAAAGGAACAAUAGCUGUAGCGUGAGUUCCCAUGAGAGGUAAAGGAACGGCAGGGACUUGGGAGGAAGAAUCAGAGACAAGCUCUACAGGUGGAGGCUGCUGUGGAGAAGAAAGGGCACUAGCGGCAGCAGCUUGGGGAGGGCUGGCCGGCUGUGCUGCACUACCUGUGGAGAGGGAGAAGUCGGCGGCAGCAGUAGAAUCCAUGUAGAGAAAGUAAAGAGAGGGCCGGCUGCAAAGGGAGGAAGGGAGAAAAGAGUUCUGACGGCAGAAGGCUCUGAUACCAAGUUGAGAAUAAUUGGGAGGCUUAACCUAAUGGUUAGCCAACCCUUUCUAUAUAUAUAGGUAGGGCAAUAUACAAUAGUAAUGGUAGAGGUUACCACACAAGAGUAUGUCUACAAUAUUUCCUAUAUACAAUAUUUCCUAUAUAAGUACAUUCUAUAGUAGGAAGUAAUUUUUUUUGGAACUUCUUCUGUAAUCUCUUCUUUCAAUGAUGACCUCUUGGAUGGCUGCAUGAAGCUUGUUCUGCUUUAAAUUUCAAGGUUAAUCUAUUGCUAUGAGCAUACGUGUUUCAAUUUAAAACUUGAGUUGCAAAUGAACUUAAAUGAAUGGUGUUGGAUAUGGGCCUUCUAUUUGUUUUAACUUCUACAGGGUUGAAAUGAUAGUGAUCUUAAAGUAGAAAAGCAGCAGACAAAAAUCAAUUAGCCACAAUGGUGUAUGGCUUCCUAGUUUCUCAGCAUAAAGUUGAAUGUUUUGUUGACCUCUCUACAUUCAAAAUCAUAUAGACAGCUACUGCUGGCACUUGCAGUAGCCAAUGAGCACUAUAGAGUAUAUAUUGCAGCGUGAGAUAAGGUUAUCUCAUUGCAUUUUCAUAAAUUAAAGGGAUUUCUCUUCUUUUCUUUGCCAAUUAUAGUGCAUGUAUAAAAGUUUUCUUACUCAGAGUAAAUGCUAUUGUAUUGUUUUCACAGAGUUCCCCUGGUUUGCAACUAAUUCACUUGUAUAUCUUGGAGCAUAGCCAUAAAUGGAAGGUUCUUCCAGUUCAAGAAAAUUAACCAUGAAGCUCAUAACUAGAAUUUUAGACAGAAGGGUGGCCAAGUGAACUCCUAUACCCUGUACCUCUGGAAUAAUACGGGGAAAGGAAGUAAAAAUAGAUAUAUGUAUUCUGAUGCCAUAUAUUACUUGACCGACACUUGGCUAUAUCAUUAUUUGUUUUUACUUUUUGCCAAUGAUUCCGUUGUAUGCAUUUCUGAUAUUGGUGUGGUGUAUGAGUUCACAGUUCUUUCUCACUGCUGCUAACUUCUCUAUACCUGCCUUGUCGUUAAAAAUUAAAUGUAAUGUCUUACAUGUGCAGAAUAGAGAUAUUAAAGAGGCAUCUUCCGUUUUCUGGUCAAGAGGGAUUACAAGAACUCAAGAAAAUUGUUGUACGGUUUGAGGAAAAGAUUUAUACUGCCGCCACCAAUCAGGUAUUCGGCUAAUGUUAGGUUCAAUAAUUUUGAUAUUCUCUAGACAUGAAUAUACACAUGCAUAAGUAUGUGGAUUUAUGCGUGUACACGUGUGUGUAGUGUGUCCACACUUCCUCACUAGUCAUUCUGUAGAAGUUCACAUCUUUUCGUUAGUUCUCUUUACAAGUGUUUUAUUUAGAGUGACCAGGGUCAUUUUCAAGUACAAGGGAAGUGUGCAAAAUGCAAAUAACGAAUCAAUACAUAAAUAAUUAAAUAAAAAGAGAGGACACCGAAGUAUAUGUUAGGAAUCUCGUAAGCUAUAUAUUAGGAAUGGAUAAUCUGAAUACAUUGGCUUUCCUAGUGUAAAACUAAGUCUAUAGGAUGAUAAAUGUAAGGUAGUAAUUGAUUCCUAUUCUAUGGGAAUGACUGUAAAUGCACUUGAAUAAAUAUAUGAUAUGAUCAAUAAUACAAUUCAUUCCAGCAAAUUCUAUUCUCUCUUCAUAGUUUUUCUAUUCUCUCUUCAUAGUUUACAGUAUAUCCUCACAGACAAUGCAAAUACAGAAAGCCUAGUAUAUUAGUAAGAGCAUAUAUCCCUCCUUCCCCUUCUCUUGUAACAUGGACUGCUCAGAGAUCUAAUGUUUUGUUAUUGAUAUCUAAUUUUAGUCUGAUUAUCUGCGUAAAAUAUCUCUGAAAAUGCUUACAAUGGAGACCAGGUCUCAAAAUACCAUACCCACUGGCAAUGGUAAUGCAGCCAAGCAUUGAAUUAAUUCUAAACAUCCUUACCUUUUGUUUUAUAUUGCUAUGUAUAUACCAUGCUUUAAUCAAAACAUAUAAUGCAGGAAUAUCUGCAGAUGGCCAUUCCCAAAGCGAAAACUAAUCUUCCCUAGAAUUACAAGGUGCCAUUUCUACAGUGAGACACUGAACAGUGAAAGAGUGUUUUGUUUUGGUUGUUUUGUUGCUGAUAACUUGAUCUUUUAAAUCUUUUCCCUGUACUUUUACAUUAUGCAAUAAUCUGGUCCCUUCAUUAGUUUUUUGUCGGUCAAAUGUUGAGCUGUCAGCGAUAUUUCCUAAGAUUGUUCCACUAACUUGACGGUAAAAUGUCAUUAAAAACUCAAUUAAUUAUUUAAAAUACUUGAGGGAUUAAUUUGUUUGUUUCACAAAAAACAGACUAAUUAUAUAAAAUAGAAUUUUACUCCAAUUUUCACCAUCAUAUUCGUGAGUGUUUACUUGUAAAUAUUUUGGAAGGAACUGGUUUAUGUUUUGCGCAACAUAAAAAAAGUAGUGGAUUAAUCUUAGAUUCCUCUCAUCUUGACUUCUUAUCUAUAUCAAGUUAAUUUAUCAAGUUUAAAAUUAACUAACGUAAAAAUUAUCCUAACAUAACAUAGUUAAUGUGAUGGGUUCAAAGUUAAUAUUAAUGAAAAUAUAUUAGAUGAAUCUAGAUUUCAUAGUUUAAUUCUUCAAAACCACAACAUGAAUAAUAAUAAAAUACACUACAAGAUUUAACAGUUUUACCGAUGGAAUUUUUCCGUCGGUGUAAGACACAUAUUCCAUCGGUAAUUAUAUUACCGACGGAAUCAAAGACGGAAAUGAUCCGUCGGUGAAUCAUUCGUCGGUAAUGUUUUGUCCGUCGGUAAAUCCGUUGGUAAUAGAAUUACCGACGGAUUUACUGAAGGAACAGACGCGUCGGUAAUAAUUUUUUAUUACCAACGGAAUUACCGAAGGAUUUACCGACGGAAUUACCGACGGAAAUUCCGUCGGUAAUUAUUGAAAAAUAUUUUAAAAAAAAUUCAUUUUAUAAAAUUAUAAAAUAAUUAAAUUAACAUAAAUUAACACUGUAUAAUAUAUACUCAAAAUGCUUGGAAAAAAGAAUAAGAAAAUCAAUUCAAACAAAUUUGCAACAAAUAAAUAAAAUAAAAAAAUAAAUUCAACUAAAAAAAUUCAUAUGAAAAAAAUGAAGUUGCAAUUGCUAAAAAUUUUAAAAUCCUAUAAAUAAAUCUACUAAAAAUUGAUCUCAUAUGAAAAAAAAUCUCACAACAACAUUUAUACAAUUAUUAAGAACAAAAACAAUUAAAAAUAAAAUAAAAAACAAAUAUAGUGAAAAAAAUCAUGAAAAAAGAAGAAAAAAGAAAAAUCUUACCUUAAUGUAGUUGCAAGUGAAGCUAAGGAGAGAAAAAAAAUUUCAUUAAGCAUAUUAAUUAAAAAAAACUAAGAGGAUAAAAGAAGAAAGAAGAAGAUGACAUACCAAAGCAUGGAGGAAAAGAGAAGGAGAUGAGGAGAGAAAAGAAGAGAAAAAAAUAGAUAAGAAAUGAUAUUUUUUACAUAAAGUGAAGAAGAAGAAGAAGAAGAAAUACCUUAAUGAUGUUUUUUACAUAUAGUGAAGAAGAAGUAGAAGUAGAAGAACAAGAAGAAGAAGAAGAAUAAUAAUAAGAAACAGGUUUGUCUCUUGUGAAAUAAGGGCAUUCAGGCUUUUUAUUGGGACGCUUUACCGACGGAUUUACCGACGAAUAAUUAAAUAUUAAUAUUUUUUAAUUAUUCCAUCGGUAAUAUUUAAUUUAAAUUUUUAAUUUCGUAAAAUUUUUUCAGAAACCGCCAAAAAAUUACCGACGAUUUUUCAAUCCGUCGGUGAUUCCGUCUGUAAUAUUUAAAUGAAAAUUUUAAAUUAAUUGAAUUUUUUCAGAAAACCACCAAAUAACAUCGACGACUUUUCAAUCCGUCGGUGAUUUACUCUCUGGAAAAUACCGACGGAAUUUUCCAUCGGUGAUUCCCUUUGUAAUUAACAUGAUGAACAGUGUUCACAAUUUACCAACAAAUUUACCGAUGGAAUAAAUUUCGUCGGUAAUUUCGUUGGUAAAAAUGACACGUCAUUAUUUUUUUUUUGCUUUGUUUUAAUUUUUUUUCCCACGGUAAUUCCCUCGGUAUAUACCGAGGGAAUAUUUCCUCGGUAUUUCCCUCGGAAAUUUACCGACGGAAAUAUUCCCUCGGUAUUUCCGUUUGUAUUUAUCAAUUUUCUGGUAGUGAUAGUUGUUUGUAAAAUUAAACACUAAUUAAAUAUUAAGAUAUUUAUUUGAGACUGCAAUAAGUAAACUGAAAUGUGAUCAAUUCAAAAUCAAACAAAUAUUAAAGGAUAAAACUAGAGAAAAGCCUAAAAGGAUUCAAUUGAAAAAACAAAUACAAGGUAGGGUCCAAAAACAAAGGAACAAUAUGACAUUGUUAUUAAACUUCAUCCAGAUCUCUUGCCUUGAUUUCUUACAUAGCAUAGGUUUAAAAUUAAUUCACAAAGGAGUUGUCUAUACAUGACCUAGUUCACUUGAAUAAUAAAAGCAUGGUUUGGAUUUUAAGAAAAAAAAUCAAGAUGAUAAUUUUUUUUAAUAUUAAGAUGACAAUAUACUAAAUCAACUCGAGUUUCGCGGUUUAACUCAUUAAAUACGCAACCUAGAUCAUAAACUCCAUUAGGCUUAAAAAUUAUUUUUUAUAUAAUGAUACAAUAACUAAAAUAGACACUUAUAAAAUUGAGAUCUUAACAAAUUUAGUGAUAUUUGUUAGAGGCUUUGAUAACUACAUAUAAAAAAAAUUAAAAACAAAUUAUGAUAAUCAAUUUAAAAUCAACAAAAUAUUAAAGUGAAAUUGGAAGGAAAAAAAGAGCAAAAAUCAUUCAAUCAAAAGAAGAAAAAAUUAGAAGAUAGAAUUUUAUUUUUUGAACAAGAGGGGAGGAUAUGAAUAGUGAAGUAGGAGGGAAAAGCUAACUUUUUUAGUAUAAUUAAUAAUUUUUAAUUAAAUUAAAAUCUUUAUCUCAUACAAUUAAACCCAAAAGGAGUUAAAUAAAAAAAAGGGAAGAAAAUUUCUAAAGACCGAAUUGUAAAAAAAUGAAAGGAAAAAAAAUGAAAAAACACCAAAUCAAGAAGCGAAAAAAUAUAAAGAUCAAUUUAAAAAAAACAAAAAAAAAUAUAAAGAGAAGGAAGUAGAGAAACAUAACUUUUUUUAGUAUAGUAGUUUAUUUCUAAUUAAAUUGAAAACUUUAUCUCAUAUAAUUAGGCCAAAAAAGAAUUAAACAAAAAAAUAAGGACUAAUUUGUAAAAACAAAAAAAACAGAACCAAAUCAAAAAGGAAAAAAAAACUAAUUUUUUAAAAAUAAAGUGUUUCGCUAUUCAUAUAAAAAUGAAACAUUACUAUAGUAUCCAACUAAACAAGUGAUCUACACUACAGGCUAUCUUAAUUUUUUUAAAGCAAAAAAAAAAAGAAACGUUUCAGCGUUGUCAGAAAAUAUUUUUUAAAAAACAUAUAUGGGUACAAGAGAGGAGAGAUUUGGUUUGAGAAUGCAUGUUAAAAAUCUAAACAUGAACUAAAACAAAGUGGAAAAAAAAGUAAAAAAAAAAACCCUAAAAGAGAUCACUUAUUCAUUAUAGAUCAUGAGGUAAAACACUAUGGAUUAACAUAAUAUAUUUACUUUUUACCCUUCUCUACACAAAACAAUUGCCUUGCUAACGGGGUAAAGUUAUCUUUUUCAAUGGAUCUAAAGGUUAUUUGUAAAUUGAUUGGGAAUAAUUUAGUAGGUUUACUCUUUUUUUGCACAUUAAAACUAUAUCAUUGCCCUUGUAAGCAAAAAAAUAAUUUGCCUUUUUCUUAAGGUUCAUUUUUUCUUUUCUAUUUUAUUUGCACAGUUAAAUAACAUCAAUACCCUUGAGAGUUCAAAAAUAUUGACCUUGACAUGAGGCAUUUUUUAAUUUUUUCCAUGUUUUGUAUAUUGUCAAAUGACAAAGUUAACUUUAGAAUAAAAUAAUCUAAAGUUGAAAUGGGAUAGCGUUUUCAUCUUUGCAAUAUAGUUUUUUUUGUAAUAUUUAGAUGCUUUUAGGCGUUAUUUAGUAAUUUAAAGUAUUGAAAUAUUAAUAAAUCAAUAAAAAAAGGCUGACACAUGCGUAACACGUGUCAGCAUGUAAUUAGUCCACCAUGUCAUUCAAGAAGCGUGUGAUAGUCCAACGUGUAAUGUGAAGAUGUAGUUGAUGGCGUGGCGUGGCGUGGCGUCAUAUUUAUAGUGGUUCGACGGUGAUAGAGUCCCCCCCCCCUCCCUUGGGCUUUAAUAUUCACGCCAAGCCUUUAAAAUUUCAAUUGUAUCCUUCGGAUUGUAUUUAUAUUAAGUUUGAUUCUUAUUAUUUUUAUUUCUAUUUAUUUUGAUUUUGAUGCUUUUUGAAGAAAAAAAUUUAAAUUUCAUCCUUCAGCAUUUUAUUUCAUUUAAUUUUUGUGUUAAACUUAGUCUCCAUUCUUUUGAUUACUAUUUUUUGUCAUUUACUUUUUUUUUAAUUUUGUCCUUUAACAUUUUAUUUUAUUUGCAAUUUUGGUCCUUAUUUUUUUAUUGCUUUUUUGUUUAUCAUUUUCUUCAUUUAUUUUGUUUUUCAAUGUAAUCCCUCACUAUUUUAUUUCAAUGAUUUUCUGUAUAAGAAUUUGUCCUCAUGGUUUGGAUUUUUAUUUUUUUAUGAUUGAGAAUUUUGCUUCAUUAUCUUUUGUUGUUUGUCAUCUACAAGGUAAUCCUAGUCUCAUAACUCAGUUUACUAAUUUUGAGUAUCAACUCGUUUUAAGUUUGGUAUUUUUUUUUAAGUUCUUUUUGAAAAUUAAUUUUUUGUUAUCAUCAACCUUGAGCUAUUGGACCUUAAACUUUGUUAUUUGUUUUGGUUUUUUUUUUGUAAAGUUAUUCCUAUCUCAUAUUCCAAGUCGUGAAUAAGUCAAGUUAAUCUAGGUUGAUUUAAUUUUUUUCUUAAUUGAUUUUUAUAAUCUUAUCAUUUGACAUUAAAUUAUUGGCCAAUGAGUUUUAUGAAUUUUGACACUUUUGUCUUAGGGUUUUUUUUCAUCUUUUUGUUAUUGAUUUAACUUUGGUCUUGACUCUUGGCAUUGUUUGGAUAAAAACAUGACUGCCGUAAUGAAUUUACAGACUUGCAGACUAUAAAUUAUUUCAGUUUCUCUAAUCACAGUGGCUAUUAUCCAACCAAUCAUCUUGGCAGUUCAAAAGAGAACAAUAAUAGCGUGAAAAAAGUAGCAUGAUCUGUCAAAUAUGCAAGAGUUCAUUGCAAAAAGAGAAAUUAAUGAACAUCUAGCAAACAAUGCUCAAGCCAUCUAAAGCAGACAAUGCAAGUUUCUGUAUUUUUUUUCCUGCCAAUUCCAGACCAAGAUAAUCAGACCCAAUCUGUUGUUCUAGCGAACAAUGUUCAAGCCAUCUAAAGUAGAGAAUGCAAGUUUCUUUCUCUCUUUUAUUUCAUGUCAAUUCCGCACCAAGAUAAUCAGACCCAAUCUAUUGUUGUGAAUUACAAACGAAAAGAAAAAAGACAAUAGAAGCUAUCAUCAAUAAACAUAAGCAACCAAUGUGCAAGCCACUCAAAUUGUUGAUAGAAGAUGGAAAGGCAAAUCUAGUUUCUCAUUGCUUCCUUAUGAACUCCAGGCUAAAAGUAACAGUUGAACCAAUGUCUUCUGAACAUAAGAUUUAAAGUAGCUGGUGGAAAAUUUUCUUUUCAGCAUCAUAAAAAGUAGAAGAAUUGAAAGGGAAACAACAAAUGCUAGGCAAAUUGAAAGGGAGAAGAAUGAACAAUGGCAUGAAAAGUAACUCUUAAACGAAAGAUCAAUCAUCAUAUUUUAGACAAAGCCAUAGUAAGAAAGUUAAGCAUGCCAAAGUUCUCUAAAAUGUAUGCGUGAGAAAAAAAGGGCGAUGUUCAUGUAAUUGUAACCUAAGUUGUUGAUUCCAAGAUUAAAUUUGAGAGCUUCAUCUAGAAAUAAAAUUGACAUGGAAUGUUAAAAACAAUCAGUUGAGAAAUGAAAGAGGCAAUGCAUGGCUAAACCAAUGGAAGCUAAUUAAGCUAAUGAUGUCCCUAGCUAGUAAGCAAUUGUUGCCGCAAUGACAUAUGCCUACUUAGAGAUAGAUUUGAAUUUACAUAUUAGUAUUAUCAUAUAUUUUGUAUUGUCGUUUAAAAAAAUAAAUAUUUUCCUUAUAUGAAGUUAAGUGUUUUUAAUUUUAUCAUGUAAAAUUUAUAUAUUUUUUAAAAAAUUAAUAUAAUAUACAGUUAAACAUCUAUAAAUUAAUAUCAUUGAGACCAUGAAAUUUAUUAAUUAAUCAAGAUAUUAUUAAUACAAUAUACACUUAUACAUUAAUCAAUAAAAAAAUUUCUUUUUCAAAAACAUUGAACUUAAUACAUAUAUUGCAUAUUCUGAUUAUACAAAUAUUAUCUAAUCAUUAAAUUAAAUUAUGAAUUAUCAUAAUUCUAUAUAUUUAUUUAAAGAAAACAAGUUCAAGAAUUAAUGUAGAUCAAUCUUAUUAAUUAAUAAAAGUCAUGUAUGUAUCUAUUUUUGCAAAUUGGAUGCAUACUUAAUUAAUAUUAAGUCAAGCAAAAAAUCUAUAAUUAAAAAGAAUAUACAAGUGAGCCAAACAACAAUAUUAAAAACGAAUAAGAGGUAGAAUAUCCCUUAACUAAUAGUAAAAUUAAGAAGAUGAUACCAAAGGACAUUGUUAGAUUGUGAGAAAAAAAAAAGUUUUAAAAAAUAUCUGUGUACAAGAAAGGAGAGAUUUGGUUUGAGAAUGCAUGCUAAAAAUCUAAACAUGAACUAAAAAUACUCUUUUAAAUAUUAAAAGCAUGAACCAUAUUGUUCAUAAUUGACUCUUUCAUAAGUGUCAUGCUUAAUAAUUAACAUUACUCUUUUAAAUAUCUGUGUACAUGUUUUGUUUUCUUCUUAUUUCUUUAUUCUUUUGGGGAUGCGGUAUUUUCCUCUUUCUAUUUACACUAUUUGCUCCCUACAAUAUUUAUUAUUUCAGAGAAGUAAAUAUAUACAUAAAUAACAAGAACAGGAGGGGAGGGGGAGGGGGGUUUGACAGUAAGUUGUUAAGAUCACUUAACAAAUCAAGAAAAAGAUGAGGCUAAGAAGCAGAAUGAUAUUAGCAGAGAAGAGUCAAGAGAAGAGAGAAAUGAUAUUAGCAGAGAGGAGUUAGAGAAGAGAGAAAUGAGAUCGAAAUUGGACUGCAAUCUAUUCAUAUCCAAUGUGAUCCAUACACAGUGCUUUUAUAGUGAUCAAUAUUAACUACUAACAGAUUAAUCCAACUAACUCUAACUAACUAACAAAAUUCUACAACUAAUAGCAGGUUGCGUGUCCCUGACGUUUGCCUUCCCACAGCAGCCUUCUUCUUGUUGCUGUUUCCCACCAUUAUUCUGCCAUCCUGAAUCGUAACAAUAAUAUUUGCUUAGAAGGGAAUGCUUCUUUGGUUUUAGAAGCACCAUGAAGAUUCAGGCCCAAAUCUUUGCUUAGAAUGCCCGCAUACCCAGGAUCCUUGCACCUUGUCAUGAAUGGUUGUGUAUAUUUGUUAUGCAUCCAUAUUUGGCUGAAUUCUUUAAUAAAGUACAUGAUAUUAGAUGGAAGUUCUUUUUAAAUCUAUUCAAGUCUGAAUAAACUGAUUUCCAUUUUUCAUGAUCUUGAUGUGCUUUUACUCUUCUUGCCGCUCCCGACUUUCUUUUUAGUAUCUAUUCUAACAUGCAAUAUGAUUUUUUUUUCUUUUUCGUUGGUCCACUGUCCCAAGCAGAGAACCUGUCAUGGACAUGGGUGAUUGGAGAAUUCAAUUGCAGCUUGACUCACGGAAAAGAGUGGUCGACAAAAUAGUAAAUUUUUUAUUUAUAUGAAAGAAAAGGAGAAGGGCAAAAGGUUAAUUAAAAUCAGCAGGAUUGCCAUGAGGCAACCUCAAGUAUCACACACCUCUUUUUUUUGUUUUUUUUUUUCAUCUUCUCAUGUGUUUCUCACAAGAAGCAAACUUGAGGGAACAUAAAGUGCUGGGAAGUAAUUUUUGUUGGAACUUCUUGUGUAAUUUCUUCUUUUGAUGAUGACCUCUUGGAUGGCUGCAUGGUAGCAUGAGUUGCAACUGAACUUAAAUGAAUGGUGUUGGAUUUGGGCCUUCUAUUUGUUUUAACUUCUACAGGGUUGAAAUGAUAAUAAUCUUAAAGUAAGAAGCAGACAAAAAUCAAUUAGCAUAAAGUUGAAAUGAUAGUGAUCUUAAAGUAGAAAAGCAGUUGAAUGUUGAAUGUUAUGUUGACCUCUCUACAUCCAAAAUCAUAUAGAUUGAAAGGAGAAAAGCAGUUGAAUGUUGAAUGGUGUAUGCUACUGCUGGCACUUGCAGUGGCCAAUGAAUAAUGUAGAGUAUAUAUUGCAGUGUGAGAUAAGGUUAACUCAUUGCAUUUUAAUAAAUUGAAAGGAUUUCUCUUCUUUUCCUUGUCAAUUACAGCACAUGCAUAGAAGUGCUCUUGCUCAGAGUAAAUGCUAUUGUAAUGUUUUCAUAGAGACUCCCGUGGUUUGCAACUAAUUCACUUAUAUAUCUUGGAACAUAGCCAUAAAUGAAAGGUUCUUCCAGUUCAAGAAAAUUAACCAUGAAGCUCGUAGCUAGAAUUUUUAGACAGAAGGGUGGCCAAGUAAACUCCUAUACUCUGUACCUCUGGAGAAAGUAAAAAUAGAUAUCUAUGUAUUUUAAUGUUGUAUAUUACUUGACCAAAACUUGCUUAUGUCAUUAUUUGUUUUUACUUUUUGCUAAUGAUUCCACACAUUUCUGAUAUUGGUGUGGUUUAUGAGUUCAGGGUUCAUGCUCGCUGCUACUAACUUCUCUAUACUUGUCUGGUCAUUAAAAAUGAAACGUAAUGAUUUACAUGUGCAGAAUGGAGACAUUAAAGAGGCAUCUUCUGUUUUCUGGCCAGGAGGGAUUACAAGAACUCAAGAAAAUUGUCAUACGGCUUGAGGAAAAGAUUUAUAUUACCGCCACCAAUCAGGUAUUUGCCCAAUGCGAUUCGAUAAUUACUAUAUUCUCUAGACAUGAAUAUACACACUCAUUUAUUCAUGUACAAAUGUAUGUGUAGUGUGCCUGCACUUUCUCAUCGUUCAUUCUGUAUGCAAGGCUGAUUGGGAGUUCACAUCUUUUUGUUAAUUCUCUUGACAAGUGUUUUAUUUAGAGUGACCAAGUUCAAGUAUAGGGGAAGUGUGCAAAAAGCAAAUAGCGAAUCAAUACAUAAAUAAUUAGAUUAAAAUAGAGGAAACAGAAGUAUAUCCUCACAGAAGAUGAAAUGAAAGAGCGUAUAUCCAUUUUCCCCUUCUCUUGUACGUGGAUUGCUCUGAGAGCUAGUGUUUUAUUAUUAAUAUCUGAUUUGUUAGGAUACUAGCAUGCAAACCCGACAAGAUAAAAGGCAAAAAAUAGGAUAAAAUGAGAAAUUAGACACACAAGAAUUUACGUGGUUCACCCAAUUUGGCUACGUCCACGAGCAAGUAUAGAAGGGUUUUACUAAGUAAUGUGGGAAUUACAACCUCUCUCUACUAAUAGGAGAACAACUGAAAUCUCUCUAUUAUUAGGAGAAAACACCUCACUUACUGUCUCACAAAUACCUCACAACUUUGUGGGAUUACUCUCCUUCACUCUCUCUUCUUGCUCUCUUGUUUCUCUCUUUUUGGUGUGAUCAAUAUGGCAAGGAUGCACUGCCUAUUUAUAGGCAAGCAUCCUUGCCUUUGUCUUGUAAAAGACAAGAGCAAGGCAAGUGGCACCGAAUUGGUGCCCAUUUUGUUGACUUAGCUGCACCAAUUGGUGCCAGCUAGCUUCACAUUCUCCCACUUGAAGACUUUGAUGAUUUAAUCAAGUCUUCACACUUGAUCAUUUGUGAUUCUUCUAUCCUUUCUAUACUUGUCAUCUUCAUGUUGCUUACGUUUCUAUUAGGCCGUAAGAGGAUCUACACCAUAUGUACUUGUCAGUGUUGACUGGUUUAGUCAAAGCAUCUGCUGGGUUUUCUUUUGUGUGAACCUUCUGAAAAUCUACACUUCCAUCUUCCACCACUUCGCGAACAAAGUGAUACUGAACAUCUAUAUGUUUUGUUCUUGAAUGAAACGCUGGAUUCCUUGCAAUAUGCAAGGCACUCUGACUAUCACAAUACAAAGGAAUCUUCUCUUGUUUGUGCUCGAGCUCCUCCAUAAGUUUCUUCAUCCAUAUUGCUUCUUUACAAGCUUGUGUAGCUGUCAUAUACUCAGCUUCUGUUGUGGAUAACGCUACAACAGUCUGAAGUUUAGAGACCCAGCUCACAGCUCCUCCUGCAAUUAUGAACACAUAGCCUGUAGUGGAUUUUCUUUUCUCAAGGUCACCAGCAAAAUCUGAAUCAAAAUAACCUCUAACAAUAAAUUCUGAUCCUCCAUAACAUAAUGCAGCAUCUGAGGUACCCUUGAUGUAUCUCAAGAUCCUCUUAAUAGUAUUCUAAUGCUCUCUACCAGGAUUUGCCAUAUAUCGACUAGCUGCUCCCACUGCUUGUGCAAUGUCUGGUCUUGUACAUAUCAUGGUAGAGACAUCUCGAGACAUCUCCAUCCUCUCUGCUUCAUUGCUACGAGACAUACUUGAGGAUAAUUUGAAGUUAACAGGAAGUGGGGUGGAAAUUGGCUUACAAUCUUGCAUGUUGAAGCAUCGCAAGAUCUUCUUCAAAUAAUUCUUUUGAGAAAGCCAAAUCUUCCUCUUACUUCUGUCUCGGUGAAUUUGCAUCCCUAGAAUCUUGUUUGCUGGUCCCAAGUCCUUCAUAUCAAACUCCCUAGCCAACUGUGCCUUCAAUUCUUGGACUCGAUCUUUGUUGGGGCCUAUUACCAAUAUGUCAUCCACGUACAACAACAAAAUGAUGAAAACAUCAUUUUCUUCAAACCUCUUAUAAUACGUACAAUGGUCUGAACUGAGUCUGUUGUACCCAAGGCUAAUUAUAAAGGAAUCAAAUCUCUUGUACCAGCACCUCGACGCCUGUUGAGACCGUAUAGAGAUUUGUUCAACCUGCAAACCAAGUUCUCCUUGCCUAUUUCAGCAAAACCCUCUGGUUGGAGCAUAUAUAUUUCUUCUUCAAGUUCUCCAUGAAGAAAUGCAGUUUUCACAUCUAACUUUUCUAAGUGAAGAUCAAAUAUAGCACACAUCGCUAAGACUACUCUGAUUGUAGUAAGUCGUACCACCGGGGAAAAUAUCUCAUUGAAAUCUAUGCCUUCUUUAUGAGCAUAUCCUUUCACCACCAAUCUUGCACGAUACUGCUCCACUUGAUCAUUGCCGUCACACUUUAUCUUGUAAAUCCAUUUGUUGCCAAUGGCCUUUCUUCCUUGUGGUAGCGGAACAAGAUCCCAAGUGUUAUUCUUGUGUAGAGCUUCAAUCUCCUCUUGUAUUGCUGUCAUCCACAUAGAUACAUCUGUGCUUUUAAUAGCCUCAUGGAAAGUUGAUGGCUCUCCAUCCUCUGUUAGAAGACAGUAUGCAAUGUUGCUCUCAGUAACAUAUUCUGAGUGCCAAGCUGGUGGUCUUCUUUCACGAGUUGACCGUCGAACUUCAGGAGUUUCAGACUCUAUUUGUUUUUGUUCUUCAUGCUCUGGUGCAUCUUCAGAAGAAGUAUGAUUAUGAGUAUUUUCCAUCUAGACUGUUGUAGUAUCCUUUAGAAUGCUAUUAUGUUUUUCCAUUUGCAUUUUACCUUCUGCAAAUAUGACAUCUCUGCUGAUGACUACCUUGUGGGCAGUGGGAUCCCACAAGCGAUACCUCUUCACUCCAUCAGCAUAUCCCAAGAAUACACAUUUUCUGGAUUUUGAAUCUAGCUUGCUCACUUCUUGUGUAUUGUACAUCACGUACACAGGACUUCCAAAUAUGUGCAAUUGAGAAUAAUCAGCUGGCUUUCCAGUCCACAUCUCCAUCGGUGUCUUCAGCUCAAUUGCAGUUGACGGAGAUCGAUUUAUCACAUAACAGGCGGUAUUGACUGCUUCUGCCCAGAAUGACUUUCCUAGACCUGCAGCCUUCAACAUUGCUCUUGUUCUUUCUAAUAGAGUUUUGUUCAUCCGCUCUGCCACUCCAUUUUGCUGUGGAGUGUAUGCUGUUGUGAACUGCCUUUUGAUACCUUCAUGUUGACAGAAGUUAUCAAAUUCAUCACUGGUAUAUUCUCCUCCAUUGUCAAUCCUCAAACACUUGAUCUUCUUUUCAAAUUCAAGUUCCACCCGCGCUUUGAAAGUUUUAAAGACUGCAAGCACAUCUGCUUUCCUUCUAAUUGGAUACACCCAACAUCUCCUGGAGAAGUUAUCUAUGAAUGAUACAAAGUAUCUUGCUCCUCCCAAGGAUACAACCGGUGCUUGCCAAACAUCAGAGUGAAUCAGGUCAAAGAUGCAUUUGCUCUUAGUUGUUGAUGUGCCAAACUUCAACCCGUGCUGUUUACUUGUAACACAGUGCUCACAAAAAGGUAAAGUAACCUUUGUAAGCCCAGGGAGUAACUUCUGAUCAGAGAGAAUUUUCAAACUUUUCUCUGACAUGUGGCCUAGCUUUUGAUGCCACAUCAUCGUCUUCUCUUCUGCAGGACUGGCUGAUGCGAUUGACGCUUCUGCCUCAUGAUGUGUUUCUCCCAUUAAUACAAACAUGUUUGCAACUGUCUUUCUUGCCUUUAAAACCACCAGCGCUCCUUUGACAAUUUUUAUUAUUCCAUUGUCUGUUCGAAUCUUACAGCCAAGACUAUCAAAUUGUCCCAUGGACAAAAGAUUCUUCUUUAAGUCUUUCACAUGUCGCACUCCUGAAAUAGUACAAAUUAAGUCAUCAUACAUCUUCAAUUUGAUGGUGCCAAUGCCAGCAAUCUCUAAAGCAUGAUUAUCACCCAUGAACACUGAGCCUUCAGAGAUGGGUUCAUAUGUAUGGAACCAAUCUCGAUUAGGAGUCAUAUGCCAUGUUGCUCCUGAAUCCAUUAACCAGACCUCAGUGAGCUCUUCUCUAUUUGUAGAGAUUGUCGUUGCUUCACUAUAUAAAACCUCUCCAUCUUCUGAGGUGCUUGCAACACAUCCUUGAGGUUUUGAUGACUCUGCAGUAUUCUCUAUACCCUUUUUAAACCAACAAUCCUUUUUGAAGUGCCCUUUUCUGCCACAGUUGUAGCAUUUCACAGUCUUUUUACUUCUUGAUUUGGACCUCCCUUGCCUUUGACUCCCACUGGAGCCACGCUCCGUUGAUCUCCCUCUUGACACCAAUAAUGCCUCUGCUUGGUUUGAACUAUUUCUGUCUCCUUUAUUUUUGCGCCUAUUUUCUUCUUCCAAGAUGGCAGCUGCAACAUCAUCAAAGACUAAACAGUCUGUGAGGAUAUUAUUGGUCAAGUUGAUAAUGAGCUGAUCAUACGAAUCUGGGAGACUUUGAAGUAGAAGCUCUGCACGUUCACUUUCCUCUAUUUGUUGACCCAACAUAGUGAGUUGUGAAAAUAGAGUCCUUAUUGUGUUGAUGUGGUCAGUCACCGUCGUGGUUUCUGCUAUUCGAAGGGUAUAAAGUCUCCGCUUUAAGAAAAUCUUAUUGUGCAAAGACUUGGACUCAUAUAGCUUUGUUAGAGUCUCCCAUAUCUCCUUAGCUGUUUUCUUCUCCGCCACACUUGAUAAUACUUCAUCGGCUAAUGCUAAAUGUAUGUUAGCAAUAGCAUUGCCAUCCAUCUCAUUCGAUUUUGCAUUAUUAGUGAUCUCCGCAGGCCGAUCCCCAAUUGCUGCCAAGCAAUUGUCUUUCCUUAAGAUUGCCUUGAUUCUCAUUUUCCAGAGUGAGAAAUUGCUCCCAUUGAACCUUUCAAUCUCAUACUUUGCUGCCAUUUUAUUCACUGUGAUCUAUUCAGCUAUCACCGUUUCACAGAUCUGUAACGUAUACAGAAAUAGUAUCGUGUGAAUAAUACUUCACUAAGUAAGUUCUCAGAAAGAUUGGAGGGGUCACAAACGGUCCCUCUUAAAAGAUUGAUUUUUAGAUUGAUUUUUUUUUUCAAUUUCAUAAUUCAACAAUAGAUUUAUUAAAAAUUAAGAUUCAUAAUUUGUUUUUAUUUGGGAUUAUUAUGGUCUCAUAAUCUGGGUUACGAAUUUAAAAGAUUAACCUAGAUUAACCUGGGUCGAUCUAAUAUGUUGUUGUCUCAAUAUUUUUAACAAAUAUAAUUUUAAUUGAUAUUUAAAAAUAAACUAACUUGAAAUUAUAUAAUUUAAAUUUCAAAUAUAAGUAAAAAUAAAGAGUUAAAUCAAUAUGACUCAAUUGAUUUGAUGAGUCCAAAAUAUAUAUAAAACAAUCCAAACGACACGUCAAAAUACUAAAAAAUCAAAAUAUAUUAUUACAAUUAAAAAAAAUAAAACACCAAUUAAAAUGGAAUUGACGACCUUACUUGAUAUAAGCCUAAACUCCUCGCUGCCAUUUGCAAGAGAUAGUUACUUAUACCAGUAGCAAUUUAAUAAUGAUUGGUCAAAAUUUAUAUUAAGAUGGGGCUAUUAAUUCAAAUGUUGAUGGCGUUAGUAGCAAUGAUUUUCUUGGAAGCAUGGUUGCCUCUUGGCUACUUGAAAAUAUAUGGUUUUUUUAAUGUCGCAUGUGUGCGGCGUCAUGAAGAAAAAAUUCACUCUCAAAUCCUAAAUAUUGGUAUCUUGGAAAAAUUGGGAAAAAUAAGGAGACAAGGAAUUCUUGUCUUUUAUUAGUGGAAAAAUAAAAUGGAAGUCGCCACUUAGUAUUUUGAUCACUAGGAACUCUGAUUGGUCUCAGAGAUUGGGUACAGAGAUUGGUUGCGUAAAGGGAAGGUAUAGCACCCCAAAUACGUCCUACCUAAGGUAAGUUGCAUUGUUUUAUUGUUUGAUAAAAUCUAAGGUUUUUUCGUGUUUUCUAGUUAUUGGUCCGUCUAUGAUUUAAGAAAAGUCUUCAUCGAUAAAGAGAUCCUUAUUUUUUCGGGUAAAACCUAACCGUUCUAACGUAAACAAAAGAAUUUAAUAUCCGGAAUACAUCUUACGUAUAAGGUCGUAAUCCCGGAUAAAAGAAAAAAAAAAUUUUGAAAUUUUUUAAAUAUUGGCCUAGUUCUUGUGACUUUAAUAAACUGGUUUUUAAACCAAAAUGCAUGUUAAUACAUAUUUUUGAAUUUUUGUUGUAUGAAAAUAUGAUAUGAUUUUUUUCUUUGAGAUACUUGACCGUAUGCAUGAAAAUAAUUUUUUUUUUAAUUUUUCAAUGUUUUGACGAAAACUAGGUAUUUUAAUACCAGAUUUAUAUCUUUACAGUAUAAAAAUACAAACCAAUACUAAGAAAAAUUUACUAGAAAAAUAUAUGGGAAAAUUAUAGAUUUUUUGAAAUGAUUUUUUUUGAAGAAUUGUUUUUUACUGGGCCGGACCUGACCCAAUCAUUUUGGGCUGGGCCGGCACUGUCGGGCCCAGAAAACUAAAACAAACAGUGGAGAGACUCUCCACUGUUCACAUGCAACGUGAACAGUGGAGCGGCCCGGAGAAGACGAAGAAGAAGAGGAGGAAGAGGAAGAAGCAGACCUGCGGCCUAGCGGUGCUGCUAGUGGCGGUGGACGGUGUUGCGGUUGCGGACCGUGGCGCUGACUGGCGGGUGGUUCUUCUUUCUUUCUCUGCGUUUCCCUUCUGCUUUUUUUCUAUUCUGCUCUGUUCUUCCCCUUGUUCCCUGUUUUAUUCUUUCUCUCCCUCUCUGGUCCUCUCAAACGUCCCUUGGAGCUGCUGCCUGAAGAUGAAGACGAAGUUGAGGGUGAUCAGUGCUCUGAUCGGGCGACAUUUCUUUCUUUCUUCUGCUACUGUUUUCGUUUCUGAUUCUCCUCGUUCAAUUCUUAUUUGCACUCUUCUUCUUCUUCGUCUCUGGUUUUUGAAAUGACGAAGACGAUGGCAACGCUGGUUCUAAUCUCAACGAUUUCCUCUUCUUACAUUCUUUCCUUUUGCUCGUUUCUGUCUCUCUCUCGUGCUGCUCCCCACUUUCUCUCUUGUCCUGCUCGCUCUCCCUCCCUGUCUCCUCUUUUUUUUUUUUUGUUGUCCGUCUCUCCUCUAGCUUUUUAUAGCCAGAGGAUGCAUGCUUUUCGGGAUUUAUUGCAGGAAGGUUGUAACGGCCGGCGUGCAUCAUGGUGGAGAGGGAUAUCAGCCGUGAGACGUGCUCCCCUGAUUGAAGCAGCUCCACCACUAACGUCUUCACUUCCUUUUACUGUAGAAACCGUUGUUGAUGAAGAAGGUAAUGAACAGUUGUCAAGGAAACGGUACCGUUUUAAAAUUCAAAAUGAAUAUUUCCGAUUUGGUCAUUGGAUUUUUUGCAAUUUUGUAAUCAAGCCCCUGAAUAAAUUGUAAUUGGAUCUCUGGAUUUUAGCCCCAUUUACAAGACAAUCUUUGGUUCUGGAUUCAUGCGAUUUGACCCUCAAUUGAUCAAUAAACUUCUAAUGUUUUCAAUUUAGCCCCUGACUUGGUCAAUUGCAGCCCUUAUAUUUACACGCCUUUUCUGGUUUGGUCCUUGGUUUCGUAUUUUUUCAAUCAAGUCCCUAAUUGCCCAUAAAACUUUAAUAAUUAUGCAAUUAAGCCCCUGAUUUGACCAAAUCAACUCUUCAAAAUUAUAAUUGGACCCUAGAACUUUAAUUUCUUCGAAUAAAAGCCUAAAUAGACAUAAAACUCAAUUUUUCUUUCAAUCAAACCCUCCAUAAAUUCAAUUAAACCUUUAAUAAAAUUUAAUUGAGUCCAUAAACAUCUGAUUUUAGAUAUAUUUUUUUAAAAUUGAAUUUUCUUUGUCAACAGGGCUCUCAUUAGUCAACGAUAUACUGUCAAAUUUCAAUCUUUAUAUUUUUUAACCUCCUCAAUCAAUUUUUGGCCAUUUUGAGCAGUCCGACAGCUUUCACUGUGACAUAUAUAUUUUUUUAUUUAUAUUAUUUAAUUAAUUUAUUAUUAUUUAUUUAUUUAAUUUUUUUCAACUCUUACUUUUUGUAUUUUCUUCUUUUUUGUGUGGGGUUCCAAAAAUGGAUAACAACACUUAAGUUCAAAUCUAUUAAUAAAAAUAUAGUUUUAUUGACUUUUUUUAUAUACUUUUAUUAGAGAAAUCAAUGUAAACAAAUUUAUGGACAAACAUUAGUUUAUCAAGUACUUAAAUAGAAAAAUAAAAUCAAUUAGAGUACUUGAAUAAAAAAAAUAUAAAUUAUAAGCAUUUUAUAUAUCUUUAUUGUUCAUAAAUUAAAAAUAAAAUAAAAUCAAUCCAGACUAAUCUAAAAAGAGUUAACUAUGACAUCAUCAUUUUGAUAGUAAAACUAAUGAAGAUAUUUUAUUGAUUAAAUUCCGUGAAUAUAAGUAUUCAAAUUGAAAAAAAAAACAUUGAUACAAGAUUUUAAAUAAAAAAAUUAUAAAAUACAUAUAAUUUGUACUUCUCAUUGUCUCUUUUGCAUUGCUAACACUUAACAAAUUGAAUAUAUAAUUCUCAUGUCAAUAACGUCAGAAUAAAUUUAGCUACAUGACAUAAUAAUACCUGUUUAUUUUUGUAUUUUAAAAAUAUUUUAAAAACAUUAAAUUGUUUUAAAUAGAUAACUUUUGAAUCAUCAAGUAGUGAAACACAGGAAAAGCUAGCGAAGAAAGUGAAGAAUAAUCAAAGUGGUGCGUGUCCACAUCAAUUUUUGUCCAUGUUUUUGGUAUUAAUCUCUUCAUCUAUUUACAGCUGGAGAAAAGAACAUCACCUACUACUUUUCUUGUCUCUUCUUACUUGGAAGAUAAGGUAUGUGAAUCUUUGAGUGCCACUUAUUUUAGUACAUAGACUUAGUUAUUUGACCACAGCUUCACCACAAAUUAAAUUGUUUUAAUUAAAAAAAUUUAUAUAAAGAUUUCUUCAAUAAAUUUUUUAUUUAAAAAAUUUCUAAGUGAAAAUUAAAAAACUUAUACACAAAUAUAGUUAAAUAAAUCAAGAAUUAUGUGUGUUAAUAAGUGAAAAAAACCAUAAAUGAUGACUCAAAAUAAAAACUGAAAAAAUCAAUUGAUAAAUAUAAAUCAAAAUAUUUAAUUUCACAAGACGUGAUAUUAAUGCAGUUGUGUUUUCUAAAAUUUUUAAUUAAAAUAAUUUUUUAAUUCGAUCAAACGAUAAUAAAAAUAGACACACAUAUUAUAAAUUGAUUGAAUAAAAUAAAAAAUAAUAAUAAUAUGCUAGGCUUUAUAUAUUGGAAAUAUUAUUUAAAAAUAAUUUUUUUAUUUUAAAAAAUAAAAUUUAUCUAUUAAAAAAAUUUAUAUAUUAAAUUCAAAAUAAAUAAACUUUAAAAUAAUUUGCAAGGCUGCACAUAACCCUUUAAAAGGAAAGUGAUAUAACAAACGUGGAACAAUUUUUAUUAACUAAAUAAACUUAAUAACUAUUAAUAUUAAAUUCGAAAUAUAUAUUAAAACCUAUUAUAUUAAUUUUUGAAUUUAUCAAUUCAGAUGUGAAUUAUAUUUCUAAAAUGGUAUAAGAAAUUUCUAUAUACGACAACUAGCUUAAGAAAGUGAUGUUCAUCAAAACCAUAGAGUACAGAAAAAGAAUUGAAUUGCAUAAAAUUAAGUAAUUAACGGAAACUUAUAUUCCUUCUUAAAACGUUGACCCCAAGUCAAGUUUAUUUAUUAUUAUUUUUUUUGAAAAAAACAUGAAUAAAAGUUAAUGCUAGGCACAUGGGAUAUAGAAGACUUGCUACUUUCUUUAUAGAAAUUACGUGUGUAAAAUUUAGGCCUUGAAAAAAAUUAAAAAUAAAAUACUAUUAAUCGUGUUGAUAAAAAUUAAUAUAGAGACUUUAUUGAUAAAAAUUCAUAAGAGCAAGUAUUCAAAUUACAAAAAAUAAAAAUAUUUCUUGAAAUUUUCAAUAAAAUUUAUUUCUUGAAAUUAAUGCAUUAAACAAAAUUAAAAUAGUAGUAAAAGUAAAUUUAGUUUUUGAUUGAAGUGUAAACUAGUGGUAAAUGAACAAAAAGAAACUUUAUUGAUUUCUCCAAAAACAAUAUAUAUAUUAUUGAAUAUCUAAUGGAAAGGAUUAUGAAACUCCGCCUAAUAUAUAUAUAUAUAACAGAGAAAUUGUCGAUAAUAGCUAUGAUCUAAGUAACUGGACCACGACGAAGACAUAUACAAGAAACAAAAAAAAGAUACUUCACUAACAAUUGGGGUUCUUCAUAAGCUUCAAUAGAAUUGAUAGAGGGUCGAAACAAAAAAGAGAUGAAGAGAGAGGAGGGAAUGGAAAGAAGGGAAAAGAGAACUCUUGCGAUCUGUUGAAUAAGACUCAGUAAAUAUAUAUAUAUAUAUAUAUAAAAUAAAAAAAAACUCAAGUUAGCCAAUCAAGUCUUCCACUUGGAUUACGAGAUAGGAUAAAAAAAUUUAAUAUUAAAAAAUAAAAUUAAAAAAAAAAACUAUACAGCAAAAUUUAAACCUUGAAAAAAAUUAAAAAUAAAAUACUAUUAAUCGUGUUAUUUGCAUUCUAGCAACAAAACUAAUACAGAGACUUGAUUGAUAAAAAUUCAUAAGAGCAAGUAUUCAAAUUACAAAAAAUAAAUAUAUUUCUUGAAAUUUUUAAUAAAAUUUAUUUUUUGAAAUUAAUGCAUUAAACAAAAUUAAAAUAUUUUUUAAAAAUUAAAAUAUUAGUUUUAAAUUUUUUAUUACAUUUCAAUAUUAAAUAUAUUUUUUUCAAUCGAGUUAAAGAUAUACAAUUUAUAUUAGAAUGAGAAGACUAAUCAAUUUCUCUAAUUUUCUCCCUAAUUAUAAAAUACAUCUGGUUUUUCAAGUCCAGAUUUUAAGAUAAAAGGAAUUUAUUUCUUGAAAUUAAUGCAUUAAAUAAUAUAAAAAUAAUUUUUAAAAAUUAAAAUAGUAGUAAAAGUAAAUUUAGUUUUUGAUUGAAGUGUAAACUAGUGGUAAAUGAACAAAAAGAAACUUUAUUGAAUAUCUAAUGGAAAGGAUUCAUGAAACUCCGCCUAAUAUAUAUAUAUAUAUAUAUAUAUAUAUAACAGAGAAAUUGUCGAUAAUAGCAAUCAUUUUCUUAUCUCUUGUAUCAUUCAUAUCUUCCACAAAUCUUAAGUAAUUGACUUUUCUGGUGUGUGGCAUUUUGAUUUUUAAACACAACCAAUAACCUUAUCUAAAGGAAUGCUAAAAGUGACAUGCUAUUGGGUGACCACCACAAGCCCAUCUAAAACACACAAGCCAUAUAAAAAUCACACAACAGCCAAUUACCUUAUCUUGACCGUAUUGAUUGGGAGAGUCAACUAUUGUCGCCGUGCUUUUAUGCACUAUCUGUGUGCGUGAAUGGAAAGAAAAGCAGGGUGGCAACUGGGGUGUGAAAAUGAAUGCUUAUAAAAGGCGUCAGUAAUUCUUCUAUUAAAAUUGCUAUGAUCUAAGUAACUGGACCACGACGAAGACAUGUACAAGAAACAAAAAAAAGAUACUUCACUAACAAUUGGGGUUCUUCAUAAGCUUCAAUUGAAUUGAUAGAGGGUUGAAACAAAAAAGAGAUGAAGAGAGAGGAGGGAAUGGAAAGAAGGGAAAAGAGAACUCGUGCGAUCUGUUGAAUAAGACUCAGUGUAUAUAUAUAUAUAUAUAUAUAUAUAUAUAUAAAUAAUAAAAAAAACUCAAGUUAACCCAUCAAGUCUUCGGUUUGGAUUAUAAGAUCGAGAUAAGAAAACUCAAUAUUAAAAAAUAAAAUUAAAGAAAAAAACUAUAAAAACAUGUAUGGUUUAACAAUAUUAAUCAAUUAUUAAAAUCUUUCAUUUUAUAUAUAUUAAAAAUAAAUAUUAAUAACUAUUAUAUCAAUUUGUGAAUAUUUCAAUUUGGAUGCGAAUAAAUGUUUUAUAUAUGACAUUUUUCUUAAGAGACCAAAGUUAUUAAACAUGUUUAGAUUUAAUUACUAGAUGAGAGUGAGAGUUGAGGUCAUAAAUUGACCUAAUUAAUAUUCAGAUCAAGAUUUAGGUCAUAGAUGGGACAAAUUAGCUUAUUGACUAGUGUUAAUAAAAAAUUGUAUCAUUUUAUGAUUUUUGUUAUUGAAAAAAUCAAAAUUGUGUUGUUAAAAAAAGUAAAACUAGGUUUUAACUGAGUUGACUAGGUUGUGGGUUGAUUUAUCUGGUCAACUAGGCUCGAUUGAGUCAACUCUCACUUGGUUUUUUCUAAACCUAAAAAGGGUUAGUUCCAGAUUAAAAUGUUAGGCUUGAAUUAAAUUUAACAACACUGAUUAAAACCACAAUGUAGGAAAAAAAAUUGAAUUGUAUAAAAGUAAUUAACCGAAAACUUGAAUUCCUUCUUAUAAAGUUGAACCCAUGUCGGUUUUUUUAAAGGAAAAGUAUGAAUCAAAGGUUAACGCUAGGCUGCUCACUUUGCAUCACAAUGACAGAUAUGGAAGGCUUGCUACUUUCUUUAUGGAAAUAACGUGUGGAAAAUCAUGCCUUAAUUUUGAUGGUGAUGGCAAAAUCAAACAAUAUCUUUGAUAAAAUGAACCACAAAUGAUAUUAUUUUUAAAAUACUUCUUGUCAUUAUCAUGACAAUAAGUCUUCUUCUUUUUCUUUCUAAAGUACUUGUCGGUCUAUUUUUAUGUAACCCAAUCAACAAGUAAGAUGGAUAGGAAUUUGUAGUGCAAAUUGGGUUUGUGAGACCAUGUAUCGCCAUCUGCAUUUUUUCCACGAUCUAGGCCAGUGGGAUGGUACAUGAGACCAUUGCUAUCAAGCGUUUUUUCUACGAGAUGGGUCCAUGAGACCAUUGCCUUGUAAGCUUGGGAAUGGAUAAUUAAUAUGCUUUAAUUUCUAUUUAGUUUGCAAAAAAAAAUAAAUUAAAUGCUUAUGCAUAAAAAAUAAAUCUCAAGUGUUAAAAUGCAACCACCGAUUAAUUAAUGGACAAUGGACCUUAGAUUAAUACAUGACGCAACUUUCAAUGGAAUUAUAUUUGUGGAGGUAUUUGCUCGGAUGCGAAUUAUAUUUCUAUUUUUUUAUUUUAAAAAAUUCUAUACUACAACGAGCUUAAGAAAGUCAUGUUCAGAGGCGGAGCUAUAAUUAUUUGUUAGGGGGUCAAAAUUAAUAUAAUAAGAUAUAAUAUUUAUUUUAAUUUAUUGUACAUGAGUUAUAAAAUAAAACAUGUAUAAUUUAGUUUUAUUCAAAUAACUUACUACAAACAUAUAAUAACCUUUGUGAAGCAUAUUGGGACUGCUCAACCAUAACUUUAACAUUACACAUUGGAGUUGGUUCACUAGACUAUGAGUUAUAUAUAUAUAUAUAUAUAUAUAUAUAUAUAUAUAUAUAUAUUUUAAAUCAAUUCUUUUUAUUUUGUUCAUGGUUCAACCUAAAAUCAAAACAUAUAUCGUAAGAAAAAAUUGAUAAUUUUGAUGGCUCUGCUAAAAAUAAAACAGAAAAAAAAUCCAAGCAUAAUCAAAACAAAACCAAUAAAAUAUAUCUAAUUAAUUAGAAAAAAAUCACUAUAAUAAGAAUUCAAAAAACAAUUGGUAGAACUAGCAGAUCUGAGAAAAAAAAGGAGCAACAAUGGUAGAAAUAUAAAAAAUUCUCAUCAAAUUAUUAACAAACAUCUCAAAACAAAACAAAUAUAUAUUUUAAAUUUAAGUUACCUUGUUUUAUUUGAUGAAAGAUAAAUUAAUUGGUGGCUCUACUUCAAUCUUUUUGUAGAAAAAUUUUGCUCACGAUUUGUAUUUUUAUUUCUUUGUUUGAUCGGCUGCAGGAUUUAUAUUAGAAUAAAUUGAUGGUUUUAUUUUUUAUUUCACAAAGUAAUGCCUUAAUUUUUUUUUUUCCAUCUAGGUCAGGAGUAAAUUAAAAGGAAAUCAAAAGUAAAGUCAAUAAUAACCCAAAGUAAUGGCUUAAUUAUUUGAUGUCGCAAAGUAAUGCUUUAAUAACCCAAUAAUAAAAAAAACAAAUGUCUUGAGGGGGGGGGGGGGGCGAGCCCCUGCUUAACCCCUGCUUCCGCCCCUGGUCAUGUUCAUCGAAAAAAAAAAAAUCUAUUUACUCGGAUAUGUUUUUUCUACGAGAUGGGUCCAUGAGAACAUUUCCAUCUGCAUAUUGGUCCUUGAGACCGUUGCCAUCAGGUGCAGAGACAGGGAGGCUGGCAGGAGCCCUGCCCUAGCAAGAAAUUUUUUUUUCCAACCCCUCCCUUAAUAAUAUUUAUAUUUUUAGCUUAAAUAAUAAAACAAUUAACAUUUUGGCCCUUUUUAAUUUGAUUUUCUGGUUCCGCCCCUGGUUGCCAUCAUGCAUUUUUCCUCGAGGAGAGGCCAUGAGACGUCCUCUUCCAACCAUCAUGCAUUUUUUUCCACGAGAUGGGUUCGUGGAGAAACUUUGGUUUAAUUGGGAAUGCUGUUAUUGAUAUGAAACUUUUUAAUUAAAAUAAAUUUGAUUAUUUUAUUGGAAAAAAUCCUUAAAUGUUAUUAACACAUGACAUCAAUUUAUUUUCUUAAGAAAAAAAUAUUGUAACCAUAUUGUAAAAUAUUUUAAAAAAAUAAAAUUGUUUUAAAUAGAUAACUUUUGAAUAAUCGAGUAGUGAAACACAAUAAGAGUGAAGAAAGUGAAGAAUAAUCUAAGUGGUGCGGGUCGACAUCAAUUUUUGUCCAUAUUUUGGUAUUAAUCCCUUCAUCCAUUUAUGGUCAGAGAAAAGAACAUCACUUACUGCUUUUCUUGUCUCUUCUUGCUUGGAAGAUAAGGUAAAUGAACUUUCGAGUGCCACUCAUUUUAGUACAUGGACUUAGUUAUUUUAUCAGAGCUUUAUUGCAAUUUAAAUUUGUUUAAUUAAAAAAAUUAUAAUAGAUUUCUUUAAUAUAUUUUUUAUUUUAAAAAAAAUUAAGUUAAAAUUAAAAAAUUUAUAUACAAAUAUAGUCAAAUAAAUCAAGAAUUAUGUAUGUUAAUAAAUAAAAAAAACCAUAAAUGAUGACUCAAAAUAAAAACUAAAAAAAUCGAGAGACAGAUGUAGAUCAAAAUAUUUAAUUUCACAAGACAUGACAUUUACGCAAUUGUAUCUUCUAAAAAUUCAAAUUAAAAUAAUUUUUUUAUUCGAUCAAACGAUAAUAAAAACAACACACACAUUAUAAAUUGAUUGAAUAAAAUAAAAGAAAAAAAAAUAAUAUGCAAUGUUGCACAUAUUAGAAAUAUUAUUUGAAAAUGAAUUUCUUUUUAUUUUUAAAAAUAAAAUUCAUCUAUACUAAAAAAUUUUAUAUAUUAAAUUUAAAACAAAUAAACUUCAAAAUAAUAUCCAAGGCUCUACAUAAACCCUUUAAAAGGAAAAGUAAUAGAGAGAGAACAAAAGUGGAACACUUUGGAAAAAAACUAAGUAAUUAACCGAAACUUAUAUUCCUUCUUGAAACGUUGACCUCAAGUCAAGUUUAUUUAUUUAUUUAUUUUUGGAAAAAACAUGAAUAAAAGGCUAAUGCUAGGCACACGAAGAUGAUGGAUAUAGAAGACUUGCUACUUUUUUUAUGGAAAUUACUUGUGGAAAAUUUAGGCCUUGAAAAAAAUUAAAAAUAAAAUACUAUUAAUCGUGUUAUUUGCAUUCUGACAACAAAAAUCAUAAUUAAGAGCAAGUAUUCAAAUUAAAAAAAAAAAUCAAUACAAGUUUUUAAUUAGAAAAAACAAGAUACAAAAUGCUGUGUAAGUGUCAUCAACUCUUUGUAUUUUCUAACUAUUAAAGAAUUGAAUAUAUAAUUAAUACACGUGUGAGAAACAUCAAAAUAAAUCCAAUUAUAUAAUAUACUAAGAUUUUAAAAACUAAUUCUUUUAAAAACUAACACUACAUAGAAAAAUAUAAAGCUCAAGGCAUCAAUUAAUUUAAAGAUACCAUGCAAGAUAAAAAAAGAAAAAAAAAACAUUUAAAGGGAAAGGACCCACAAUCAAUUAUUGUUAUUCGUUUAAUUAUAAAUAGAAUGAAGCUCGCUGGACUUUUAUCAGGGACUAAAGUAGUUUCCAUCUUAUAUGCAGUUAGAAUCUCCCAUAUUUGUCAACAUGCCAGAAAAGCUAUUCGCAAAGAAACUCUCAGAAACUCACAUGCCAGAAUGGCAGUUCCAAUGGAAAGCCUCUACGCUUUCCAAAUCCCAGAAGGAGAACACUCUAAGAAUUUGGUGUCACUGACUGUUACCAUAUAUAAUCUUUAAAAUGUAUCCAAUUUAGGACUAUAAAGAUUAUCUUACCAUAGAUAGAUGCUGGUUCUUAGGGAAUGAGGGAGACUCCUUGUAUAGCAGAACAACCUUCUAUGUACACUCCUUGUGUAGCAAAAUAACCUUCCAUGUAUAAGAGGCCUUUUCUGCUGACUGCAGGGGAGAACAUUCUGAAAAGUUAAUGAAUUAAUUAACUCUCUUGGUAUUCUAGUUUUGGCUUGAAUGUAUUAACACUGACAUCCAUGACAAGAGGUGGAGGUUCCGAUGUUGUACAAGAAAAACUGAGUUGAUAACCUUAAACCAGUCCUGUCUUCAGGUUGGAUUGAGUUCGCCAAAAAAAAAAAGGGUUCUCAAAAAAGGUGAUGAAGUCACCUUCUCUGUGAUGGACAUGAAGGGAGCCGAGGAUCUGGAAUUGGGAAUUCAAGCUCGGAAAAGAAUCAAGCUAUUCGGCCAAGAUUUUUGGAGUAAUCCUUUGUGAAGAAGAAGAAGAAGCUACUCCUCGCAUAAAAUAUAGGUGUUGAUCGAUGUAGCUUUAUCUUCUAUCUUCUAGUAUCAGUUCUUUCUUUCUUGCUUGCCUUUUUUUUUUUCCUCCUGGAAAGGAAGGCUUGGGGGUGUUUGAUGCUAGCUAUCUCUUAAAAUGUCUAUCCUAGAACUUAGAAUCAUGUGAGUAAAAGAGUGAAUCUUCUAACCAAAUAUAUAUAUGUAUAAUAUAUCCUUACAAGAAAUAUUCCAUACUUUUUCUUAAAUUAUAAAUUAAAAAGAAAUUGGUUAUAACAUGGUUAACGAACACACGAAAAUAAACAGGUGUAUUUCGUACACAAAUUCUUUUUUUUUUUUUUCUUACAAGUUUUUUUACCAGUUAAAAUAUACUCUUAUUAUUUUGUUUUUCCAUUGGUAGUAUAUCAGUCCUUAAGGCGAGGGUAAUACUAUGUUUCCCAUUUGUAAGUGGUGGAGAUAUUGGAGGCCACUCUCCCUGGAAUCAAUUUAUUGCUGUUGAUAUUUCUUCACCGUCGAUCUUGGAAAUUAAGCCCAACAUCGAAUUCCAGUUCGUGGAAAAGGCAUGCACCAAGGACCAUAUGUNNNNNNNNNNNNNNNNNNNNNNNNNNNNNNNNNNNNNNNNNNNNNNNNNNNNNNNNNNNNNNNNNNNNNNNNNNNNNNNNNNNNNNNNNNNNNNNNNNNNNNNNNNNNNNNNNNNNNNNNNNNNNNNNNNNNNNNNNNNNNNNNNNNNNNNNNNNNNNNNNNNNNNNNNNNNNNNNNNNNNNNNNNNNNNNNNNNNNNNNNNNNNNNNNNNNNNNNNNNNNNNNNNNNNNNNNNNNNNNNNNNNNNNNNNNNNNNNNNNNNNNNNNNNNNNNNNNNNNNNNNNNNNNNNNNNNNNNNNNNNNNNNNNNNNNNNNNNNNNNNNNNNNNNNNNNNNNNNNNNNNNNNNNNNNNNNNNNNNNNNNNNNNNNNNNNNNNNNNNNNNNNNNNNNNNNNNNNNNNNNNNNNNNNNNNNNNNNNNNNNNNNNNNNNNNNNNNNNNNNNNNNNNNNNNNNNNNNNNNNNNNNNNNNNNNNNNNNNNNNNNNNNNNNNNNNNNNNNNNNNNNNNNNNNNNNNNNNNNNNNNNNNNNNNNNNNNNNNNNNNNNNNNNNNNNNNNNNNNNNNNNNNNNNNNNNNNNNNNNNNNNNNNNNNNNNNNNNNNNNNNNNNNNNNNNNNNNNNNNNNNNNNNNNNNNNNNNNNNNNNNNNNNNNNNNNNNNNNNNNNNNNNNNNNNNNNNNNNNNNNNNNNNNNNNNNNNNNNNNNNNNNNNNNNNNNNNNNNNNNNNNNNNNNNNNNNNNNNNNNNNNNNNNNNNNNNNNNNNNNNNNNNNNNNNNNNNNNNNNNNNNNNNNNNNNNNNNNNAGAGAAAAAUACAGACUCAAAUUCACAACACCCAUUUUCUUUCCAUUGGAACACUUUAAAUAGUUUAUUAAAUUUAUAAUGAUCUGAUUUCUAUGCAUAUAUAAAAAUCAACUUAAUGAUCAAUUCUCUAUAAUUUCAGCAUGACUAAAAACAUCCAAACUAAUAAACUAUUAGUUAUUUUAGUCAUUUUAAUAAACAUUUUAGUUAUGAAUUCACCAAACAUUUUGAACAAUUCAUAUGGAUGAAUUAACAUGUUAAUUUUAGAUUUUUUAACUUAUUAAUUCCUUCAUGAGUUACUUCUAAAGCAUGUUAUAUAUAUCUAAGCAUUUUUAUAUAAUAUAAUUCUAUCAAAUUCACUUUUACCAGUCCUGUCUUCAGGUUGGAUUGAGUUCGCCAAAAAAAAAAAAGGGUUCUCAAAAAAGGUGAUGAAGUCACCUUCUCUGUGAUGGACAUGAAGGGAGCCGAGGAUCUGGAAUUGGGAAUUCAAGCUCGGAAAAGAAUCAGCUAUUCGGCCAAGAUUUUUGGAGUAAUCCUUUGUGAAGAAGAAGAAGAAGCUACUCCUCGCAUAAAAUAUAGGUGUUGAUCGAUGUAGCUUUAUCUUCUAUCUUCUAGUAUCAGUUCUUUCUUUCUUGCUUGCCUUUUUUUUUUCCUCCUGGAAAGGAAGGCUUGGGGGUGUUUGAUGCUAGCUAUCUCUUAAAAUGUCUAUCCUAGAACUUAGAAUCAUGUGAGUAAAAGAGUGAAUCUUCUAACCAAAUAUAUAUAUGUAUAAUAUAUCCUUACAAGAAAUAUUCAAUACUUUUUCUUAAAUUAUAAAUUAAAAAGAAAUUGGUUAUAACAUGGUUAACGAACACACGAAAAUAAACAGGUGUAUUUCGUACACAAAUUCUUUAUUUUUUUUUCUUACAAGUUUUUUUACCAGUUAAAAUAUACUCUUAUUAUUUUGUUUUUCCAUUGGUAGUAUAUCAGUCCUUAAGGCGAGGGUAAUACUAUGUUUCCCAUUUGUAAGUGGUGGAGAUAUUGGAGGCCACUCUCCCUGGAAUCAAUUUAUUGCUGUUGAUAUUUCUUCACCGUUGAUCUUGGAAAGCCCAACAUCGAAUUCUAGUUCGUGGAAAAGGCGAGCACCAAGGACCAUAUGUUCUUUGCAUUUGAAUGUUAGUAAUCUCGAGGUUUACUUGGUCAAUCCAGCGUGCAAUGAUGAUGGAACUACCUUGUCUACUUUGAUGCCAAGGUAUAGAUUUUGUGCACAGAAGAUUGUGUCUGUGAGUAAUAGAGCUGGUUGCCUAUGUACAAUUAGUAUGCUUUGGCAGGAAGACCCCGUGACUGGUCCUUGGAUAGCUGAGAAAGCCAAGUCUCUGGCAACUUCAGAGGAAUCCAGGAGCAGGAAAAAAAUGAAGGUGAAAGGAUAUGAAUUUGCUAGUGCAACUGCUGCAAAGGAUCUAAGAGACAUAAAUUUGCGAACUAGAGAAGAGUUAAUUUUGAGCUCAGCAUUCUUCUUGCAUGUUCGUCUGUUUCCUGUUGUGGUUGAUCUUAGCAGUUCUCAGUAUAGUAAUUUGCAUUUCCUUCUAGAUCAGAUGAUUAAUGGAUUAUCAGGCAUGGCCUGCGAUGUAGUCGGUGCUAGGGAAUCAACAAAGUUAACUCAUUGUAUUUCAGAAAUUAAAGGGAUUUCUCUUCUUUUCUUUGUCAAUUACAGUUCUUGUAUAAAAGUUUUCUUACCCAGAGUAAAUGCUAUUGUAAUGUUUUCACAGAGACUCCCCUGUUUUGCAACUAAUUCACUUAUAUAUCUGGGAAACAGAAAGACAAUCAACAAAGAGUAAGGCAUCUUCUGAAGAAACAAAGAAAUUUAAUACCCUAAACUAAGCAGCAGGUAGAAGGCAAAAACUCCCUACAAGAAAAUCGGUGAAAACCAACGGAAUUACCGACGAAAUUUUUUCGUCGGUAAAUUUUACCGACGGAAAUACUUCCGUGUCUACUUCUGUUGGUAUUUACUGACAGAAAAUAUCCGUUGGUGAUACGGUCGGUAUAUACCGACCGUAUCACCAACGAAUUAUAAAGUUUUUUGGAAAGUUGCAACGGUGUGGUGACGUGGAUUUUUUUUUCCAGAUGAUUUUACUGACAGAAUGACCGAUGGAUUCAAACAAGGAUCUCCGUAUAGUGACGUGGCACAUUCACUGGCGGAAUCACCGAUAGGUAUACCGACGGAACGUGUCCAUCGGUGAUUCCAUCGGUAAAAGCCAAUAUAUACCCACUCUGCCGACACUCUCUUCCUCUAUUUCACCUUUUUCUUGCCCUUCUUCUUCCCCAUCCCACCUCUCCCCUCCCGAACUGCAGCCAACCACCCAUCCCAACUCUCCCCCUCUUCUCAACACAAGCACUCAAGUUUCUUAUACUUUUGUACGUGGUCACAACAAUAUCCGUUCUUGUGGAUUUUAUCAUUUUUUGUAAGUAAAUCUAUCCUUUUUUAUUUUAACAUUUAAAUUUGAAUUUUUUUUUAGCAUAUGUUUUUUGUUAACAUAUGUACUUGUUUGAUUGUUAUUUAUCAAAGAAACUUGUAGUAUGAUUGUAUAAUUUUGUAGUUGUUAUAGUUUGUUUUAGAUUUUAUCAAAUUAUAUUUGUUUGUAAAUUGUUGAAACUUUGUUUGAAUUAUACCGAAUUAGAUGUGUUGUGAUGAAAUAAAUAAUAGCUUGUUUAACGGAUCCGUUUUAAUUUUUAUCAAUUCUAUUGCGAAGUUGUGAUUUCCGUAAAUUUAUAUAUGUAUAAAUUUGUAUGGACGUUGAUAGAUGAUAAUUGAUAAUGAAUAUUUAAAUUAAGUGCUUUUUUAGUUUGUUGGAUAAUGUUGGGGCACACCAAUAUUUUUGUUAUGUUUAUUUAUGUAACAUAAUUAAUUAAUACAUGUUGUCAUCAUAAUUUUUUGAUAGAAGUCAUGGAUGAUCAUUCAUGGAUGUAUCGAGACUCACCCCAAGGAUUGCGGAGGAUGGAUUAUUGUAACGGGGUUCAGGGUUUUAUUAAUUUCUCAACAUCUAUCCCAAGGAAUUUUACUGAUCGCGGUAUUAGGUGUCCAUGCAGGAAGUGUAAAAAUAAAAAGUUUUCGCAUCAAGAUGUUGUAACGAUGCAUCUUCUAACCAAUUCGGAUCAUUUGGUAAGCACAUGACAUGGCACCAAUCACAUCAUGCGGUUGAUGGAGUGAUGGUGCAUCCUUUUGACGGCAAAGCCUGGAAACACUUUAAUAGUGUGCAUCCUUACUUUUCAGCUGAAUCAAGGAACGUUCGUCUUGGGUUGUGUACAGACGGAUUCAACCCAUUCAGAUCAUUUGUUGCUCCUUAUUCUUGUUGGCUGGUCAUACUGAUGGUUUAUAACUUGCCACCGGGGAUGUGUAUGAGGCCGGAGUUCAUGUUUUUAUCUAUGGUCAUACCAGGUCCGAGCAGUCUGGGGUGGAAUAUAGAUUUUUGUCUUCAUUUGUUGAUUGAUGAGUUGACGCAGUUGUGGUCCUCUGGAGCUUUGACUUAUGACAUCUCGAGGAAAAAAAAUUUUGUUAUGAGAGCGGCUUUGAUGUGGACUAUCAAUGAUUUCCCAGCUUAUGGAAUGGUUUCUGGUUGGAGCAUGCAUGGAAAGCUAGCAUGUCCAUACUGUAUGGACAACAACAAAGCAUUCACGCUAACAAACAGGGGUAAAACUUCUUUUUUUUGACUGUCAGCGUCGUUUCUUGCCACCGAAUCACAGGUACAGAAAGAACAGAAAGGAUUUCUUUAUUGGUAGAGUUGAAAAGGAUGUUGCACCCCCGCGUCUUUCCGGUGAAGAAUUGCUUGAUGUUGUGUCAGAGUACGGUGACAUUGUGUUUGGUCUCCAAUCAGGUAAGCAGAAGUUUCUUGGUUUUGGUUUGACCCAUAAUUGGGUGAAGCGAAGUAUCUUUUGGGAGCUUCCUUAUUGGAAGACCAAUCUUCUCCACCAUAACCUUGACGUCAUGCACAUUGAAAAGAACGUGUUUGUGAACAUUUUCAACACCGUCAUGGAUGUGAAGGGGAAGACAAAGGACAACAUCAAGGCUAGAUUGGAUGUAGCGUUGUUCUGUAACCGUAAAAAUAUGGAGUUGGUUUGUGAUGGGUCACAGGUCGCAAAACCAAGAGCAAGCUUCGUGUUAGAUAAAAACGCACAACUACUAGUCUAUAAAUGGCUUAAGAGUCUGCGUUUCCCCGAUGGACAUGCCUCGAACAUAUCAAGGCUGGUUAAUACGGAGGAAUGUAGAUUAUAUGGAAUGAAGAGUCAUGACUGCCAUGUGUUUAUGCAAACACUCAUCCCACCAAAGGGGAUAUGGGAUGCACUAACGGAGAUCAGUCAUUUCUUCAGAGAUAUAUGCUCCAGCAAGUUGAAUGUUGAUCACGUUGAAAGGCUUGAAAUGAAUAUCGUCGAGACAUUAUGCAAACUUGAGAUGAUAUUCCCUCCAUCAUUUUUUGACUCAAUGGAGCAUCUUCCUAUACAUUUACCGUUUGAGGUAAAAGUUGGAGGAUCGGUCCAGUACAGAUGGAUGUAUCCAUUCGAGAGGUUAGAUAUUACAAUUGCUAUGUAAUUCAUAAUUAAACGUUUUUUUUUUGUUUUUUUAAUUGAUAAUUUUUUAUUAAUUCUAUCUAUUUAUAUAUAUGCAAGUACUUGUUCAAUCUUAAAAAAAAAGUUGAGAACAAGGCGCAUGUUGAGGUGUCAAUAUGUGAGGCCUAUAUUGUUGAGGGGAUCUUAACAUUUAUCUCAUACUAUUUCGAACCUCAUUUGAGAUCGAGGAUCAACCGUGUUCCACGACAUGAUGAUGGUGGUGAGGUGCCUUCAAGUGGGAACUUGUCAAUAUUCUCCAAUCCUGGACGACCAACACCUAAAAAUGCCGUGAGGGGAAGAUAUUUGUCUGAAAUAGAGUUCAGACAAGCACACAAUUAUGUCCUAUUUAACUGUGAUGAGCUGAGACCUUUUAUUAAGUAAGUAGAUGUUCGACUUAAACUUUGUCAAGAGUGUACUAUUUAUGUUUUGUGAUACCAUAAACUCAUAUAAUUUGGAACAACCUUGCAGGCAACAUCGACGAUACUUACUGUUCAAUAACUCACAGUUGACCGAAUCCCAGAUCUUUCAAUUACAAGAUGAACAAUUUGUCACGUGGUUUAGAACACAUGUAAGUCCUAUCACAAACUCAUUAUCUCUUGCAAAACUGUAUGUCAAUAUUACAUAAUAUUCAUUUAUUGAUUAUUGUUGUAUUUAAUAUACAAGGUUUAUCAAAUGGGAGGUAGUGCUGCUAUUUCACUGUCUUUACUAAGCCUGGGCCCUGAAAGAAAAGUCAAGUGCUAUAACGGGUAUUUUGUCAAUGGAUAUGUCUUUCAUAUUGAAGAAUACGGGCAUGGAAGAAAGACAUACAACAACAGUGUUUGUAUUAUGGGAUCGACUUUUAGUGAGUUUGAAGUUGACUACUAAGGUAGAUUGGAAGACGUCAUCGAACUACAAUAUCAUAGCGAGCAGAAUAUAGUGUUUUUAUUCAAAUGCUAUUGGUAUGACACAACUGACAAAGGAAUCAGAGUAGAUCCUCACUAUGCAGGUGAUUACCCGUCGGCUGACAUCUCCUCGCGCGCCUAGCACCAGCCAAACUGCCUCAAUCUGAACAUGCACCCAAGGUUGUCAAUUCCGUUUCGGUAGGUGUUUUGUUUUUUCAAUUGGAAUGGAAUGUUUUAGUUUCGGAGUGUUUCGGCGUGCCGUUUUGGGGUUGUACUGUUCAUAUAUAUAUAUAUAUUCAACAAACAUAAUUCAAAUUCAAGAUAAAUUAAUUAUAAAUUAUGCAAUACAAACACAAUGUCAAACAAAUAUAAUUUCAAAAUUUAAAAUAUUUCUAAAUAGUCAAGAUUAAAUAGAUCUUUAACUUAAAGUAAUUCAACUUAAACAAAAUAUCAAAAUAUUAUGAAAGUAAAAUGUUUUAACACAAAUAUUUUAAAUAUAAAGUUAGGUCGAUGUUAUCAAGGCUAAUGGAAUCUAAAACAUCCCUUGUUUUGCUCAAAUUCCUACAAAGUAUAAACAUGAAAAAAACAACAUGAAUAUAAACCAUAUAUAUUAGUAAUAAAUCUAAUUUUUAAAAAUUAAUAUCAUUGUUAAUGAAAAUAGUAAUAAUAAUUUUCAAUAUUAUUAUUAAUAUAAUUGUUAUUGAAAAUAGUAAUGAAAAAUAGCUUUUUAUAAUUGGGUGAUUUAAUUAAUUAAAUUGAACAAGGUUCAAUUUGAUUCAAUGGCUUUUCAAGAGCGGAACGGAACAUGUGGAAUGAAACCGGAACGUUCCGGGUGGAAUUUAGCCGAAAAAUCCAGAACGGACCGAGAUUUAAAAUGAGAUGAAAUUUGUUUUGUUUUUUGAAUUGGUAUGUAAUAUUUCGGCCAUUCCGAGCGAAAUGGAACAGAAUUGACAACCUUGCAUGCACCAGACAAAGUCGAUGAAAAGACGCCAGAGAGCCUCAACAGGCGAGAAGAAAGCGCAGGAAGAAACGCGAAAAACAGAGAGGGAGCGCGGUAAAGACUGUGAAGCCACAGGAUUCACACACAGUGCUAAUGAGCACUCUUAGUUUUAUAUAUAUAUAUAUAUAUAUAUAUAUAUAUAUAUUGAUAAUUAUAAUUCCCUUAGUUUUAGUUUGUUAGUAAUGAACAGUGAAGCAGCUCAAGAAUACAAUUCUUUUAGUUUGUUAGCGAAUCUGGAAAAGAAUAAAGUCAUCUGUCAAGCUCUGUUCACUUUGGUCCGACAUUCCUCCUCUCCCCACCUGAGCUCUCUCUUUUUUCCUCCUCCGCUCUCGGAAACCGCAGCCGCCCGCCCCCUCAACCAAUAAGGCUUCAAAUCUCCACCAGGUGCUUCCUUUUCUAUUAUGUUUUUUUUUUUAAAAAAAGAUUUAUGUUUGCGUUUUCAUUUAUUUAAAUGAAAUUACUAUACAGAGAGAGAAAUUUUAUUUUAAUAUAUUAGAGGAUGAAUCAUCACCUCCCCACGUCACUAAAGAGAAGGAUGGCAUGGUUACCUGAAUUCUGUUACUCUGUUACUUAUUAUUUGUUGCUUCUGUAAUGAGCUGUACAUAAAGGGUAAUGUUGACAUUGCAUGGGAUAAGUUAGUUAGAAUAUUCUUUGCUUGCUGUAUAUAAUUGGACGAGCUGCAUCAUUCAAUAGACAUGAGGAAUUUCUCUCUGCAAUUCUGUUUUCCUCUAUUUCACAUUCUUUUGUUUCAUAAUAAGUAAAUUAAAAAGAUAUAUAAUCAGACCCGAUGAAAUCGCUGCUCGUGAACGCAACUCGAAGAAAGGCGCAAUCAGCAUUUAGUAUGGUCAAGGUUAUUGUGUUGUCUAUUCAAAGCAAGAUGUGCCUGUAAAUUUGUUAAGUUGAUUCUUAUCAGUCUGCUUUUUAGAGUUGAUGAUAACAUGAAAUAUUCAUUGUUAAUGCUCGUUGUUUUCUUCUUCUUUUUUCCUAGAUUAAAACAUCCUAGACAAUCUCUUUGGGAUGGUUUAGUGUUUCUGGUCUCUUCAUCUUCUAUUUGUACUGUGGUAUUUAGUCUGCUGAUAUUCAUUGGGGGAUUGAAAAGCCUCGUUUUAUGACUUUGUUUUGUUUUCUUGUUAUUUCUUUAUUCUUUUGGGAAUGUGGUAUUUUCCUCUUUCUAUUUACACUAUUUGCUCCCUACAAUAUUUUUUCUUUCAGAGAAGUAAAUAUAUACAUAAAUAACAAGAACAGGAGGGGAAGGGGAGGGGAGUUUGACAGUAGUAUUUGCUUAGAAGGGAAUGCUUCUUUGGUUUAGAAGCACUAUGAAGAUUCAGGCCGAAAUCUUUGCUUAGAAUGGCCGAAUACCCUGGAUCUUGACUGGUUGUGUAUAUUUGUUAUGCAUCCAUAUUUGGCUGAAUUCUUUAAUAAAGUACAUGAUAUUAGACGGAAGUUCUUUUUAAAUCUAUUCAAGUCUGAAUAAACUGAUAUUACAUUUUUCAUGAUCUUGAUGUGCUUUUACUCUUCUUGCCGUUCCUGACUUUCUUUUUAGGGUCUAUUUUUACUUGCAAUAUGUUUUUUUUUCUUUUUGGUUGGCCCACUGUCUCAGGCGGAGAACCUGACUCACGGAAAAGAAUAGUUGACAAAAUGUAAGUAUUUGUUUUCUAAUAUGUGCAAGUACUGCAAAAUAGCAAAUUUUUUAUUUAUAUGAAAGAAAAGGAGAAGGGCAAAAGGUUAAUUAAAAUCAGCAGGAUUGCCAUGAGGCAACCUCAAGUGUCACGCACCUCUUUUUUUGUUUUUUUUUUCCAUCUUCUCAUGUGUUUCUCACAAGAAGCAAACUUGAGGGAACAUAAAGUGCUGGGAAGUAAUUUUUGUAGGAACUUCUUGUGUAAUCUCUUGUUUCGAUGAUGACCUCUUGGAUGGCUGCACGAAGCUUGUUCCGCUUUAAAUUUCAAGGUUAAUCUAUUGCUAUGAGCAUACGUGUUUCGAGUUGCAACUGAACUUAAAUGAAUGGUGUUGGAUUUGGGCCUUCUAUUUGUUUUAACUUCUAUAGGGUUGAAAUGAUAGUGAUCUUAAAGUAGAAAAGCAGCAGACAAAAAUCAAUUAGCCACAAUGGUGUAUGAUUUCCAAGUUUCUCAGCAUAAAGUUGAAUGUUUUGUUGACCUCUCUACAUUCAAAAUCAUAUAGACAGCUACUCCUGGCACUUGUAGUGGCUAAUGAUUACUGUAGAGUAUAUAUUACAGUGUGAGAUAAGGUUAACUCGUUGCAUUUUCAUAAAUUGAAAGGAUUUCUCUUCUUUUCAAUGUCAAUUACAGCACAUGCAUAGAAGUGCUCUUGCUCAUAGUAAAUGCUAUUGUAAUGUUUUCAUAGAGACUCCCCUGGUUUGCAACUAAUUCACUUAUAUAUCUUGGAACAUAGCCAUAAAUGAAAGGUUCUUCCAGUUCAAGAAAAUUAACCAUGAAGCUAGUAGCUAGAAUUUUUAGAUAGAAGGGUGGCCAAGUAAACUCCUAUACUCUGUACCUCUAGAGGAAGUAAAAAUAUAUGUCUAUGUAUUUUGAUGCCGUAUAUUACUUGACCGACACUUGUUUAUGUCAUUAUUUGUUUUUACUUUUUGCUAGUGAUUCCACACAUUUCUGAUAUUGAUGUGGUUUAUAAGUUCAGGGUUUUUGUUCGCUGCUAUUAACUUCUCUAUACUUGCCUGGUCAUUAAAAAUGAAACGUAAUGAUUUACAUGUGUAGAAUGGAUACAUUAAAGAGGCAUCUUCUGUUUUCUGGUCAGGAGGGAUUACAAGAACUCAAGAAAAUUGUCAUACGGCUUGAGGAAAAGAUUUAUACUACCGCCACCAAUCAGGUAUUUGCCUAAUGCGAGGUUCGAUAAUUACGAUAUUCUCUAGACAUGAAUAUACACACGCAUGUACAAAUGUGUGUGUAGUGUGCCUACACUUCCUCACUGUUUAUUCUCUAGACAUGAAUAUACACACGCAUGUACAAGUGUUUUAUUUAGAGUGACCAAGUUCAAGUAGAGGGGAAGUGCGCAAAAAGCAAAUAGUGAAUCAAUACAUGAAUAAUUAAGUUAAAAGAGAGGAAACAGAAGUAUAUCCUCACAAAAGAUGAAAUGAUAGAGCAUAUAUCAAUUUUCCCCCUUCUCUUGUAACAUGGAUUGCUCUGAGAGCUAAUGUUUUGUUAUUGAUAUCUGAUUUCAGUCUGAUUAUCUGUGUAAAAUAUCUCUGGAGAUUUUUUCGAUGGAGAUCGGGUCUCAAAACGCCAUGCCCACUGCCCCCAUGGAUCUAGAAGGUAAUAAUGCAGCCAAGCAUUGGAUUUCUAAACAUCUUACCUUUUCUUUUUCUUUUCGCAUUGUUAUCAAACUCUCUUACAUUUUAUUGCUGCAUAUUGCUAUAUAUUUCGCCUUGCUGGAAAAAUCUCAUGAUCACCUUCAUGAUGCUAAUUCUGUAAUGCAUGUGAAGUGUUUCAUCCUUAACUUGUUAAGGAACAAGGACUGUGAUGCAUGGCUAUUUUAUAUUUUAUGAUUGAGAUGGUAGAUUUUAAAGAUUUUCCUGUUUAGGAGAUAAGACGUCACUUUCUUGCUUUUCUUCCGAGAGAGUAUUUGAUCCUUUUUUCGUAUAAAAUAAUGUUGCCAUGCAUUGAAUUUCCAAAUAUCUUACCUUAUGUUUUUUUUGUCGCAUUGUUAUCAAACUCUUUUACAUUUUAUUGCGGCAUAUUGCUAUAUGUAUGGCAUGCUUUAAUCAAAAAGUUGAGUAAUCGAUGAAUGUUAGGCAAGAAAAUUACUGAUUAUUUUUGUUUUCUGCCUCCUUUUCUUUCUCCCACCCUGAAAAUUGUCAUAUUAUUUUUGUUUUCAGCCGCCUCUUCUUCCCCCAACCCUGAAAAUUGUCAGAGGACACUUUUAUGCUUUGAAUCAAAUCCAUCCUAAUUCUUUCACUCAUAACUUUAUAUGUGAACUGCCGAUGUUUCAUUUGUCUUCCUUGUUCAGUGCCUUCUUUUUUUCUUUGACAUGGUUUUCCUUUUUGCCUUUUAUCUUGAACAGCAUCCCAUAGUAUCCCCACUCAAGUUCAGAAUCAUGGGUUGUUUCUCCCUAUCCUAUUGUCCACUGAUCAGUCUCAAGCACGCCAGCAGUUGUUAUCACAGAACAUGCAGAAAUGCAUGGCAUUUAAUGGAGUUCAAAUUUCUGCUGGUUUACAAGCGGCACUACCUCCUGUAUCCGGUGUAACCCAGACUAUCCCCAACACUAUUGUCCAGAAUCCUAACAUGCAGAGUAUUCCUGGUGUUUCACAAAACUCUGUGGGGAAUUCAAUGGGACAAGGGAUUCCCUCCACUAUGUUUGCCAAUUCUUAGAGACAAAUGCCAGGUAAUGCUCUUUUUGGUAGCUUUAUGUGCCGCUGCUGCCACUUAUGGCAUUAGAAAUGCCACUGCUAUUGGAACUAUUGCAAUCACACAUGCAUUUUCCACCACACGAUGCCCUCCAGUGCGCUGCACCAACUUUUCACCUGUCAUAAUCGUUCUAGUCAGCAAUGCUCUUUUGGGUAGCUUUAUGUGCUACUACUGCCACAUAUGGCAUUAGUAAUGCCACUGCUAUUGAAAGUAUUGCAAUCACGCGCGCAUUUGUGACCACAUCAUACCCUCCAGUGCAUUGCACCAGCUGUUCACCUCUCAUUCUGGAUUUAUAGGGUCUGUCCAUCUGUUUGAAUGAUUACAUAACGUUUAGAUGGAGUUCCUAGUACUCCUAGUCCAAAAAGGACUUGUAUAGGUGAUGUAACCAUAUUAUUUGAUAGUUUCACCCAUAUUGAACUAGUGUUUAGCCUAUGUUAUAUAUAUAAAAUGCCUUGAUAUUCUUUGUUUUAUGUUUUGAAGGCACCUUUAGAUGAAAGAUGCAAAAAGGAGUAAAUUGAAGAUAAUUGGCAGAUUUGACCCUCAGUCGAUGUUUUGUGUAGAGCGUGAGCUCUAGAAGUCGAAAUGAAGUGAUUCUAGUGGCAUUAGAAAGCUAACAUCCAUACCUUUCUGGAAAUCUAAGUCAAGAAAAAUAAAAAUACAAAGAGCAUGGAAAUCACAUCCUUCAAAGUCAAAACUCGCAUUCUGCCAGUGUUGACCUUUGUCCAUUCAAAAUUCAAUAUCUGGAGCUGUAGAUAUCCAAUUGAUGCAAACUCAAUUGUUUUGGAUUCCUGACUCCAAAGGUCUAUAAACGCUUCAAAUUUCAGCCAAAAACGAUGUCAUAUGAGGGAGAUAUGAUUUUUCAAAAAUGACAACUGAAUUCUGCCAGCAAACAGGUUUCGUAAAGAAACGAAUCCAAAUUACAUCCCGAAGCAUCAAAACCGACAUCCAAGUUUUAAUUUCAGCAAUUUAGCUCCUCAAGUAAAUCAAUCCAGAAGGUCAAGGAAGGCAGCCACCAACCUCAAGCCACCAACCUCAAACCACCAACCACAAACCAGCUGCCAACCACCAGCCACCAGCUGCCUUCACACUACCACCAUCUCUUGAUGUUCACACUUGAACUUUGAUUUUUCUUACUUACAAUUUGUGUAUAAAUAGGCAGCUAAGUUCAUGAUAUUAGGAGAGCCAGGAGAGAGCCAAGAGAGAGCCAAGAGAGAGGGAGAGGGAGUGCAGUAGAAUCAAAGAAAGAAGGGUGGCAGCCAUAAGAGAAGAAACACAAACUCUCCCCUCUACAAAUCAGAAAUCAUGUAUUCUUUCAUCUUUAGGAGUAGUUGUUCAAUAGAUAUGCAAGGCUAAGCUCGUUUUCUUGGUUGCAAGGACGCAAACACCUUCAGAUUUCAAGAACUGUGAGAUUUAUUCUUCCAUUUAUUUUUGGUUUGUAUUAUGAAUAAGUAUGUUUGUUUUCCUAUGCAUAUUUCCUAUGAUUGUUUAUUUUAAUUGCUAGAGCGGACUCUAAGUUAUUAUUGUGAACAAUCUAUUGCUAAGUUUGAUAUCAAAACCGGAGUUGUGGUAUAUAAACUUGUGAAGCAACUAAGCUUGGUAAUUGUAGCGGAACUACGUUAUUAAACUUAGGGAGAACAUUCGAUCAAAGCAACACAAGCUGACAACUUGGUUGUUAAGAUUAAUGAAUUUAUCUAGAUCUUAAAGCUGCCAUUGGAUUAAAUCAUUAGUGCGGACACUGUGAUUGUUUGUUGGUUAGGGCUAGUUAUACGGCGGAUCCGUUAAUUAACCAAUGUUAAGAAAAUAUAAAAAUUCAGAAUAUAAACUAGAGUUUCGUUUCAAAGAUCGGUUCUGAUUUCUGUAGGUGGAUGUGUGCUUGCGACCAAGGUUUGUUUUCUUGAUAUAUUUCAGUUUCAAUUGAUUUUGUUUGUUAGUUUAAUUUCUACCAUAGUUUAGAUCAUUGCAAAUCAACCCCCCCCCAAAUUACAUAACGUAUAGCAUAAAAAUCUGAACUAAACCUUCCUCGUGGGAUCGACCCCUUGCUUGCUCUAUACUAUCUUGUGUGUUUUAAGCUAGGGUAAUUAAUUUGUGCGACCGCGACAUCGCAACAGUAGAAAAAUACUAAUAGUCCUAUCUAGAAUAGGAAAAACCUAAUGAAGCUCGCUAUACUUUGGGAUAAUAAAAUACUAAAUGGAAAAUAAAACUGAGACUUGCAAUAUUCCAUAAUUUUCAGCAAGUACAAAAAUUACAAAAAUACCCUUGUAUAUGGAAAACACACAAAAAUACAUGAAUUCUAAUCUUUUGUUGCCCGCAUUGAAAGUUUUGUAGCAUCCCUAGAUUCUACAGCACAGAGUGGACAUGCAAAAGGCGCUGAUUGGCAAGAGGAGAUCUAUCAGAAGGUAAUUUCUGCGAUUUACUGUUCAUUAGAUGGAGUUCAUGCAUGCCAUAGUCCUGCAAGAUUUCAAUGAGUCCUAUUGUCAUUACUUCUUACUGCAUUAGACAGACUUAAAAAUAAGAGUGCACUAUAUCUGAAUGACAUAUAGUUUAUCUUUGGUUAAGUGAAAAGUUAUUUGCUUGAUUGCAAUCAAUUCGUUCUGAAACACUUGGCAAUGGAAGAAAAAAGAAAAUAAGUGGACCUAUUCCAUUGAAUCAUGACCAUAUCCAGUAUUGUUGAAUUUUAUAGAAAAUGAGGUUGAAAUUCUGAAUGUCUCAAGUCAUAACUGCAUAUUUGAUAAGGACUUUUUUUUAGGUGCCUAGGAUCUAAGGCUAAGAAGCGUUGCUAAAGUUGUGACAUCCAUUGACUUGAUCUAGAACAGCAGAAAACAGUGAGGAGUAGUUUGCAGUGAGACAAAGUAACUGAACUUAAACAACUCCUGAAUCUUGUCUGAAGGUUCAGUUACACAGUCCUUUGCAUCUUUCCAUUCCAUCAAUAUCGACAUCCUCUUGAGUUUCCAGCAUUAAUUCCACUCUGCUAUUUUUAUCUCAACUAAUUUAUCCUGUCCUCUGCCCCCUUUUUUUUUAUCAAUUCUCUUAAGUUUGUUUGUGUUACUUUCUUUCUGACUGGCACCUGAAGAAAUCAAGCAUAUGACUGAUAAUGUUUUCCUGGUUAUUUGUACAUCCUAGAUCAAAGUCAUGAAGGAGACUUAUUUCCAUUAAAUAAAUGAAAUGUACUAGAGAAUUGCUGCCAAGUUACAGCAGGUAAACUGUCUCUGCAAUUUCUUCCGGAUUAUCUGCCCAUGCAUGAUUAUCUGCAAUUUCCCCACGUUGAGCUUCUGUAUUAAUUUGUUUUCCUCAUCAGCAUUGCUUGUCACUAUUUCAUUUGCACUAAUCACCUACCCCUCCCCCCAACUGCCCCAUAACCAUGCAUCGACACAGAAGAAUGGGAAUAGAAACAUUUUUUUUCACUAAUGUUUUGCUACAAAGGAUUAAUGCAAUUUUUAAUUCUCAUGUAUGUUAACUUUGCUUUCCAGCUUGACUCUCAUCCGCAACAACCGAAGUCAGAACAACUUGAAAAGCUGGAGGUAUUCAAGGCCAUGUUGGAGCGCUUGAUAACAUUCUUACAGGUCUCUAAAAACAACAUCACACCUAGUUUCAAGGAGAAAUUGGGUUCCUAUGAGAAGCAGAUUGUAAGUUUUCUAAACCCAAGCAGAUUCAAGAGCCCUAUUCCUAAUCUACAGCUAGGACAACUUCCCCAGCCUCCAGUUCCUCAAUUGCAGUCCCAUGAAAAUCAACUGAAUCCCCAGUUGCAAACAAUGAAUGUUCACAGUUCUAUACCAACGAUGCAGCAGAUCAAUAUGUCAAGAUUGCAGCAUGGUUCUCUUUCAUCUUUAUCUAGGUUUCUAUGUCGCAGCCAAACACGAUGAUGCGGGACGAGAAGUUUUAAAAAAAGAAAAGGGGGAAGAGAGAAUGAUGAGGAUAUUGUAGCAAAAUAUUUCACCAUUGACAUAUGUCACAGCCAUAUUGGAGAGAAUGAUUACUGUCUUACGAUCUUCUUAAAACAUGGGUAAACAUGGGUUUGAGGUUGUCAUGUUGAAUCAUCUUUUUACGGUCUGGGACAUCAAACAUAACCUUCUAAUGACUACCAUUCAUGUUUGCGCAAUCAAACAUCAGCUUUGACAAUCACUCUUUCUCGACUUGGCGAAAAUGUUUUUCCUCUUCCAUUGUCCCUGAUGUAAUGAGAUGUUUUUCCUCUUAGCCUAGCCUUCAUGGCUUGCUUUUCUACUGAUGUGUUCCACAUAACUUCAAGAAAAACCACCCUUGAAGCACCAAAAUAUUCAUUCCUUCAUAACAAGUCCUGGUUGAUAUGAGCAGCACUUUUACCUUGCUACUUGCAUUGUUAAAUGUUUAAUCAAUGUUUGAUGUUUAUCUACUUUAAGCUUUCUAUGAAUAUAUAAUAUAUCUUCUCCUUUGAUCUAACUAGAUUUUUUAAAACACAAGGCAGAUUUUUAUGAUUUUCUUUCUUUUGGUCAUUAAAUUUUCUUAAAAGGGGCUUUGGUUUGAUUCCUACAAGCUGCGGGCAAAUCUUCAGCGUUUCGACAGACAGCCUCAUGAGCAAAAGAAAGGCAAUAUGCGACCACUCCAAGCUUCUCGUUGCUCCCCUGUGUUGGGAAUUCCGACCGGGGAUGUACUGAUAAUUGCUCAACGGAGGGAUAGCAUACUGGCACACAAUAUUUUACGUGGUUCGGCAAAUCCGCCUACAUCCACGGGAGAGAGUCAUUGUAUUAGAGAUAGAGAAAGGGUUACAAUAAAUACAUGGAGGAGGAUCACUCAACUCUCAGCUCACACACUCUGCUGCAUAUGGCAGCAGGGCUGCUGCCCAUGGCAGCAGCUCCUCUUUCUCUUCUUCUCUUCACGUUCUCACACACUUGCACUUCUCACACUUUGCUUCUCUAAUGUAGGCCUCUAUUUAUAGGCAUUCAUGGCAGCUCCUCCAACUCUUUUGUCAACAAUGGUGGCUGCCAAACUCCAGCUCAUUCAACAAUGGUGGCUGCCAACCUUUGACAUCUUGGAUGGGUGCACAUGCAAUGGCAACAACCCAACAAUCACCCCCUUUGCCAUUCAUGUGGGGCAACUGUCCUCUUGCUUCUUCAGCACAGGCUUGCAUCUCUUCCAAGCUUACCAUUUUGAGAGCAUCUUCGGCCAAGUUUACAUGGUACUUGCCAAACCUUACCAUCACCAGAGUCACCAAAGCACACCUUUUCUCACACAAAAGGAUCACUACAACCAGAUGGUCUGCCACUUCACAUCUGAAGAGUGUUAACGCUUGUCUCUGGGACACAACAUUCCCCUUCGAGCGUAUCAACCAUGCUCGGUCCGGAAUGAUUCAUCAAGCCUCACAUCAAGGCUUACAACACCCCCUCAAACAGAAAUUACCAUUUCCAAGUGCGACAAUCAUUAUCUGAGUAUCUUAAUAUGAUCACGAGCUCACCACUCUUCCAAGAGUCUACUCAUCCAGGAGUUGCGCCUGCCCUCUGUUCCACCCUAGGAACCACGUCUUACUUCUCCGUGAGUCUCUCGCUCUUAGUCUCAAGAGUCCAGGUAGCUCUCCACCUUUAACCAUGGGGGCAGCCCAUAAAGGUUGAUCCAUAUCUAUCUUCAUACUCUGAGUAUUACAAUGCCAUUACCGAGCUCACCACCUUGACAAGAGUCAACUCGUUCUCGGAACCUGCGCAUGCCCUUCUGCUUCUUCAUAGCAGCCGCGUCUUAAUGCUCCACAAGUCACACACUUAUUAUCCAAGGCAAAUGUCUUCUAGCUCAUUGAUCUUUAGCAUGGGGGCAAUAUCCAUGAAAGUCAAUCCUGCAUUUGUCUCCAUACUCAUCAUAGCCACUUCAUUGGCUAUACACCUGUCCACUCAUAUCUAGCCAUUACAUUGGCUCUGGGGUUGUUCUGAACUUGGGCUCCUAUCGUGGCCCAUACACCUUCUCUAAGGUGUCUUCGCUCGUCGUCAUGCGGCGGUCUGAAAUGGGGCUUCUAUCGCGGCCCUCACACCUUCUCUAAGGUGUCUUCACCCGUUGUCAUGAGGCGGUCGCAUCCUCCUUUAGCUGAGAUGCUUUACUUUAAAGUGGCUUCAAAAUUCUCUACCACCAUGUGGACUAUGGGAGAGAUUACUGCCACUGAUUACAUAGAAAGAGAAAGUUGCGGUAUACUCCUCGCAAUCCUCCACCUCGAUUUCUAUGUUUGGAGCUUCUACGCCUUUCUGCUUGACAGCUCCACCUACACCAACUCUCUUUGGUGUCUUCGCCUUUCAUCAUAGGCGGUUGCACCCCCUCAAUUAGGUGCUUCUACAACAGCUCUCUUUCCAUUCUUGCAUGAAUUGGAAAGGUCUUCGCCUAUUGUCUUCAUCAAGAGCACAAGAGACUUCCUGUUGUACAACCUUUAACAAUCUCUGCUCUGAGCUUCAUCUGAGAACACUUCUUCUCCUUGCACCUGUUGUCUCAUUGCAGUACCUCAUUGGAUCCUACGAGUACUCCUGAACAAUUUUCGUGUGCCCUCGUGCAAUUUCUGUUCUCCAGAUUUCUCCCUAUUCCUUGCUUAUGUUUGACAGCAGCUCAUCCUGUCACAACACCUGUCCAAGUCAAAAUAGGGUGCCAAUCUUUUAUCCCCUUGCUGUAUUUCUCUUCCAUUAUCAGGGUCUUCAUCAAUUCUCCCUUCGAGAAAUCACAGUCACCGAAUCUAACUUCUUUGGAGAAAUCACCACUUCAUCAGAUCCUUGAUCAUACGGAACCCAACUGUUCCCUUGUGCCGUCAUCCUGCUAGUCUUCAACCGUUUCAUUACAAACUGCUAUAUAUACGAAAAUAGUACCGUAUGGAUAAUCCUUCCACUAAGCAAGUUCCCAGGAAAGAUUGGAGGGGUCACACUGGUCCCGCUUAAAACCCAACCUCCUAGACAGAACUUCUUAGGCCAUAUCUAUCCAUCGUACUGUCUUUCCGUAUAUACAACCAUUUGCUAGCUUUGUUGCGGCUUUCCUUUACAAGUGAUCUGGAAUAUACUGGUUUAAUACAUCAUUUCUCAAUAUCUGGCGAGACUACCAGUUCUUAGAUUCGUCAAGAUUGGUCUUUGUCAAUUUCCACUCAACACCUCUAAUUGUCCACUUGAUCAGGUCUCCAGAGUGUCCCAAUUUUGCCUUCCUUCAAGGCAGUUAAAAUUCUGCCCACUUAGCAGUUUAGCACAUGUAAUUGGGUAAACAUGUGCACCUUCUUUCUCUUCAUCUCCAUCGACCACCAUGAUGACCUUCAGAUGCCUCCUGAUCGGGCAAUCUUUUUUGUUAAUUCACCACUGCCAUUUUUGGUCUCAAAUAUCAACGAUCGGACCGUACCAUUGCAUCCGGAACGCUCAAAUUAGUUGGAAACAAGUCUGAAAUCGUCCAAAUCGCACUUCAAACGGCUAAGAUUUGAUCAAAAUAAUUCUGGCCUGAUCAACGGCUCAGAUUCAAUAUCAGAUCCGGUUGCACGUAGGAUCAGCUACACUGGAUCCUGUCCCUCGGCUCGCGGCUCGGCUCGGCUCCAAAACGGCUCAGCGCGGCUCAACUCUGCUCGGCUCCGCUCGGCUUGCGUCUGGUGACGUGGCAGGUGGGACCCCUAUGCUGACGUGUCAUGCUGACUGGACGCUUACGUGGCAUGCUGACUGGACGCUUACGUGGCAUGCUGACUGGGUAUACUAGCGUCAUGAUGACGUCAUCCUUAUCCGGGUCUGGCGCGUGGGUCGGGUCGGGUCAGGUCAUUCGGGUGAGGAAGACGCGUGUGACGCGUGGCGCGCGUGGCCAGCCACCCUGACGGCGCGUGACGGCGCGUGUGGGCGUUUCCGACGUCCGAUUUCGACGCGGUUUUCAACAGUGGCUUCGUCUCUUCCUCCUUUACACAGUGGUAUGGUCAAAACACAAUUUUGACAACUUUCAUUUUUGAGCAAAAUCAAACACCCCUUUAAACCAUGUGCUCUGAUACCAAUUGUUGGGAAUUCCGACCGGGGAUGUACUGAUAAUUGCUCAACGGAGGGAUAGCAUACUGGCACACAAUAUUUUACGUGGUUCGGCAAAUCCGCCUACAUCCACGGGAGAGAGUCAUUGUAUUAGAGAUAGAGAAAGGGUUACAAUAAAUACAUGGAGGAGGAUCACUCAACUCUCAGCUCACACACUCUGCUGCAUAUGGCAACAGGGCUGCUGCCCAUGGCAGCAGCUCCUCUUUCUCUUCUUCUCUUCACGUUCUCACACACUUGCACUUCUCACACUUUGCUUCUCUAAUGUAGGCCUUUAUUUAUAGGCAUUCAUGGCAGCUCCUCCAACUCUUUUGUCAACAAUGGUGGCUGCCAAACUCCAGCUCAUUCAACAAUGGUGGCUGCCAACCUUUGACAUCUUGGAUGGGUGCACAUGCAAUGGCAACAACCCAACACCCUGUUCUGAUUAGAAACAGAGAUUCAAGAAGCUAUGCUACUGUCCUGAGACAAGAGUUCCAAUGAAAUCGACUGUAAGUUCCCAAGACACUCUUUUUCCAAAAAAUCAUUCCUCUGUUUUGCAUAAAGUGAUCCAUGAAUCUGUAGAAGAGGAAGCUGUAUGGUUACGAUAUAGUCUUAGUGGGUCAAUUAAAGAGGGUGUGAAUUAACAUAGGCCCAGUUUCACUAUGCUAUAGAGACAUUGAAGAUAAAGCAGGAAAAGGAAAAGAAGCCUCAAUCGCUCAAAUUAUGAUGGGUGCAGAAGCAGAGGAAUGGCUUAGAGUGCAUAGAGAUCAUGUUAAAAAAAGUGAAGUUGUAGAGAAGGCAAUCACUCAAAUUAUGAUGGGUGAAGAAGCAGAGGAAAGAGCAAAGAAGCUAGCAGAAAGGAGAAAUGGCCAGGAAGGCUGUUGAAGAAGGUGGAUCUUCUUGCUCCAAUUUCAAUGCUUUGAUUGAAUAACUGAGGUGGGGUAGCCCUUGAAAUAGAGGCAUAGAAUAUUUUGUUUCUACUUAGUAGUGGUUUUGGCAAUUUAUUUUCAAACAAGUCUUGAGAAUUGAAAGAGUAAUCAUAGCCGAGUCAAUGACCAAUCCAAAUCAGUUCCCUUCCUAAUGGUUCAGGAAUGACAAGUCCUGCUUAUUUAGCACAAAUAACUAAUCAAAUUGAGAGGCUGAGCUUAGAGACAGUACACUACAAAUGAAGCACCCAAUAGCUAGACAUACAGGACAAACAAUCAUCAAAAACUAGGAACGACCAUCUUCCUAGUAACAAAUUCACCUUCUGAAGUUGGAGAACUUGCGAUAACUAGCCACCACAAAAUAGUAGCAAGUACCUAUGCAGUCUUCGAUGAAGUACAACCACCUGCGUCGCCAAUAUGGAUUGAUGUAGAGAACUGCUGCAAUCGCCAUCACCACAACUGUGUAACAUACACCGAAACUGAUGUAGAAGAACUCCAUGUCUAUGAAACCAUCAUCUCCUUGUUCAUCAUUAGGCACUGGCUGCGACGGCACUGCUUCCUCGCUACAAUUGUUUCGCAAUGGAGGUCCACACAAGAAAGGAUUUCCUUCGUAACAACUUUCAUCGAAGGUCCCAAACUGAUAUUUUCUCUCGGGUGUCUUACCUGACAAGUUAUUGUGCGCCACACUAAAAACUUCUAGUGUGGUAAUUUCAGUAAGUUGUGGAGGGAUGACACCAUUCAAGUUGUUGUAAGAAAGAUCCAAACUCUCAAUCUGCUUUAGGUUUGAGAAUGUUGCAGGGAUAGAUCCAGUGAGAUUGUUGUGUGAUAAGUUUAAUGACAGUAUCUCACUUAACUUUCCAAAUUCUAGUGGGAUUGCUCCUAUUAAGUUGUUAUUGGAGAGAUCAAUACCAUACAUGUAGCUGAGAACUAUCCCUUUGUAACCAUAAGACAUUUUUUUAGUUGUAAAUUCUAUCACUUCUUCUGUAAAGUUAAGCCAAAAAUAAUAUCCCAAGUUGUACACACUAUCCACUAGUGGUGGGCCCAUUGUUUCAUAAUAAGCUUUUUCUAUGGACCUUGAUGGAAAAAUUUCUCCAGGAUCCGCGAAUGCUUUCGGGGAACUUUCCUUGAAGGUAAGAUUCCCCAAACAAGAGGGUAGUGGACCGGAGAGUUGGUUUUGUGAAACAUCCAAAAUGCUUAAUUGUUCUAACAAGCAUAACUGAACAGGGAGCUCACCAUCAAAGUGAUUAGCCCGUAGAAGAAGAACACUCAAUGAUGAAAGAUUGCCAAUCCAAUUUGGAAUGGAGCCGGUGAAGCUGUUAUCUCGAAGAUCCAUCGUAACCAGGGAAGAGCUGUUAUAAAAUCCAUAUGUUAAUGGACCGCUCAAUCUAUUUUUGGAUAGAUGCACAUGGGUUAUUUGUGGUGAAUUGAAACAAGAUGAUAUAUAUCCAGACAAGUUGUUCUCAGAAAGGUCCAAAUAUUCAAGUUGGUCAAACUUACAAAAAAAGCCUCUUGGGAUCGGACCCUUAAAAUGGUUUUUGGACAAAUCAACUAUCUUAAGUUGUGUAGAAUUGACAAACCACCUUGGAAGCAUGCCUGAAAAUUGAUUGUUACUCAAAUCCAAUACACUCCACACUUUCCACCCAUAUAAUGGAAAAUCUGAUAACUGACCCCAAAAGUUGUUACCACUUAGAUAGAGAAAUUCUGAGGUUGAAGAAUUGAACACCGAGGUUGGUAUUUGCCCACUCAAAUUGUUGUUUGACAACUUGAGAAACCAUAUUGUUGUUAGUUGUUCUAGUUUUACUGUGGACAAUUGAUUGUUGGAUAAAUCUAAAAUUUUCAAAGAGCUAAUAUUUCCUAAACAAGAAGGAAUACAACCUGUGAAUCCAUUCUUAGCCAUCCUUAAGCUCAACAGAUUUGGAAAGAUCAAACAAAUAUUUUUUGAAAUUUGACCGUUCAUGUUGUUGUUGGAUAUAUCUAAUUUGGUCAUAUUCGGAUAUGGGUGAUCUUGCAACUUCAAAGCACCAACAAAGGAGUUCUUGCUCAGAUAUAGUUGCUCCAAUCGUGUGUUGUUCUUAAGCAACCAUGAUGGAAACAUUCCGGUGAUGUAGUUGUGGGAGAGAUCAAGGACUCUUAAGUUGUAUUGGUAAUAGAGGAAGUCGGGAAUUUCUACAUUGAAUGCUUCUGUUGUUUUUGACAAGCUAAAAAAGACUAGGUGGAACUUUGGAAUCAAAUUAUCAAUGGCAGCAGGUUCUGUUACUAGUCUGUUGUUCUCACUAGAGAGGCUUGAGUGGUUCAUAAAAGGCUUCAUUGAAGUGGGAACUUCAAAGAGGUUAUUUGAUAAUGAGAGGAAUUUAAGGGAUACAAGGUUGGUAAGAGGACCGGAGGCAAUAUUUUCAGUAAACUGGUUAUCAGAAACAUCUAAUAGUUGUAGAGAUGACAAGUUCCCUAAACAAUCUGGGAGUGAACCUCCAAAAUUAUUUCUAGAGAGAUCUAACUGCUUCAGAUUCUUCAAUUCACACCAACCUAUACAAUUUAUCUCGAAAUAGUCAAAACAAUGUUGAAAGAAUCUUUUAUUAAUGAUGUAAUUAUAGGCCGAUGGAGAGUUGUUAAUUUACCUUGAGCGGGUAGGGUGACAUGGAGGUCACAUUCAGCAACAGACAAAACUUUAAGAGCAGGCAACGCUCCAAUGUUCCGGAGAAAGUUUAUUGGGAGAGAAGUACGAUCUAGAUGCAAUUCUUCAAGGGUGCUAGAAUUGAAGAAAGUCCCUGUGAAAAGAAGAAGAAGAAGAAGAAAGAUAUGAUGAAAAUAGUGGUGGUACAGAAUGGCCAUUCCAUUCAAUAUUAUUAAUUAUGAUUUUAAGAAACUAAACUAUGAUUAACCUUGACUUAAAUUAGUAUCCUUGAGAGAAAGGGUCUUCAGGGAUAUUGGCAAUGACUGCAGGAAUUCCAGUGUCCUUAAACCUAUGAUGUGUAAAAUUGAAAACAUGCAAUCAAGUAAGUAGUGAAAUUAAUUGUUAUCUUGAUCGAGUUUUUAAACCUAUGAUAAAGAAUUGAUAUUGAAUAGUGAGAUGAUUUUUGGAUAUAAACAACAAAUUGCCUGAAAAAUCCAGAGAUUUCACAACUUUACCAUUGACAGUCGUCGAUCCUAGCAACAUAUUGCCUGAUAAAUUUAAAGACUUGAGAGAAGAAAAUCCACGCAGAUGUGAUAAAAUGCUGUCGUUGAAUAUAUUAUAGGUCAGGUCAAGGUUCUCGAGUUUCCCCAAAUGUGAUGAUAUGAUCUCAAAACCUGCAAGAGAGUUGUUUCUAAGAGUAAGUCAUAAUCCAUGUAAGUUCAAAUCCGUUCGUAACUUAAUUCGUUCCUAACUGCCUCUGUAAGAUGCUUAGUUGUCACUAAUUUAGUAAUUAUAAUUUGUUCCGAACUGCCUCUGUUUUAUCCAUGGCAUUAAAGAAUUAUAAACUUUUUCACGUUUUAUUUCUCAAAGUCCAAAUAUUUCACCAUUCACCACGACCAUAAGGCAAUAUAUCCUCCACCGCAGAAUAAUAUUUUGAUUAAAAAGGAGAGGAAAUAAUAAAUGGCUACAAACAAGAAUUAAAUAUCAAAUAUGUGGGUUUUAUGUUGUUCUCUUUAUUGAUAAAACACGAGUGAUUUGUAUUGGAUAGUUUUUUUUGAAUUGAUGUUAAGAUCCAAGUUUUAAUAAUUACAAUUUUCUUAAUUAUAAUAUUCUAGGAGAGAGCUUCCUUAUUAUGUUAUUCAAAACCCAUUCAAACUCAAUUUCAUUAAAAAAAAUACUUAGAGUUGUGUUCGACUAAGUAUCUCAAGACAGAAAAAACAUAUAUAAAAAUAUAUUUAUUUAAAAAGAUAAAUAUAAAAUAUAUAUUUAUAGGAGAGUUUUGAAGUGAACUUCUGAUUGCUAAUUUAAUCUAAAUAUUACAACACUUUUGGCAUAAAAGGGCCAAAAUAAGAAUAAAAUAUAUGCCUCUUUACGUAGAUAUAAAGUCGUCCUCAUUUUUGUUGAUAAAGAAACAAUAUAAUUAAGAGAAUGUCAUGUGAAGCAUUUAGGUAGGUAGAAACUGUAUAUUAUACCUGAUCCUGUCAGCUGAUUGAACGAUAGAUCCAAAGACUUGAGGGAUGAAAGCCCUCUCAGAAUUGAUAAGAUGCUGCUGUUCAAUUGAUUUUCACUCAGGUCAAGGUUCUCUAACUUUCCCAGCCUCAUCGGUUGGAGUUGAAAACCUACAAGAUAUACAUAAAAAAAUAUACAGUGCAUAGAUAAUUAAGGAAGAAGAUAGAUUGCAAGUAAUGUUUUGAUCUCUUUAAUUUCUUCCUGUCUUAUUAGAAAAACAAUUAUUGGAUAAGAUCAAAUCUCCAUAGAUAUAAUUCUUCAAUUUUCUUGAUAAAGAAAAUGUAACAAUUAUUGCGCAAUCAAACAUGAUGAAAGCUAUCGUUGAUAUAUAUAUAUAUAUAUAUAUAUAUAUAUAUAAAGUCCUCAAUUUUCUUGAUAAAGAGAAUGAAACUUACUAUUGAUAGAUCCUGUCAGCUGAUUGGCUGAAAGAUCCAAAGACUUGAGGGAUGAAAAUCCAGUUAGAGAUGGAAAAAUGGUAUCGUUGUAUUGAUUCCACCUUAGAAGAAGGUUCUCCAGCUUUUUCAACCUUGAUGACAAGACUUUGAGACCUGCAUGAUGUUCCUCAAGAGCAUAUUGGAAGGAAAUAAUUAAAUGCGUAGAAAAAAAUGAUAUGAGAAGGAGAAAAAAAAAUGUUUCAAAGCUAAAUAAUUAAAAGGUUACCAUAGAAGCUACCUGAUCCACCUGUUAACUCAUUAUAUGAUAGAUCUAAAGACUUGAGAGUGGAAAGCCCAUUGAAACAUGACAAAAUGCUUUUAUCAUUAUUAAAUUGGUUGAAACUUAUGUCAAGAUUGCUCAGUUUUGAUGAUAGGACUUCGAAGCCUGGAAGAGAAUCAUCAAAGCAAGAUAAUUGACAUUAAACACCAACCAACCUUCAUUUAUUUUAUGAUUAUAAUUAAGUGCAGAAACAUUGAACUAACCUUCAUUCUCCAUGCAACCAACCAAUCUAGUNNNNNNNNNNNNNNNNNNNNNNNNNNNNNNNNNNNNNNNNNNNNNNNNNNNNNNNNNNNNNNNNNNNNNNNNNNNNNNNNNNNNNNNNNNNNNNNNNNNNNNNNNNNNNNNNNNNNNNNNNNNNNNNNNNNNNNNNNNNNNNNNNNNNNNNNNNNNNNNNNNNNNNNNNNNNNNNNNNNNNNNNNNNNNNNNNNNNNNNNNNNNNNNNNNNNNNNNNNNNNNNNNNNCAAUCCUCUCUUCCUCUCCAAGAGACCAAUCCUCUCUUCCUCCAGACACCCAUGACUACGACCAGACCAUUCGCCAACCAAAGUCAAUAAUGCUAGCAACAUCCAAGCCCCCAUUCUUGUCAUCAUCAUCUACGUAGAAUAUUGUUGUUUGUUAUGUGUCUUUGGGCAACCAUAGAGGUCCUAUUUAUACUACAAUUUUGGCCAUUUCCAUGAUUUUAUCUGCAUAUCUUGUGCAGUUUCUAUGUUUUGAGAUUUGAAUAUUAUUUUAUUUUUUUGGAAUAUUCUUGGAUUCGAAUAUUAUUUUAUUUUACUGUUUAGCACUUAGUCUAUUUGCAUUUAAUUAUAUUUUGGUUACUAAUUAUCCAAUUUUAAAAAAUAAAAAAUAAAAAUUGUUGCAGCACUUGAACAUUUUUAUCGACAUUCAUGUGUAUUUCACAUAAGAUCUUUUCGAAUUUACAAUUGUACUUCUCUCGUUAUAAUUUAGAAUUAUUUAGGAGCCUACUUGCAUGGUGUCAUCAUUAUCAUAUAUAUAAUUAAAUACAUAAAUUAUCAAUAAUAUUAAACUCGGAAUAAUUAUAAAUUUUAUCCUUGCGGAUUGUGUGGCUACAGUAUUAUAUACAAAAACUUCAAAUAUAUAUAUAAAAGAAUGCUAAAAGUGACAUUUUCUUGGGUGACCACCACAAGCCCAUCUAAAACACAGAAGCCAUAUAAAAAUCACACGACAGCCAAUUACCAUAUCUUGUGAGAAAAAAGAUUUAAAAAAAAGAGCAUUUUCUUUGGUGUGCAAUGACUGCCAAUCUUUCUCGUUAUGAUAUUCAAUGCUCUGUUAGAAGUUCCAUGAUGCUCUUCUCAUGGGGAGCAAAUAUCAGUAGCCUCCCAUGGAAUCCUCAUAAACCUUUCUGUGUGCUCCUCUAAGAUAUUAAAAAUGUCAAACAUACUGCUGCAAUAAAAAGAUAUGGGAAGUUCGAGGAAAAAAAUGAUUAGUUAAUGCAAAACAGCAGCAGUAAGUAAUAAUUACAAAACACGAUACCGAAACCAAAUUGAAAAGUGAGCAAAAUACAAAACUGGUUGCAUGUAUCAAAAGGAACCAAUUUCUCCACCACUGUAUGUCCCUUUUGUUCAGUCUAUGUUUGGUGCAAUCACCUUAAGCUAGAAACAAAAACAGCGCCUUAUUAACCAUCUAGGUGGUGGCCCAAUGGUAAGAGCUUGGGACCAAGAAGUUUGCUCCCUUUGUGGUCUCAGGUUCGAGCCCUGUGGUUGCUCAUAUGAUGGCCACGGGAGGCUUACAUGGUCGUUAACUUCAGGGCCCGUGAGAUUAGUCGAGGUGCACGCAAGCUGGCUCGGACACCCACGUUAAACAAAAAAAAAACGCUUAGGCCUUACAUCAUUACUUCAAAGGCUUUAUGUUACUAAUGUGUGAUGAUUCUCUGCAGUUAGUAAUUGUUGUUGAUGAUGAAAAUGAGGGGGACCUUAUAAUGUCUGCGUCAAAGGCAACACAAGAUAAAACUCCCUAAACUACUGUAUGUCUCUAACAGUGAAAAUAUCACUAUAAAUGCAUUUAUGAGUUCAUGAGACCAUUUCCAUCUGCCCAUUGGUCCCUGAGACCGUUGCCAUCAUGCAUUUUUCCACGAGAUGGGUUCGUGGAAAAACUUUGGUUUAAUUGGGAAUGCUGUUAUUGGUUAGAAACUUUUUAAUUAAAAUAAAUUUGAUUAUUUGAUUGGAAAAAUCCUUAAAUGUUAUUAACACAUGAAAUCAAUUUAUUUUCUUAAGAAAAAAAUAUUGUAACCAUAUAGGUAAUUUAUUUAUUUAUUUAUUUUAUUGAAAUAUUAAAUAGUUUUAAAUCUUGUGGUAUAUUGCCGUCAUGCAUUUUUUUUCCUCAAGAUGGGUUCGACAGACAAUCACCAUCAUGCAUUUAUGAGUCCAGGAGACCAUUUCCAUGAUAUGCAUUUAUGAGUUGGUGAGACCAUUUCCAUCUGCACAUUGGUCCGGCCUGAGACCGUUGCCAUCAUGCAUUUUUCCACAAGAUGGGUUCGUGGAAAAACUUUUGUUUAAUUGGGAAUGCUGAUAUUGGUUAGAAACUUUUUAAUUAAAAUAAAUUUGAUUAUUUGAUUGGAAAAAUCCUUAAAUGUUAUUAACACAUGAAAUCAAUUUAUUUUCUUAAGAAAAAAAAUAUUGUAACCAUAUAGGUAAUUUAUUUAUUUAUUUUAUUGAAAUAUAAAAUAGUUUUAAAUCUUGUGGUAUAUUUCUUGUCUUUAAGAGCUAUGAACUUAUAUAUCAAAACUUGAAAACUAAUAUAUAUAAUAUGCUUUUCAAAACAAAAAGGAUUUUGAUGGAGAGGACAUUGCAACAAAUUAUCCACCAUGAGAUGGGUCAAUGAUACCAUUAUCAUCAUGCAAUUUUUCCCACGAGAUGGGGCCGUACGCUUGGGGCUCUAAAAGCUAUGGUUUUUAAUUUCACUAUGUUACGUCCAGAAUGGGAGGUAUAUUUUAUUUUAAUUUUAAAAAUGGAAUAAAUUAGAAGAUAUUUCAUAUCGCUUAAAAUCUUAUCUUCUUAUAUGAAUUUCACCUAAAUUCUGACUGGAAUGUUUAGGUUAUAUUCUAACUAUUCUGUUAUGGCCAAAUGAUAUUUUGUUUUGCUUUUAUAAAAAAUUAAAAUAUAAUUUAGUUUUACAGUAUCAGUCUCUCAAUCCGACAGUUGGAUUAAAGUAAAAUUUUACGAGGAAUCUCCUGACAUAUAUUUAUAUCGCAAAUUAAAAUUUUAGGGCAAUCAAAGUUUAGAAAGACUUUGCAAGAUUGUCGAUGACAUUUUCAUAGUUUUAUUCAAAUUCAUAAUUUUGUUUUGAAAGGUCAUUUUCCGUGUCUUUUUUUAGAUUGAUUUUUUUUUAAUUUCAUUAUUCAACUAUAGGUUUAUUGAAAAUUGAGAUUCAUAUUUUGUUUUGAUUUAUUUUAUUUGGGGUUAUUAUGGUCUCAUGACCUGGGUAACAGAUUUAAAGGUUAACCCAGAUUGACCCGGGUCGAUCGAUCCAAUAUGUUGUUAUUUCGUUAUUUUUUUAAAAAAAUAUGUCAUCUUGAAUUUUUUUUUUAAGUAAAACUAUAUUUUUACCAGUCGUCCAGACAAUCUUUGGGCCUAUCGAAUCGAUCGGGUUAUAUCGAUUCAACUCUUAUUUUUUUACUUAUAUUUGAAAUUUAAAUUGCAUAAUUUCAAGUUAGCUUAUCUUGAAAUUUGAAUUGAAAUUAUGUUUGUUAAAAAGUUAAUGCUAGGCAGCUCAUUUUCUUCCCUAAUAAAGCUCAAGACAUAUUUGAGAUUGUGGUAGUGGUUGCAGCUUAAAGUGUUUUUCGCUUAGAAAUGCAUCAAGAUGAUGUUUUUUUAUUUUUUAAAAAUUAUUUUUGAUAUCUGCGCAUCAAAACAAUUCAAAAACACUAAAAAAUAUUAAUUUUAAGUAAAAAACAAAUUUCAAAAUGUUUGGAAACACAGGUUGGACCGCGUUCCCAGACAUGCUCUAGUACGUAGGCAUACACCCAAUCUAAGCACUGUCAAAUCAUUUUUUAUACAUAGGGAUGGGUUCGUUAGCUUGACAUGACAGAUAAAAAAAUUAAAAGAUGAUGAAAUUAAAAAAUAAUUAUAAUUUUAUAAAUUAUUUUAAAUAAAAUAAAUAUCAAUUAAAAGAAUAAGAAUCAAAUCUGAUAGAUAAAAAAUUUCAAUUAAAAAAAUAAAAGAAAAGUAAAUAAGGAUCAAAGUUGAUAUAAAAAUCAAAUUAUAAGAUAUAAAAUUUAAAAAAAUUCAAAACAAAAUAAAACCAAUUUUUUUUCUAAAAGAUAUUCAGAGUAAAAGCAUUAUAAAAAGAAUGCCUCCUUGUUUCUUCCUUUUCAACAACUUGAUUAGUUUAAUUAGUAUCAUAUUGGUUCUACAUCGAAGAAAAUAGAAAACAUAUUUAGUAAUAAUCAUACCACCACAACAUAUAUUAUUACAUUACCAAUAUUAUUACAAUCAUUACAUUAUCAUCACUGCAACAAUUACUCCUCUUACUUACACUUUCAUCGCGUCAACCUCUUUAUAUGAAGUCACCGUAGCAAUUAAAUGCCUCUUGAUCAAUCAUAAUUAAAUUACUCCAAUAAUAUUUUUUUUUAUUCUUUUACAUGAAGUCUUAAUUUUUUUUAUAUAUAUAGGUGGUUAUGAGUUCCAGAAAUUGAGCAAUUUGGAAUAUAUUGACAUGAGAAUUAAUCGUUUCGAUAACAAUAUUCUAUUAUUUGUAGAGGGAUUUUCAUUUCUUAAAUCACUAUAUUUAGAUUAUAAUAGAUUGAAAGGGUUAAUAGAUUUAAAAGGUUAGUUUUUUUAUAUACUUAUUUUUUCUCUAUUAAAUUUAAUUUCAAAAGAACAUAAUUUUUGUUUUGUAAUUAAUUAAUUAAUUAAUAAUAUUUUUAUAAGUAUCAGGAAUCUUUUAGCAACUUGGAGGCCUUGAGUUUGAGCAGCAACAAUAUUAACAAAUUGGUAGCCUCAAGAGGUAAUUAGUAACACAUUCACAUUACCUACCUGGUAGGGAAGAUAAUAUUUGAGCCCAUCCAUACAAUAUUAAUUAUUUUUGCUUUUGGAAUUAAUUAUUUUUGUUCUCUAGAUGAAAACUUCCUUCAAAGCAUCUUUCAUGAAAGUAAUUGCAUGGCAGACUGCAUGGCUAAACAAGGAGUGCAGAGAUCAAGUGAAUUUGUUGCCUGGCUUUGACUCCACCUUUUUCUGUGGCCCUGCUCUUGUGUCUUCUCCCACUAUGUCUUUGAGUUAUUCUCGUUUUUGUUUUGUAGAGGAAUGUUUAGCUUUGAGCUCAUUCGGAUGGCUAUUCUAAGGUUUUCUUUACUUUUGUUUUUCUUAUACUGCGCUUUAUCUUAUUUAUGGCUUUUUGCCAUAGUAAGAUAUUGUGUAGUUUCUGUACUACUCCCGCCAGGCUUUGGCGUUUAAAUAAUAUACGCAUCUUUCAAAAAAAAAAAAGCUUUUGAGCACUGUUUUCUCUAAAACAACUGUCUUUGCAAAGACUCAAUGACACUGUAUCUUUUGAAGAUAAAUUAGUAAAUUUAAACUCUACUGUUACUUAUCAUUGACCAUUCUACUUUUUUCUAUGCCUACUACGAUUAGAGUCUACAUAGAAUUUCUCUUUUAUGUUUUCACAACCUACUAAACAAGUUUUGGAGAAUUGUCAAAUCCAUUAAAAUUUAAAUUCAUAACAUCAAUUAAAUCUCAAAUUUAAAAAUCAAUUCAAUUGAAAUCUUUAUUAUUCUAAUUAAAAGUCUACCAUCCAUUUAAUAUGAAUAAUAUUCCAAUUCAAUUUUGGCCCUCUCUCAACACCAUUUCGGUGUAAUGUAAAUAGAAUGAUAAUAACCAUGAGGGGUGUAACUCAACUGGUCAGGCACUGAGAGUGCUCUCUAGAGAUCACUAGUUCGAAUACCACAAACCUCAGGUCAUGGGAUUUGAAAAAGAAAUGUUCAAAGUUAGCAUUGUUUUCUCAGUAAAAUGCACAACAUGAGCUUCAGGUAAGGGCUCUACCCUUACCUUUUUUAUAUAUUUUUGUUAUUCUUGUAAAUGUUAUAAUGCGAAUUGUUUUUAUAUAUAUAAGGGCUCGUUAUUGGAAAUUCAAUAUUAAAUGAAAAAUGCAUUCAAAGGCAGAAAAAUUGAGAUCAAAUCAGGUUAGGAUGUUUAUAUCUAUAUGUCUUUGGGGUAGGAUUAUUAUAUGCAUUAUAUAUGCCUUCGAGGAAAGAGAAAGAUAUGAUACAUAUUAUGCUUUCAAGGCAAGACUAUUACAUGUAUUAUGCCUCCAGGAUAGUGAAGAAUAUAUCUUAAUUACAAGCUAUGCUUUCAGGGAGGGAGAAAAGUAUCAUAUAAAAUAUAUGCUUUUAGGGUGGAAAAGAUGAUAUGACAACAUAUAAGCUUUAAUAGCAGAAUGUAGUGGUCAGGGUUUGAAAGUAAUAAUAAACAUAACAAAAUGUAAAAGACUAAAAGAAUGGUUUAGAAUAUGGGAUAAAGGCAACUAUAAGAAAAAUUAUUAGUUAUGAUAAAACCAAUAAUUUUAUAAAAUUAUAUGUCUUGCAGGUUCCUCUUAUUUUGACACCGAACUCUAGCUUUCCUAGUUUCUUAUAAUAGGUUGUUAUUUUGUAAAACUUUAACUAUGUUUAUUUUAUGCACUUUAAUUAAAAAUAAAUUUUGGAUUGUAAGAGAGACAUUAUCUCUUUUGUUUUUUUGGGGACUGUAAUUAAUUACAUGAUGCAAAACUUAAAUCUCAGGUAUAGUUGUAUGGACAUAUAUAUUUAUAGAUGUAUAUGAUGAUUAAAUAUGUUAUUGAUAAGAUUGAUGAAUAGUGAGUUUGAGGCCACAUUUAUGUGAGUAUUGGUUGCAUAAGAAAACAAAUCAUAAAAUUUGAUAAUAAUUCACUAAAUAACUCUCAAUUAUUCAUCAAACCAAUCUGAAAAGGAUAAUAUUACAGCUAGGGACCAAUCUGGAUUUUUUGCAUAUUUUUAAGGGUCAAAUUGUAAUUUUAUCAAAUUGGAGGACCAAAAUGAAAAUGUCCUAAAUUCAUAACUAUACUGGAAUUUUGCCCAUAAUUCUUAUUUAAUUCUGUCUAGAAUCUUGGAUUAUGUUUCAGGGACCAAUCUGGAAUUUUAGCAGAUUUUUAGGGGUCAAAUUGGAGGACCAAAAUGAAAAUAUUAUAAAUUCAUAACUAUACUGGAAUUUUGCUCAUAAUUCAUCUUUAAUUCUGUCAGUUGAAGCAUAAGCUAUAAUUGAUUGAAGGGCAUACAUAAUCUGUAGCCAUCUCUUCUAUAUAUAUAACUAGGGCAACAUACAAUAGUUACUGUGUAGCGUACUAAACAGGAUAAAUAUAUACAGGAAAAUACAAUAUUUUCUAUAUUACAACACAUUCCAUAAUACACCCCCUUAAGCUGAAGGUGGGGAAACCACAUGAAGCUUGGACCGUAAGGAAGCAAAAACAGAGUGGGGAAGCGGUUUAGUAAGAACAUCAACUAAUUGGUCUUUGGAAGGUAUGAAGCGAAUCUGUAUCUCCUUUUUAGCCACCCAAUCACGAACAAAGUGAUAAUCAACCUCAACAUGUUUUGUGCGUGCAUGGAAAACAGGAUUAACAGAAAAAUAUGUAGCACCCAAAUUGUCACACCAAAUGAUGGUAGCAGAACUGAGAGAAAAACACAAAUCUGUUAGAAGGUAACGAAGCCAAAGAACCUCAGCAGUACCAUCAGCUAAUGCCCUAUAUUCUGCUUCUGUGGAAGAGCGAGCAACAGUGCGUUGCUUGCUAGAUUUUCAUGAAAUGGGAGUAGUGCUGAAAAAAACAAUGUAACCACCCGUAGACUUUUGAUCAUCGAUGCUUCCCGCUCAAUCAGCAUCAGUAAAACCAUGAAGGGAUAAUGAGGAAUCACGAGUAAGAUGAAGACCAAAGGAAGACGUACCAUUUACGUAUCGUAGUAUACGUUUGACAGCCGCCUAGUGACUCUCAGUAGGGGCAUGCAUAAACUGACAUACCUUAUUGACAGCAUAACAUAUGUCAGGUCUAGUAAAUGUGAGAUAUUGAAGGGCACCAACAAUUUGUCGAAAACGAGUGGAGUCCAAGAAUGGCUCACUAGGCAGGAGUCCAUUCUUAGAGGCAGAAACCGGUGUAUCAACAGGCUUACAGGUGGACAUACCAGCAUGACUCAGAAUGUCAAGAGCAUAUUUGUGUUGAGUAAGCAUGAGACCCAUACUGGUGGGAGUAACCUCAAUCCCUAAGAAAUAGUGAGUAGAACCCAGAUCUCGGAGUUUGAAUUCUGAACUGAGCAGGGUAAUAAGGCUUUGAAGCAAACUGGAGUUACUACCAGUGAGCAGAAUGUCAUCCACAUAGAUAAGCAAAUAACAGAUAUCAUGAUUCACUUUUAGAAUAAAUAAGAAAGUAUCAACCUUUGAAGCGCGGAAGCCAACCAAUAGAAGAAAGUCACUUAGUCAUUUGUACUAAGCCCGCAAGGCUUGUUUUAAACCAUACAGAGACUUAUGAAGGCGACACACAUGAGUUGGUAGAGCAGGGUUGACAAAUCCCGUGGGUUGCUGCAUAUAAACAACCUCCUGAAGUGAACCAUUGAGAAAUGCAUUAUGAACAUCAAGUUGGCGAAUCUGCCAACAAUUAGAGACGAUAAUGGCCAGGACUAGGUGGACAGUGGUCGGUUUGACAACCGGGCUCAAGGUUUCUGAGUAGUCGAUACCUUCUUGUUGAGAGAAGCCUAACAGUGCCAUCAGCUCGAUGCUUAAUUUUAUGAACCCAUCGGCAACCACCAACAUUCAUAGAGGGUUCAUGUGGAACCAAGGACCAACUGCCGUUGGCAUGUAAAGCAGUAAUCUUAGAUUCCAUAGCAGAAUGCCAACACAGAAAACGGUCAGCUUCUCUGAAAGACAAAGGUUCAUGAGCAGAGGAAUAAGUUACCCGUGAGUUGGGAGGCAGUGGAGAUGCAGACACUAAGCUCACAUUGACAGAUUUGUGCUGGCGGGGACGCAGCACCAUGGGAUGCUGUCGAGAAGCAACUGCAACAGGAGAGUCAGGAGACCUGAUGGGCGGUGACUGCUGUGGAAUGGAGUAGCUGGAAAGAUCAAUACAGAGAUCUAGGCCCGGUGGUGACUCUAUAGAGACCUGGGAAGAAGAGGCAGGAACCUAUGAGGGAGAUGCCGGUGGCGUAGCAGAAGGAGGAGAUUCAGUAGCUGUGAUGUCCGCAGUAGCAGAACCUGAACCUGCAAAAUGAUCAAGAGACAUGGUUGCAAAUGGUGGUAAGGGACUGAGGUGUGUGGGGAAAGGAUUGGUGUUUGUGGUGGAUUGGAUGAUGGGAAAGAUGUUAAGGUAGGAAGGUAGGAGAUAGGGGUCGGUUGUGGGUUAGAAUUGGUUGUGGCAGGAACACGAGUAGACUCAAUAAAUGGAAAGGAAUUUUCAUGGAAACGAACAUGACGGGAGAUGUAAAUACGAUCUGAAGACAAAUCAAGACAACGGUAACCUAGAUGACAUGAACUAUAUCCUAGAAACAUACACGGAGUAGAGCGAUAGUCUAACUUAUGAGCAUUAUAUGGUCGGAGAAACGGAAAGCAGAGACAUCCAAAAGUACGCAGGAAACCAUAGUUAGGUGGUUGAUGAAACAGAGUUUCAAAUGGAGAUUUGUUUCGUAAGACCGAUGUCGGCAUACAAUUAAUAAGAUAAACAGAAGUUUCAAAUGCAUAAUUCCAUAAUUUUAGAGGUGCUUUACAGUGACCAAGCAGGGUAAGACCAGUUUCGACAAUAUGACGGUGACGACGCUCGAUAGUACCAUUUUGCUCAUGUGUAUGUGGACAUAUGAUGCGAUGGUGAAUACCAACAGUUUUGAAGAAAGAAUUUAAUUUACGAUAUUCACCACCCUAUUCAAUUUGUACUGAUUUGAUUUUGCAAGAGAAUUGUCGUUCAACCAGAACUUGAAAUUGAUGAAACACAUUAAAUACAUCAUAUUUGGCACUAAGAGGAUAAAACCAAAUAAAUUUUGUGUGCGCAUCAACAAAAGAUCACAAAAUAACAGAAACCAUCAGAAUAUUGUAGGUUGUAUUAGAUAUGACAAGUCCCUUACCAUCACCAAUGUCAUCACCCAAUUUUGGGUGAUUCCCCAAAAUUCACUUUUUUUCAAAAUAAAAAAAAAUAAAAAAAAUAAAGGCUGGCAAUGCGGAGAAAGUCGACCAAGAAAGGCUGCAAAAAUAGGCGGAAAUCAAGCCGCAAUUUUCGGAGGAAUUUCAAGGCCCAAGUGUACGUUGUUAUGCCUAAAAAUAGAAAAAUGCAAAUUCAAAGGUCAAAUUAAAUGAUUAUUGGACAAAUUUGCAUAAGAAUUAAGUCCAAUGACAUAAUUAAAUUUUUAAUGGGCCAAUUUGAUUUAAUCAUUGGCCAAAUUGAAUUUUAAUUAUGUUCAAGAAUUAAUUUGGGUCCAAUUGGAGGAUUUAAUUAAGUGCAAGGACUUAAUUAUACUUUAAGCGGGUCAAAUUAAUUUGAGGGCUUAAUUGGUGAAAAAUUAAGUUUGGGAGCUUAAUUUGGACUUAAUUGAAAAAUCAGAAUUUUAAGAGACCCAAUUUAAUUUUUAUCAAGUGAAUUGAUUGAAAUUAGGGGUCAAACACAAAACUUGAGGGACCAAUUUUGAAGCCCGAAAAACUAUUUUGCCUAUAAAUAGCCUUCAUUUUCAGCUAGGGGGGCAUUUUUGACAAAAAAAAAAGAAGAACAAACCUAACCCUAAAAAAGACCUAAUCUUCUUCUCUUCCAGGGCAGCCGCCGCCCCCCCUGUUUCUUUGUUGGAUUUUGUUUUCUCUUCAGCCGGCCACGAAAGAUUUUCCUUCUCCCUCUCCAGCCGGUUCCAACAUCUUCUUCUUCCCUCACCGGCUAGCAGGAGUCUUUCCUUCACCAGCAGCCGCUGUCCCAUUCCAGCCGGCGCUCCUUUACCUUCCUUCUCCCAUAGCCGGGUCUCUCUCAACUGACCCAGCAGCUGCUCCAUCUCUUCCACCAAGAGCAGCGGCAGCAGCACUCAGCAACAAGGCCAACCACCGCUGCCAACAACAGGAGCAAACACCACCGGCGCGCCACCAGCCUCGACAGCUCCACCAAGCGCAGCGGCAGCCCCCGCUGUCUUCUUCUCCUCCGAUCUCCAUCAACGCCGGCUCCACAAGGUCACAGCAGCAGAGCCGUUCCCCAUCUCCUCAGACCCAUGGCUCCCGCUUCAACCAGCGAGUCUUUCCUUCCUCAGCCGCCGAACAGCCUCCAGCGGCAGCAACCAACCCAGCAGCGCCCACAGACCAGCAAUCCUUGGUCAUGCCGCCGGUCACCUGAACUGAAGGAGAGGAGACGCAACGGCAACGAAAGAACAGAUCUGCCGAUCUGCAGAUCUAAAGGAAAANNNNNNNNNNNNNNNNNNNNNNNNNNNNNNNNNNNNNNNNNNNNNNNNNNNNNNNNNNNNNNNNNNNNNNNNNNNNNNNNNNNNNNNNNNNNNNNNNNNNNNNNNNNNNNNNNNNNNNNNNNNNNNNNNNNNNNNNNNNNNNNNNNNNNNNNNNNNNNNNNNNNNNNNNNNNNNNNNNNNNNNNNNNNNNNNNNNNNNNNNNNNNNNNNNNNNNNNNNNNNNNNNNNNNNNNNNNNNNNNNNNNNNNNNNNNNNNNNNNNNNNNNNNNNNNNNNNNNNNNNNNNNNNNNNNNNNNNNNNNNNNNNNNNNNNNAAAAAAGGGAGAAAAAGAGGAAAAGGCCAAAAAAAAAAAAAAAGGGAAAUAGAAGGCAAAGGGAUAUAAUAUAAUAAAAAAAAUGUGUGUUUGUGCUUUUUUUUUAUUUAUGAUAUUGAAUUAUAAAAAAAUAAAAAAACAAGAAAAACACAAAAAACAAAAAAUAAAAAAUGCAUGUUUGUGUUUAUUUCAGGGAUCUUUUUAUAAGGAGAAGGCAAAAGAAUAAAGAAGGAUUUAAUAUUUUGAUUGGAUCACGGUGUAGAAGUACAAACUUGUACGAAAGUUGUAUUUCUAAAUUCCGAUGAAAAGAUAAAAUUUUUAAAACUUCUUGGACACAUCACAACCACAAAGCAGCUUACCUCAGGUAGGGUGUGUUAGGGGUGCUAACACCUUCCCUAACCACAAUCAGUCCCUUACCCGCGAAUCUCUGACAAGACCAGUCAACUUGGGUUUCCUAGUAACCCUGAAUUAAAUACUAGGUGGCGACUCCUAACAAAAUCAAUUCCAAUAACAGAGAGAAAAACCGUCAUCGCCAGGAAGCGGACGCCGCGCGGGGUGUUUCCGACGUGCGACAGAAUGGCGACUCCACUGGGGAGGUAAUAUUGGACUAAGCUUUGUGUAUUUGAUGUGUUUAAGUUUUGUUAUUUUUGUCUUGUUUUAGUUUAUCCAUGCAUUUUUAGAAUUGUUUCAUGCAUCACUUGUAUUUAUUUUUGAAUGCACACACAAGCUUCUAAGCUAGGUGGGAAGUAGCGGUCUGCCUCAUGACUUUCAGUCGGGGUUCAGAUUCGUGAAACAUCCAACUAUGAGCUGAGUGUUUACUCAGUAAUGGCGGUCACAGGGUGCCCUGACCAUUCCUUGUAAACUCCUAUACUGCCUUCACGAGAGGUGGUCACUGGGCAGCUCAUAGACCCUUUUGAGACCAGGUAGAAAACCCACCCAUGUUCACAUAAUGAAUUGAACCUGUCCUGAGGUUGUAUGUGCUAUCAUUUAUUUGCAUCGGGGCGAACCUUUCUUGAAGCAUCUUGAAUUCAAGACUUGUGGGUGACAGAAUGAUCGUCACUCCAAAAAUUUUCAUUGUAGAGUUUGAGCAAGAAUCAAUAUUCUUGUUUCAUCAUACAAAAGUGACGAUCAUAUGUCACCCCUCGAAGGGCAAGUUCAUCAUAUAGAUUGCAUGUUCAUACAUUUUUUCAUGUAUGCACCAGAAUAAAAGGUGGGUCCCCUAUGAGUUUGCAACACCCAAUUUUGAGCGAAAAACAUGGGAGAUAAAAAAGUGCUCGUCGCAGCACUCAUUUUCAAAAAGAGUUGGAGUCUCUGAACAAAAGCUUGACUCGCCUCUAGCUUACUCGAGCAAACACUUAAAAAUACCUUUGGUGAAGGUCCUUCCAACCGGUUUGCUAUCUUUGUUCAAACCCCAACAACUCAACCCAAAGAAACUGGGGGGCAAACAUGGUCAAAAGCCUCAACACAAUCCGAAGGGGAAUUGCACCACUGUUGCAGAAUGGAGCCAGUUCUUGUCCUGCUCAAAAAAAAAAAAUCGAAGGCUACCCCUGCUUGAUCAUGCCUGUAAAAAUUUCUCGAUUUUUUCAACCUAUUCCAGUUUUUGUCGGUAAUUUGGCUCAAAAUUCCACAAGAUUUUCCUUGUCCAAUGAGCCUUUCCUGUUAAUAAAACAUGUGUUUUCUUUUUUUGUGUUCAUGCAAAUAACAUACUGAGCACACCUUUGUACUUACAAAACCAUUGCGCCAAGAAUCUUUGGGCGUGUUUCCCUUUUUUUCCAAAACCAUGCAUGUUUUCACAAGGAUUUUUGGGAAUUCAAAGUUUAGUACAAAAACAGAAAUCAUAUUGGUGUUUGUUCAAACAAACGAGUUCUGGAAAUUCAGGUGAUUCCUUAGAGAGGUAACCAUACACCUAAAAAACACAAAAAAAAAACACCAUGAAGUGACUCCAAAAGCAGAGUUUUAUUUGCAUGAAUAAUGAGAAAUCACUCUACAUACUCGCAUGAAAGCAAGGCUUACCGAUCCUAAAUGCAUGCAUUUGAGAUGAAGAAAGGCCAUCUUUGAUAAUCCUUUCACAAGGCUGAAAUAUAUCCUUUGCAGUCCCCUUUUGAGCCUAAUAAAUUUUUCUUGAAAAAAUAACCUUGACUAGGAUCACACCCUACACUGGGGGGCAAGUGCCAAAAAAUCCUUAAUGAUUGAAAUUGCCCAAACAAUACUGGGGGGCAUAAAAAGUCUUCAACGAUGAAAGUGCCCAAACAAUACUGGGGGGCAAGUGCAAAAAAUCUUUAAUGAUUGAAAGUGCCCAAAUAACUCUUGGGGGGCACGAAAAAGUCCUUAAUGAUUGAAAGUGCCAAGACAAUACUGGGGGGCAUAAAAGAAAAUUCUCAAUCAUCGAAGGUGCCCAUACAAAGCUGGGGGGCAUAAAAAAAAUCCAAAGGAUCCAAAAUUCUGAGCAUAAAAAAAAAGUCAAUGCAAUGAUGCUCAAGAUCAAAUGAAGAAAACCAAAAAAGAGAAAGAGCCCAAGCCCAACACUGGGGGGCACCGUGGACCAUUUUACAAAUCAAAUCCAAGGUCCACAAAUGUAUGAACAAAAAGUUUGGGAUAUAAGCACUAGUGAUCCUUAGUCUUAGAGUCCCUUAAACACUUUUUGAGCCUACGAAUAUCCUUUUCUUCAUAGCCAAUAGCCCAAGCCUACAUUACGUGCCUAAUCAAGCCCUUUCUAAUCAAAGGCAAGCAAUUUGGAUCGGUAGGUAGUGCUUUCUCAUGCGAACUGAAUCAUUAUUCAUGCAAAUAAAAUGAAUGCUUUGAAAAACGGUUCUCAUUAACCCUCAAAUUGAAAUUUAAACCUUUUUGUGACCAACCAGAUGUCAUUUCGUGUUCUUCACAUAACAACGGUUCUCAUUAACCCUCAAAUUGAAAUUUCAACCUUUUGUGACCAACCAAAUGUCACUCCAUAUUUUUCACCAAAAAAUCAAAACAAAAAGUUUUCAUCACAUCUGAAAACCUCUCCAUAGGAAUCAUUUGAAUUUCUUCAUAAUGAGUCUGCUUUGAAUCGAUGUCAAAAUGAUUUCUGUUUGAGGAAUAGCUUUGAAAUUCCAAAAAUUCUGCAUGAAAACAACUCCUUGUAAAUAACCAAAUCUUCCUUCACAUAGCCUCAUCCCCAAACCCGAAUUGAAUACUUGCGGGCAUGAUCAAGCUAGUGGGCAAUCAAAAACAUCUGGUAGAACUGGCUCCAUAAUUCCUUUUCUAAGAAACUAUUGGGCAAAAUUGGCAACUCUUGAGAUAAAGGGGCGGAGGACAAAGAAGUAUGAUGAUAUCAAGUCCUUCCCAGGGGUCAAUAUCACAAGAGAUGACUCGAGUAAGCAAGAGCGAAAAGAGCCAUCGAAGCUUACUAUCAGAGACUCAAACUUUUGAGAAAAUGAGAACUCCAUGAAGAAAAGAGAACUCUAUGUAGAAAAAGGAACUCCAUGAAGAAAAGGGGACCUACAUUUCUCAGGUAAGUAUACAUGCAUAUUGAUCAUGGUACAUUGCUUUCAUCCUUGACAUAUCAGUGUCUCACCAUCACCUCUUGAUUGAGCGGGCUGUUAAGCCCUCAACACCUUAGAUAGAAUGCUUUCUAGCCCUAUCUAUCUUCUUUUUUUAGUGGGCCCUCGAGCCCUCACACCUUAGGUAGUGUGUUUUCUAACCCUGCCUCCCUUUUUAGUGGGCCUUCGAGCCCUCACACCUUAGGUAGUGUGUUUUCUAACCCUGCCUCCUUUUUGAGUGGGCUUUCGAGCCCUCACAUCUUAGGUAGUGUGCUUUCAAGCCCUAUCUACCUUCUUUUUUAGUGGGCCUUCGAGCCCUCAAACCUUAGGUAAAGUGUUUUCUAACCCUGCCUCCCUUUUUGAGUGGGCCUUCGAGUCCUCACACCUUAGGUAGAGUGUUUUCUAACCUUGCCUCCCUUUUUAGUGGGCCUUUGAGCCCUCACAUCUUAUGUAGUGUGUUUUCUAACCCUGCCUCCUUUUUUAGUGGGCUUUCGAGCCCUCACAUCUUAGGUAGUGUGCUUUCUAGCCCUAUCUGCCUUCUUUUUAGUGGGCUUUCGAGCCCUCACAUCUUAGAUAGUGUGCUUUCAAGCCCUAUCUACCUUCCUUUUUAGUGGGCCUUCGAGCCCUCACACCUUAGGUAGUGUGUUUUCUAACCCUGCCUCCCUUUUUGAGUGGGCUUUCGAGCCCUCACAUCUUAGGUAGUGUGCUUUCAAGCCUUAUCUACCCUCUUUUUGAGUGGGCCUUCGAGCCCUCAAACCUUAGGUAGAGUGUUUUCUAACCCUGCCUCCAUUUUUUAGUGGGCUUUUGAGCCCUCACACCUUAGAUAGUAUGCUUUCUAGCCCUAUCUACCUUCCUUUUUAGUGGGCCUUCGAGCCCUCACACCUUAGGUAGUGUGUUUUCUAACCUUGCCUCCAUUUUUGAGUGGGCUUUCGAGCCCUCACACCUUAGAUAGUAUGCUUUCUAGCCCUAUCUACCUUCUUUUUGAGUGGGCCUUCGAGCCCUCAUACCUUAGGUAGUGUGUUUUCUAACCUUGCCUCCAUUUUUGAGUGGGCUUUCGAGCACUCACACCUUAGAUAGUAUGCUUUCUAGCCCUAUCUAUCUUCUUUUUGAGUGGGCCUUCGAGCCCUCACACCUUAGGUAGAGUGUUUUCUAACCCUGCCUUCCUUUUUAGUGGGCCUUCGAGCCCUCACACCUUAGGUAGAGUGUUUUCUAACCCUGCCUCUCUUUUUGAGUGGGCCUUCGAGCCCUCACACCUCUAGGUAGUGUGUUUUCUAACCAUACCUCCUUUUAAGUGGGCCUUCGAGCCCUCACACCUUAGGUAGAGUGUUUUCUAACCCUGCCUCCCUUUUUGAGUGGGCCUUCGAGCCCUCACACCUUAGGUAGAGUGUUUUCUAACCCUGCCUUCCUUUUUAGUGGCCCUUCGAGCCCUCACACCUUAGGUAGAGUGUUUUCUAACCUUGCCUCUCUUUUUGAGUGGGCCUUCGAGCCCUCACACCUUAGGUAGUGUGUUUUCUAACCCUGCCUCCAUUUUUUAGUGGGCUUUCAAGCCCUCACAUCUUAGGUAGUAUGCUUUCUAGCCCUAUCUACUUCCUUUUGAGUGGGCCUUCGAGCCCUCACAUCUUAGGUAGUGUGCUUUCGAGCCCUAUCUGCCUCCUUUUUUGAGUGGGCUUUCGAGCCCUCACACCUUAGGUAGUGUGUUUUCUAACCCUGCCUCCAUUUUUUUAGUGGGCUUUCGAGCCCUCACAUCUUAGGUAGUGUGUUUUCGAACCCUGCCUCCUUUUUAGUGUGCCUUAGGGCCGUCAACCACUUUAGGUAGUGCGUUUUCCAACCCUGCCUCCUUCUUAGUACGCCUUAGGGUCGUCAACCAUCUUAGGUAGUGCGUUUUCCACCCAUGCCUCCCAUUGAGUGCGCCUUAGGGCCAACAACCAUCUUAGGUAGUGUGUUUUCCAACCAUGCCUCCCUUUUUAAUGCGCCUUAGAGCCCUCAACCACCUUAGGUAGUGUGUUUUCCAACCAUGCCUCCUUUUUAGUGUGCCUUCGAGCCACCAACUAUCUUAGGUAGUGUGUUUUCCACCCAUGCCUCCCUUUGAGUGCGCCUUAGGGCCAACAACCAUCUUAGGUAGUGUGUUUUCCAACCAUGCCUCCUCUUUUGAGUGUGCCUUCGAGCCCUUACCUGUUAGGUAGUGUGUUUCCUAACCCUGCCUCCUUUUUAAGUGCGCCUUAGGGCCAACAAACAUUUUAGGUAGUGUGUUUCCUAACCCUGCCUCCUUUUUAGUGCGCCUUAGGGCCAUCGAUCACUUUAGGUAGUGUGUUUUCCAACCAUGCCUCUUCUUUUAGUGCGCCUUAGGGCCGUCAACCAUCUUAGGUAGUGCGUUUUCCAACCAUGCCUUCCUUUUAGUGUGCCUUCAAGCCACCAACUAUCUUAGGUAGUGUGUUUCCUAACCCUGCCUCCUUUUUAGUGCGCCUUAAGGCCGUCAACCAUCUUAGGUAGUGUGUUUUCCAACCCUGCCUCCUUUUUAGUGCGCCUUAGGGCCGUCAACCAUCUUAGGUAGUGUGUUUUCCAACCCUGCCUCCUUUUUAGUGCGCCUUAGGGCCGUCAACCAUCUUAGGUAGUGCAUUUUCCAACCAUGCCUCCUUUUUAGUGUGCCUUCGAGCCAUCAACCACCUUAGGUAGUGUGUUUUCCAACCCUGCCUCCUUUUGAGUGCAUCUUAGAGCCCUCAACCAUCUUAGGUAGUGUUUUCCAACCCUGCCUCCUUCUUUAGUGCGCCUUAGAGCCAUCAACCACCUUAGGUAGUGUGUUUUCCAACCCUGCCUCCUUCUUUAGUGCGCCUUAGAGCCAUCAACCACCUUAGGUAAUGCGUUUUCGAACCCUGCCUCUUUUUAAGUGCGCCUUAGAGCCAACGACCACCUUAGGUAGUGUGUUUUCCUAACCCUGCCUCCUUUUUUAGGGUGCCUUCGAGCCAUCAACCACUUUAGGUAGUGCGUUUUCCAACCCUGCCUCCUUCUUAGUACGCCUUAGGGCCAACAACCACCUUAGGUAGCGUGUUUUUCUAACCCUACCUCCUUUCGAGUGCGCUCUUCAGCCCUUGUUCCCCAUCGAGUCCUAUCAUGUCAUCCUUUUCAGACAUUUUGUCUUCUUGCCCGGGUAGGUCACCCAUUGUAAUCAGACAUCUUUCAAAACACUUUUCAUCUUCCAUUUGGGCCGGUUGCCCAUAACAAUAAAACCAUUUUUGAGAAAUCCUUGCGUUUCUCACCACCUUCAAAUUUUUCCCAUGAAAACACUUUGAAAAAUCUCUGUAUUUUUCACCAUUUUUGAAAAAUCUUUGUAUUUUUCCUCACUUUGAAAAAUCUUUGUAUUUUUCACCGCUUUGAAAAAUCUUUGUAUUUUUCACCCGGGCAAGUCGCCCAUUACAACAAGACCACCUUUGAAAAAUCUCUGUAUUUUUCCUUCCUUUUGAAAAAUCUUUGUAUUUUUCCUCACUUUGAAAAAUCUCUGUAUUUUUCACCCCUUUGGAAAAUCUUUGCAUUUUCACCACCUUGAAAAAUCUCUGUAUUUUUCACCACUUUAAAAUCUUCGUGUUUUUCACCUAGGUAGGUCACCCUUUACAAUGAGACCACCUCAAAAAAAUUUCACCGGGUAGGUCACCCAUGACAGUUCGACCAUUGCAAAAUCUUUGAAUUUUCAAAAACUCUUCCAGUUUUUACUCCGAGUGUGCUUCCUAGCCCUCAUGAGGAUUCAUCAUUCCUCAACAAGAUGAGUCAAUCAUAUCUCAUCCUUUUUUCUUCUUUACAACGCUUACUAUCUAAAGUCUCUUACGAGACUUUCUAUCGUAAGCAUCGUAAAGAGGGGGGCAACUGUCAUCACCCAAUUUUGGGUGAUUCCCCAAAAUUCACUUUUUUUCAAAAUAAAAAAAAAAUAAAAAAUAAAGGCUGGCAAUGCGGAGAAAGUCGACCAAGAAAGGCUGCAAAAAUAGGCGGAAAUCAAGCCGCAAUUUUCGGAGGAAUUUCAAGGCCCAAGUGUACGUUGUUAUGCCUAAAAAUAGAAAAAUGCAAAUUCAAAGGUCAAAUUAAAUGAUUAUUGGACAAAUUUGCAUAAGAAUUAAGUCCAAUGACAUAAUUAAAUUUUUAAUGGGCCAAUUUGAUUUAAUCAUGGGCCAAAUUGAAUUUUAAUUAUGUUCAAGAAUUAAUUUGGGUCCAAUUGGAGGAUUUAAUUAAGUGCAAGGACUUAAUUAUACUUUAAGCGGGUCAAAUUAAUUUGAGGGCUUAAUUGGUGAAAAAUUAAGUUUGGGAGCUUAAUUUGGACUUAAUUGAAAAAUCAGAAUUUUAAGAGACCCAAUUUAAUUUUUACCAAGUGAAUUGAUUGAAAUUAGGGGUCAAACACAAAACUUGAGGGACCAAUUUUGAAGCCCGAAAAACUAUUUUGCCUAUAAAUAGCCUUCAUUUUCAGCUAAGGGGGGGGCAUUUUUGACAACAAAAAAAGAAGAACAAACCUAACCCUAAAAAAGACCUAAUCUUCUUCUCUUCCAGGGCAGCCGCCGCCCCCCCCCUGUUUCUUUGUUGGAUUUUGUUUUCUCUUCAGCCGGCCACGGAAGAUUUUCCUUCUCCCUCUCUAGCCGGUUCCAACAUCUUCUUCUUCCCUCACCGGCCAGCAGGAGUCUUUCCUUCACCAGCAGCCGCUGUCCCAUUCCAGCCGGUGCUCCUUUACCUUCCUUCUCCCAUAGCCGGGUCUCUCUCAACUGACCCAGCAGCUGCUCCAUCUCUUCCACCAAGAGCAGCGGCAGCAGCACUCAGCAACAAGGCCAACCACCGCUGCCAACAACAGGAGCAAACACCACCGGCGCGCCACCAGCCUCGACAGCUCCACCAAGCGCAGCGGCAGCCCCCGCUGUCUUCUUCUCCUCCGAUUUCCAUCAACGCCGGCUCCACAAGGUCACAGCAGCAGAGCCGUUCCCCAUCUCCUCAGACCCACGGCUCCCGCUUCAACCAGCGAGUCUUUCCUUCCUCAACCGCCGAACAGCCUCCAGCGGCAGCAACCAACCCAGCAGCGCCCACAGACCAGCAAUCCUUGGUCAUGCCGCCGGUCACCUGAACUGAAGGAGAGGGAGACGCAACGGCAACGAAAGAACAGAUCUGCCGAUCUGCAGAUCUAAAGGAAAAAGGGAGGCAAAUUCAAAAACCUGUGAUUGUUUGUGUUUUCUCUUGUUUCUGCAGGUCACCGACAGUACGGACGGGAAGAGGAGAAGGAGACGAUCCCGAUCUACUAGCUUGAUGGUCUUCACCGGCUGUGGCGCGUAGGCCCACGCGCCGCCAGUGACGGUGGCGCGUGGGAGGACGCGCCACCAUGAAUUUCUGCAAUUCCAGAAGGGUUCCUUUGCAAUUCCUGGAGUUUUAGGGACUGUUUUGUAAAUUUUAAAUUAUUUGAUGUAAUUUUUAUUUAUUUAUGAAUUUUAUAACUUGUAUUGGGGAUGUAAAAAAAAAGAGAAAAAGAAAAAAAGAAGAAAAAGCAAAAAAAAAAAAAGAAGGAAAAUAGAAGACAAAAGAAUAUAAUAUAAUAAAAAAAAUGUGUGUUUGUGCUUUUUUUUAUUUAUGAUAUUGAAUUAUAAAAAAUAAAAAAAAAAGAAAAACACAAAAAACAAAAAAUAAAAAAUGCAUGUUUGUGUUUAUUUCAGGGGUCUUUUUAUAAGGAGAAGGCAAAAGAAUAAAGAAGGAUUUAAUAUUUUGAUUGGAUCACGGUGUAGAAGUACAAACUUGUACGAAAGUUGUAUUUCUAAAUUCCGAUGAAAAGAAAAAAAUUUUAAAACUUCUUGGACACAUCACAACCACAAAGCAGCUUACCUCAGGUAGGGUGUGUUAGGGGUGCUAACACCUUCCCUAACCACAAUCAGUCCCUUACCCGCGAAUCUCUGACAAGACCAGUCAACUUGGGUUUCCUAGUAACCCUGAAUUAAAUACUAGGUGGCAACUCCUAACAAAAUCAAUUCCAAUAACAAAGAGAAAAAUCGUCAUCGCCAGGAAGCGGACGCCGCGCGGGGUGUUUCCGACAUGCGACAACCAACAUGCAAUUGAUCAUUACCGAGAUAAGGUUUUGCGAGUGUCAUACCAGUAAUAUCUGGAGUAACAUGUUGAUUGGCGCCGGUGUCAGGAAACCAAGUGACAGAAUUUUCUGUGGACGCGUUACUGAAUGAAAGGUUGGCAGAGGCGUGAUUACCAUGUUUCACAAGCUGGGAGCAUUGUUGUGCGGAGUGCCCAAAUAUAUUGCAAAAUUGGCACUUAAUCUGUCGCUGCCACUGACCAGCAUUACUGGUUCUGCUCUGCUGCCAAUUUGGAUGAUUCUGCUGCCAAUGCCCACGCUGUUGCUGCUGGAAGCUGCUGCUGUGACCUCUAACAGGCGAAGCACCAUACUAAGAUGGAGAGUGCAUAUUCCUCAACCCAUUCCGUCUACCUCUGCCCCGUUGAAAGGAUGAACUGCUGCCAUUAAAACUAGAAAAAGAACACUGGGCAGCGAAGGUAGAGGGGGGCUGCACAGGUGUUGGUAGUAAGGGUGCAGCCAUAGGAAGAGGAUGAAGGGAGCUCCUGUGUAAAAACUCAUAAGUAGAUAAAUGACUAUGCAACUUAGAAUGUGGUAGAGGGUCAGAUUUUGUAGAUGGACUAGUAACCAAGUCAUGAAAUUCAUUGCGAAGGCCCCGAAACACAUAUGGGUUGAAGUCGGUGAGGGAGAUGGGACGUCCUGCGGCAGCUAGCUCAUCAAAUAAUCCCUUAGCCUUCUGCAGAUAGGCGGUGACAGUAUCAUCACCUUGAUGAAGGUCUUGAAGGCAGCCAUACAAUUGCAUGAUUCGAGAGUUGGAUGGAGACGCAAGAGCACGUUCUAGUGUGCUCCAUACACUAGCAGAUGUUGGACAAUCCACUACAAGGUGAAGAACGUCUGUGGAUAGAGAGGAGAGGAGUGCGCUGAGGAUGAGUUGAUCUUGUUGUUUCCAUGUCAAGAAGGCAGGGGAAAAACCAGAACUGAAGGCAGGUGAAGUAGCAGAAACAUCAUUGUGCGGAGAGGGACACAUCGUUGAGCCAUCGACAAAGGAAAACACACCUUGAUCGAUCAAAUAUGGCUUCAUCUGCAUACGCCAAAAUAGAUAAUUUGUGUUGGUAAGUUUGAGAUUGAUGACAUGUUGUGUGUUUGAAAGAGGAAUGAUGGCUGGUGGUGCUGCAAGGGCUGAGGAGAUAGAUAAGGGUGCAGGAACAGACAUACUAGCAGAAGUAGGAGCUACAAGGGAGGAUGAGGUAGCAGUAGCAAGCAUACUGACAUUGAUGCCAGCUGCAGUAGCAACAGAGGAAUCCAUUAGAGAAGUUGGAGAAGUCGGAUAGAAACUGCUGGAAGAUUGAGGAGAAACGGAGAAAACAUCCUGAUACAAUUAUUUGCAGACAAGAGAAGGUUGUGCCGAUUGGGGAGAAAAUAAACAUCCUGCAACAAUUAUUUUACAGAAAAGAGAAGGUUGUGCUGAUUAGGGAGAAAAGAAUCUGUUUAGAUGUUUUCGGCUCUGAUACCAAGUUGAAGCAUAAGCUGUAAUUGAUUGAAGGGCAUACAUAAUCUGUAGCCAUCUCUUCUAUAUAUAUAACUAGGGCAACAUACAAUAGUUACUGUGUACCAUACUAUGCAGGAUAAAUAUAUACAAGAAAAUACAAUAUUUCCUAUAUUACAACACAUUCCAUAAUACUGUCCAGAAUCUAGGAUUAAGCCUUAUGGACCAAUCUGUAAUUUUGCCAAAGUUUGGGGAUUAAACUGAAAUUUUCAAAAAUUGAGGGACCAAACUGAACUUUCAUCAUCUUCAACCUUAAACCCAGAUUUUCCACGGAUCACCUACUGAUAUGUCAAGAUUUUUAACUCAAAUUCAUCAUUUAAAAAAAUCAUGACUCAAAAUCAUCAUCUUUACCUUAAAUCUUCAAAAAUCAAUUAAAUAACUCAUUACCCAUAGCAAUCAAUCCCAUAACAUUCAAAUCAAUUCAUCAAUCAAACCCAAAAUAAAAUUUGUAAAACCUUAAUAUUCAACAAAAUAAAAUUAAAACUAAAAGAAGACACAUUUAUAUACAUCAAAACCUAAAUCUUAUCUUUAAACUUAUUUUCUCUAACUCUCUUUUCCUUCCUUUUAUCGUUCCCUCUUUUCUCUUCUUCAUCUUUCCCUUUUCUUCUCUAGCUCCUAUCGUCUCUCACUCUUAAAUUUCAGAUCCCUCUUUCUUUCCUUUUAUAUUUAUACUUAUUAAUUUUGAUUCAUUUACCAUAAUACUCCUUAUUUAUUUAUACCUAUUAAUUCUAAACCUCAAAGGGCUAUGUUGCCUUUUUCUAUUCUCUUUCAUUUUUAGAACAUCACACUCAUCCUUACAAAAUGUAAUGACAUUCCUGGACCAUGUACUACCCUUUAAAUUAACACAAACUAAAGGAAUGUUCAAAUAUGCUUUUUGGUUGUGGAUGUUGUAGAUAACAUCUUUUCAUAGUCUUGUAUUAGAGCUCCCAAACCUUUUUUUAUAGUCAUUUGAAAAACAAGGCUUUAUAUAUGCAUUAAUUAAUAAUAUGAACUAAAUAAAUUAUCAACAUCUAACUAAUUAGUUAUUAUUGGUUUAAUUUACAUUUAUUCAUUUUAUUUCAAUAGUACUUUUAAAUCAAUUUUCUUCAAAAAAUCAAAUUCCUCCAAAUUUAUUAAAAUUUUCAAUUUAAUAAUAAAAUUAAUAAAAUGUGAAAUAUUUUCAUUAAAGAGGUCAUUAUAAGACUAUAUUGUCCUCAACAAUAAACAAUGGUGUUCCAAAAGCCGCUUUUAAACUAAGAAGUUCCUCCCACAAUACUCUUCUUUCACGGACCAGAUUUCCUGCAAAAACUCCUAUGAGUGCACAAUGAAAUCCUUUCCCAAUAGCGCCAUCCAUUGCCCACCAUAUUCAAUUGAACCUAGAAUUUACUAAAAUACCACCCGCAUUAUUUACCGAAUCAACUGUAAACCAGUUAACUGUUGGUGUAUUCCAUAAUGCACAAACAAAUCUAUCUGCAGUUGCAGCAGAACUGUAAGUUAUAAUAUAACAAAGAAUCCCUUUUCUGAUUCUAGAAUCCAGUGAACCUGGUGAUUCCACCUCACGUUCAUCCUCCACCCGCUGAAGACUACCAUUGAAAGAGAAAAGCUCCACCUUGUGCUUCCUUCACCUAAGAACCAUUGGGUCUAAACUGGAUUGAUUGCAUCCCAUCUGAAUCACGUGGGCUUAAUUAAUGGAAGGAACGAACAAUUGUCAGUUUUAAAAGUUUGGUUCCAAUCAUUGUAAUUUCAAAUUUCCAUGCUCCUUCCAUUUAAGCAAGUAAUAACAACAAAGAAUAUGUUUAAAUCUCAGUGUUGUUUUAAAUUUUAUGUAAGAUAGUACAGUUUCAUUUAAAAAAUGAGGAAGAACAAUAAAAAUCCUCAAAUGCUACCACCUUCAAUUCUCAUUCAUCAACAACAGCAUACGUUCAAACAAGUGAUCAAUAGUGUUGAUGAAAAAUAAAUCAUUAGUGUUCAAGUGACGAGGAGUAGAGUAAGAUUGGCGCCAUUGUAAGCUUGACAAGCUUUGCCUACUCUAACUGCAACGAAAGAUUCAGUGCCUAAUCUCUGGACGGAGAAGGGGACGCCCUUGUUAUGUACACGGUUGCUCUGAAUGGUUCGAUGAUGCUCAUUUUAAACAUUUCAUGUCAAGGUUAUCAGUUUCAUUCUGGUUAGUGUUUCAUUUUUUUAAUUGAAACGGUAUGUUUUGGUUUUGGGAUUAUAUUGUUCAUAUAUAUAUAUAUAUAUAUAUAUAUAUAUUAACUCAAUAAACAUAAUUUAAAUUUAAAUUUAAAUUUAAAGAUAAAUUAACUUGAAAUUAUGCAAUUUAAAUUUCAAACAGAAAUAAAAAAGUGAGAGUUAUACCGAUAUGACCCGAUCGACUAGACGGGUCCAAAGACAACCUAAACGACUGAUAAAAAUAUAGUUUGACUAAAAAAAAUCUAAGAUGAUAUUUUCAAAAAAAUUAUUGAGAUGACAACAUAUUAAAUCAACCCGGGUCAACUCGAUCGGGUUAACCUUCUAAAUUUGUAAUCCAGGUUAUACCAGAUUGGGGGAGGCUAGUGGGAUGGUCCAUGAGACCAUUGCCCCGUAAGCUUGGGAAUGGAUAAUAUGCUUUAAUUUCAAUUUAGUUUACAAAAAUAAAUAAAUUAAAAGCUUAAGCAUAAAAAACAAAUCUCAAGUGUAAGAAUGCAACCACCGAUUCAUUAAUGGACAAAGGACCUUAGAUUAAUAUAUGACGCUUCUUUCAAUGGAAAUGUAAAUUCUUUACUAGAAUAUCAUAUAUUUUUUUUGUAUUUGUUUUCUGGUUAUAUUGAAUUUUUCAUCAGUAUUCCUAACGUAAAUUGCUAUGUAUUUCGAAUCUUGAAUGAUUGAAAGAUAGAAAACAGAAAAGAAAGAGAGAUAAGUCAAUUCAAAAAAAGAAGACUUUUAUAAACAUAUAUGGCUUAACAAUAUUAAUCAACUCUUAAUAUCUUUCAUUUUAUAUUUAUUAAAAGUAAAUAUUAAAACCUAUUAUAUUAAUUUGUAAAGGUAUUUAUUUGGAUGGGAAAUAUAUUUCUAAUUUUUUAUUUAAAAAGUUCUAUAUAGUACAACUAACUUAAGAAAGUCAUGUUCAUCAGGAUCAUAGACUAAAAAAAAGAAAAAAAUUGAAUUGCAUAAAAGUAUCACUAUAAAUGUUAUUCUUAGAAAAUAUCUUCGUUCCUUGAUAAAACUCCCUAAACUACUGUCUCUAACAGUGAAAAUAUCCCUAUAGCAACAGUACAUGAAAUAAUGUCAGAAUAAAUUUGUGUGACGUAAUAAUAUCUGUUUAUUUUUGUAUUUUUAAAAAGAUUUUUUUUAAAUAGAUAACUUUUGAAUCAUCAAGUAGUGAACACAAAAAGAGUGAAGAAAAUGAAAAAUAAUCAAAGUGGUGCGGAUCCACAUCAAUUUUUGUCCAUAUUUUUGGUAAUAUUAAUCUCUUUAUCCAUUUAUAGCCAUAGAAAAGAACAUCACCUACUGUGUUUCUUGUCUCUUCUUGUCUGGAAGAUAAGGUUUGUGAACUUUCGAGUGCCAUUUAUUUUAGUACACAGACUGGAUAUUUGACUACAGCUUCACCGCCAGUUAAUUGUUUUUCAAUUAAAAAAAUUUAUAUAUAGAUUUCUUCAACGUAUUUUUUAUUUUAAUUUUUUGAAGUAAAAAUCAAAAAAUUUAUACACAAAUGUAGUCAAAUAAAUCAAGAAUUAUGUGUGUUGAUAAGUGAAAAAAAUCAUAAACAAUGACUCAAAAUAAAAACUGGAAAAAUCAAAAGACAAGUAUAAAUCAAGAUAUUUUUUUUAUCAAAUGUAAAUCAAGAUAUUUAAUUUCACAAAACGUGACAUUUACGCAGUUGUAUUUUCUAAAUUUUCUAAUUAAAAUAAUUUUUUUAUUCGAUCAAAUGAUAAUAAAAACAGACAAAUAAAUUAUAAAUUGAUUGAAUAAAAUAAAAAGAAAAAAAAAUAAUAUAUAAAGCUACACAUAUUAGAAAUAUUUUUUGAAAAUAUUUUUUUUUUCAAAAAGAAAAUUCUUCUAUACAAAAGAUUUUUAUAAGUAUAAAAAAGAAUUUUUUAAUUUAUUCAGUUUUUUAAAUAAAGUUAAUCUAUCGCAAGAGUACAAGAAAUAAGUAUUUUGCCGUCAUGCAUUUUUUUCCCUCAAGACCAUUUCCAUCAUGCAUUUAUGAGUUCGUCAGACCAUUUCCAUCUGCACAUUGGUCCCUGAGACCGUUGCCAUCAUGCAUUUUUGCUCGAGGAGAGGCCGUGAGACGUCCUCUUCCAACUAUCAUGCAUUUUUUCCAUUCCACGAGAUGGGCCGUACGCUCGGGGCUCUAAAAGCUAUGGUUUUUAAUUUUAUUAUGUCACGUCUGCAAUGGCAGGUAUAUUUUAUUUCAAUUUAAAAAACUGAAUAAAUUUGAAGAUAUUUCAUCUAGUUUAAAAUCUUAUCUCUAAAUUUAAAGAUAUUUCAUCUAGUUUAUAUAACAAGUUAAAAUUUAGAACAGUCAGAGUUUAGAAAGACUUUACUAGAUUGACGAUGAUAUUUUUAUAAUUUAAUUUAAAUUCAUAAUUUUUUUUCAUCAAUAUUCCUAACGUAAAUUGCUACGCAUUUUGAAUCUUAAAGAAUUGAAAGAUGGAAAAAAAAUAAGAAAGAAAGACACAACAGUUCAAAAGAAAAAGAACAAAAGAACAAAAGUUAAAGAAAGAAAAGAGAACAAAAGUGGAGCAGUUUUUAUUAACUAUAUAAAUUUUAUAAUUACUAAUAUUAAAAUUUAAAAUAUGUACAUUUUGCAAAUAUGUAAACAUAUCAUGUGGUUUAAAAGAAAUGACUUUUAUAAACAUAUAUGGCUUAACAAUAUUAAUCAACUCUUAAUAUCUUUCAUUUUAUAUAUAUUAAAAGUAAAUAUUAAAACAUAUUAUAUUAAUUUGUGAAGGUAUUUACUUGGAUGCGAAUUAUAUUUCUAAUUUUUUAUUAAAAAAGUUCUAUAUACUACACCUAGCUUAAGAAUGUCAUAUUAAUUAGGAUCAUAGAGUAAAAGAAAGAAAAAAUUGAAUUGCAUAAAAGUAUCAAUAUAAGUGUUAUUCUCUGAAAAUAUCUUCGUUCCUUGAUAGAACUCCCUAAACUACUAUAUAUCUCUAACAUAGUUAUUAAACCCGGCUCGGUGAGGGUUGUUCGUUUGUUUAGAUAAGGGUUUAGGUCAUAAAUUGGCUUAAUACUCGGAUAAAGUUUUGAGUUAUAGAUCGAACAAGUUAGCUUAUUGACUGAUGUUAAUAAAAGAUUGUAUCAUUUUAAGAUUUUUUUUAGAAAAAUCAAAAUCGCGUAGUUAAAAAAAGUAAAAUUAGUUUUUGACUGAGUUGACUAGGUUGUGAGUUGAUUUAUUUAGUUGAUUAGGUUUUAUUGGGUCAACUCUUACUUGGUUUUUUCUAAAUCUAAAUCGGGUUAGAUUCCAGAUUAAAAUGUUAGGCUUGAAUUAAAUUUAACAACACUGAUUAAAACCACAUUGUAAAAAAAAAAUUUUGAAUUGCAUAAAAGUAAUUAACCAAAAACUUGUAUUCCUUCUUAUAAAGUUGAACCCAUGUCAUUUUUUUUAAGGAAAAAUAUGAAUCAAAGGUUAAAACUAGGCAGCUCACUUUGCACGACAAUGACGGAUAUAGAAGACUUGCUAUUUUCUUUAUGAAUUUAACGUGUGGAAAAUCAUGCCUUAAUUUAAUUUAAUGGAAAAUCAUGCCUUAAUUUUCUUUAUUAAAACUUCUUUUUUUUUUCUAAAGAGUUUAUUUUUUGUUACACAAUCAACAAGUAAGAUAGAUAGAAAUUUACGGUGUGAGAUGGGUCUGUAAGACUUAUAUUGGCAUCUGUAUUUUUUCCAUGAUAAAGACCAAUGGGAUGGUCCUAUCAAGCAAUUUUUCUACGAUAUGGGUCCAUAAGAACACUUCCAUCUAUACAUUGGUCCCUGAGACCUUUGCCAUCAUACAUUUUUCUUCGAGGAGAGGCCGUGAAACGUCCUCUUCCAGCCAUCAUGCAUUUUUUCCACGAGAUGGGUUGGUGGAAAAACUUUGGAUUAAUUGGGAAUGCUUUACUGUAUUUGUUUUCUGGUUAUAUUUAUUUUUUCAUCAAUAUUCCUGAACAGCGUAUUUUGAAUCCUGAAGGAUUGAAAGAUGGAAAACAGAAAAUAUUAAAGUGAAAUGUUUUAGUAUAAAGUAGAUGUUAAUGAUGAAAGAAAAGCACGUGGAAAAGAGAGGGAUGGUGAAAAUGACAUGUAAGGGACUGUUUGGCAGUGCGCAUAGAAAAGGGAAAAUGUCAUUGCCAGUUUGAGUGGUGUGUUUGCAUUUGAUUUGUUAAUUUCGAGUUUUGUCAAAGAGUGAUUACUGGUCAACAAGCUUUUUAUUAAUUUAAUUUAUCCUGUCAUGUGAAGGGCCAAACCUGUCAUUGCCAGUUAUAGUCACAAGUCUUGGUCUUACCAUUUUACUAUUUAUUAAUUAAUUAAUUGUUUGAUUAAUCAACGAAACUGUGCGUUUCUCAUGUGAGAUAUAUAUAUAUAUAUAUAUAUAUAUAUAUAACUUUUCAAAACAAAAAGAUUUUGAUGGAGAGGACAUUGAAACAAAUUAUCCUCAAAAUCUUAUUUUAUUGUCAUCAUUCAAUUUUUUCCACGAGAUGGCGCCGUAAAAGCUAUUAUUUUUAAUUUUAUUAUGUCAGGUCUAGAAUGACAGGUACAUUUUAUUUUAAUUAAUUCAAUUUAUCCUUUCAUGUGAAGGGCCAAACCUGUCAUUCAUUGCCAGUCACAGUCACAAGUCUUGGUCUUACUAUUUUACUAUUUAUUAAUUAAUUAAUUUAUAACAGUAAUUCACAGUAAUUCAUCUUCUUUUUUUUUUUUAACUUUUUUUUUCCAAUUUUUUUUUUAACUUUCUGAUUUUUUCUUUUUUGUCAUUUAUUUUUUUUUCAAAAUUAUUUUUGUUGAUUUUACCUUUUAAAAUUUUUGCUUUGUAAUUUUUUUCUUUAAAAUACUAUGGAUUGCUAUGAUGUUUUUCCACUUAAUUUUUCUAUUUUAUUUUUUUAUUUUUCAAAAUUAUAUUUGUUGAUUUUUUUUAAUAUUGAGCUGAUUAAGAAUUUAGCUUUAUAAUUUUUUUCUUUAAAACACUGUGAAUUGUUGCAGUGUUUUUCCAUGUGAUUUUUUUAUGAUUUUUUUCAAAAUUAUCUUUGUCGAUUUUUUUUUAAUAUUGAGUUGGUUAAGAAUUAUAAUUACUGUCGCACGUCAAAAAAUCCGCGCGGCGUCGGCUGGCGAUCAUUAUCGUUGUUAUGUUUGAUUUGAUUGGUUCGUUGGAGUCGCCACCUAGUAUUUAAUUGAGGGUUACUAGAAAACCCAGAUGUACUGGUCUUGUCAGAGAUUCGCGAGUAAGGGAUUGGUUGUGGUUAGGGAAGGUAUUAGCACCCCUAACGCACCCUACCUGAGGUAAGCUGCUUCGUGACUUUGAUGUGUUAAAGAAGUUUUAAUAAUUGUCUUUUCAUCGGAUAUUAGAAAUACAACUUACAUGUAAGUUAAUAAUUCUUGACCGUGAUCCAAUCAAAAUAUUAAAUUCUUCUUUAAUCUUUACAAUUUUAUCUUAAAUAAAAAUAAAACAUCCAUAAAACAAAUAUAAACACACCCAUACACUUUCACUAUAUUUUCUUUUUCUUUUCUUUUGUUGUUACAUUCACAAUACCAAUUAUACAAAUUCAAAAAAUAACUAAACAAAAAUUACAUUAAACAAUUUAAAAUUAGCCUCAAAACAAUCUGGAAUUACAGGGAUUGCCAUCUGCCACCCGGAACAGUGUCAAGGAAGUUUUCUGGGCGCAGGAACAGUGGCGGCGCGUCCUUCCACGCGCCACCGUCGCUGGCGGCGCGUGGGUUCACGCGCAGCCGGCCGAAACUGGCUUCUUCUCCUCUUCUCUUCUGCAACGCCGGUGACCUGCAAAACAACAAAGAAACACAACAACACAGGCAGUUGAUCUUAGUUUUUAUUUCAAAUUUAUUCUUCUCGGGUCUUUUAGAUCUGCUCCGGGUCAGCUGCUAUGGUUCAUCUUCCUCUCUUCUGCUUCAGCGUACUGGCAGCAAGGAGCGCUGGAGGUUGUCGACCGGUGGGGAAGGAGAUCGGCUGCUGCUGCUGGUGGCCGGUCUGUGGGCUCUGUUGAAAGCCGGCUGGAGAAGGAGGAUCUGUCGUGGCUGUGGUUGCUGCUGCCGCUGCUGGGGCUGUUCGGCGGCUGAGGAAGGAAAAACCUGCUGGCUGAAGCGGGAGCCGUGGGUCUGAGGAGAUGGGGAACGGCCCUGCCCGUCCUCUGGUCGAUGGAGAUGAGGCUGUCCUGUGAUGCUGCUUGUGGUCGGUUGAUGGAGGGAGAGAGCUGGUCUGUCAGCUGACAGAGGAGACGAUGAAGGCUGUUGGAAGCAGUGAACUGGGUCUGCUGCCGGCCGAAGGAGAUGAUGAAGAAAAUGGGUUUGUCUUGGCUAGCAGCUGGGGGGAGAAUGGAAAAGGAGAGUUGCGGUGGCUGCUGGUGAAGGAAGGGCUACUGCUGGCCGGUGAGGGAAGAAGAAGAUGCUGGAACCGGCUGGAGAGGGAGAAGGAAAAUGAAGGCUUGUGCAGGAAAGGGACUCCGGCUGGAAGAGGAAAACCAAAAACGUGGGGGGCCGGCUCUCUUCAACAGGGAAAAGGAGGCUUCGACUGAGGGGAGGCUGCUCUGUAGGAGGUUGAUGUGGGUUGUGUGCUGUAAUGGCCAGCUUGGCAGUGUGUGAGGAAGGGAGACAGAGAGGGACCAGCGGUGUGGUAGAAGGAAGAAAGGAUGGCGCCGGGGGAGAAGUCUGGCUGCUGAGGGGAAGAAGAAAAUCAAAAACAGGGGGGCCGGCGGCUUCUUCUUUUUGGGGUUAGAGAUAGGUUUAGGUUUAGGUUGUUUUUUUGUAUUUUUUCUUAUGUUUCCAAAAUUGAUCCCCCCUUUGUAAAAACCAGUGUAGCUUGGUAUUUAUAGGAAAAGUUUUGCUAGGUUUUCAAACUAGUCCCUCAACUUUUCCUUUCCUUAUCUUUUCCUCUUUUUUUGUAAAUUUUGAUUUUUCUUAUUUUUUUUUUGUAUUUUUGAAAGCGAGCAAAUAUCAACAUCGACUCAAUGCGGGAAAUCAAUGAUUUUAAAAAUGACGCGUGAAAAGUUGAACGCGUUCCAAAUAUCUUUGAAAAUUUAAAUUCUUUUGAGACGAUGCUAAAAAUGCUAAAAAACGAUGCAAAUGUAUUAAAAACAUAUUUUUUUGGAUUUUCAAUGUUUUUCGCUAUUUUUGAAUUUUUCUGAAAAUUUAUCAAAACAUGGGUCAAAAAUUGGGUAGCAACAGAUGCCCCCUCUUUACAAUGCUUACGAAGCAAAACUCCUCAAUGUUUUGCAUAGUAAGCUUUGUAAAGAAAAACUCUAAAUGUUUCUUUUUUUUUUUCUUCUGUGAGAUCCCAUCGGGCGAUCUCCUUGAACCAAAACCAAAAUCUGCGUGGUUGGGCUAACCUGAGAUCGCGUCCGACGAUCCCCUUUAACCAGAACCAAUAUCCUGUGUGUGGUUGGGCUAACCUGAGAUCCCGUCCGGCGAUCCCCUUUAACCAGAACCAACAUGAGAUCCCAUCUGGCGACCUCAUUAAACCAAAACUAAAAAAAUGUGUGUAGCUCGGUCAACCUGAAAUCCCAUCUGGCGAUUCCCUUUAACCAAAGCUACAUGAGAUCCCAUCUGGCGACCUCAUUCAACUGGAACUAAAAAUAUGGUAGCUCGGUCAACCUGAAAUCCCAUCUGGCGAUUCUCUUUAACCAAAGCUACAUGAGAUCCCAUCUGGCGACCUCAUUAAACCAAAACAAAGAAUAUGGAACAAAUGGUCUCAUUGUAAUGGGUGACGAACCCAAGAAAAAUGAUGGUCUCAUUGUAUGGGUGACUAACCCAAGAAAAAUGAUGGUCUCAUUGUAUGGGUGACGAACCCAAGAAAAAUGAUGGUCUCAUUGUAUGGGUGACUAACCCAAGAAAAAUGAUGGUCUCAUUGUAUGGGUGACGAACCCAAGAAAAAUGAUGGUCUCAUUGUAUGGGUGACGAACCCAAGAAAAAUGAUGGUCUCAUUGUAUGGGUGACGAACCCAAGAAAAAUGAUGGUCUCAUUGUAUGGGUGACUAACCCAAGAAAAAAUGAUGGUCUCAUUGUAUGGGUGACGAACCCAAGAAAAAUGAUGGUCUCAUUGUAUGGGUGACUAACCCAAGAAAAAUGAUGUGGAAAACGGUCUCAUUAUGAUGGGUGACCUACCCAAAUGGAAAGAAUGUGAAGUGCGGUCUCAUUAUAAUGGGUGACCUACCCAGGUGGAAGAUAGAAAAAAUGUGAAGUGGUCGCGUUAUAAUGGGUGACCUACCCAGGUGGAAGAUAGAAAAAAUGUGAAGUGGUCUCAUUGUUAUGGGUGACCUACCCAGGUGGAGGAUAUAAAAAAUGUGAAGCGGUCUCAUUGUAAUGGGUGACCUACCCAGAUGGAAGAUGAGAAAAAUAUGAAGCGGUCUCAUUGUAAUGGGUGACCUACCCAGGUGGAGGAUAUAAAAAAUGUGAAGCGGUCUCAUUGUAAUGGGUGACCUACCCAGAUGGAAGAUGAGAAAAAUAUGAAGCGGUCUCAUUGUAAUGGGUGACCUACCCAUGUGGAAGAUAGAAAAAAUGUGAAACGGUCUCAUUGUUAUGGGUGACCUACCCAGGUGGAGGAUAGAAAAAAUGUGAAGUGGUCUCAUUGUUAUGGGUGACCUACCCAGGCGGAGGAUAAAAAAUAUGAAUUGGUCUCAUUGUUAUGGGUGACCUACCCAAAUGAAAGAUGUGAUGUGACAAGUGUGAAAAAUAGGACUUACCUGGCGAAGUCCUGAAGGGAUGAUAGAAGAAGGGCCAGAAAACUUGGUGCUUCUUGAUAAUUCUUGAUCGCAGGGUUUGAAAAUUCGAUGCUUCCUGAUUGCAAGGUUGAUCUUUUCAUUUCUUUGAGAUUUUCCUAACAGUAAGGCUUAUCUCAUCUUCUUCCCGUUCCAAGGUCACAACCAUGAUUCUCUGUCAUUAUCAGCUCAAUGAUUCUCCUUUUUUUUUUUCUUUUUCUCUCUUUUUUUUUUUGUCCCCAAUCUUGCUAAACUACAUUGAGGAUUUUUCCUGCAACAAAAUAAAAAAUAUGUACAAUGUUUUUAACGUUAGCUGACAUGCAUGCAUCCUUACCUGAUUCGAAAUAUAGGUCCCCCCUCUUCGAUGUUCCAUCAUCACAGGGUGCCUUUGUUUGCAUUCCAAAGCUUUCUUUGCUCUUCCCAUGCACUGGCUCAUUCGUAUGCUAGCCUUUCACUCAAAUGUAAGUGCAGUGCCCAUCCUGGGCUGUCCACGACGAUUACUGCUCUCAGUUGUUCUCAAGCUUGACCAUGUUUCCAAGUGUGGUGUUGCUCGAUUCAUCGUGAAGGAGUUGAACAAAUCAUCCAUCUCCUAGAUUCUCUCAAGAAUUGUCCUUUGAUUUGGUGCGUGUGUUUUGCUAACACCCCUCAAAAGGUUUUCUGGUGUUUAACCUCCUUUUAGAUUGUCAAUCAGUCAUGAACUUGCCCCCAGUUGAAACAAUACUCUUCAAGUAUAUAUUAUCAUCAGUCUUCAUUGAAACUAUCCAAUCAUCCAGACAUGCAUCUCAUAGCUUGCAGUGGAAGACUCAUCGUUGUAUGCUCAAUGUUCUUUCUCAUGGAUUUCUCUCAGCUUGUCAAAUCAGAUAGUGGAAAGAAAUGUCUUGACAUCAUCAAUGAUGUUCAUGUUAUCACCCAUAUUCAUACGGUGAAGUGCGCAUUUGAGCUCUAAAAUAGAUGGUCCCACAGUCAGUCUUGGUGGUGUGCAUCUUUCUGACAUUCAUUCCAAUGCAACUAUGCAAUAACAUCUGUUGAUAACCAUGUUUCAAAAAAUGACAAUAUGAGAUUGUCCUUCAAGUGUAUCUUUGCUUUCCCGAUUGUUGACGGGGUUCACUAGAUCAUGGACUAUCUUUGAACAACAUUGCCCCCAAUAUGAUCUGAAUGUGCUCGUUCAUUGAUUAUCUUUCUUUGAACACCAUUGUCUUCAGUACACUGAUUCAUCAUUUAAUCAUCUUUCAUUGCCCCCAACUGAUCUGAAUACUGUUUGUUUUCCUACCCAUGAUCCACUGUAUUGCCUCCAGGUGGUCAACUUUUCAAGGAGUGUCGAGAAAUGUUGAUGUCAUUCUUGUCAAGGAUUUUGCAAAUUUGGUCGAUGUUCUUGUUGUUUAACAAUAUUUCUUGUUCUGGAAUCAACUCUCAUAUUUCAAAGAUCAUGUCAAUUCAAGUCUAAUUGUUGAAAUGAAAUCAAAGAGAUAUCAGUUUUGGAAAAGAUCUUUUGAAAAUCAAGCUUUUUGGUCAAAAACCCAACACACACUAUUCAAUAUAGUCCUUUGAUUGUCUUGUAUUUUGAAAACAGAAAUGACCCAUUGUAAGUUUAAAAUGACUUUUUUUUCAUGGUUCUUUAUGUCAGUUUUAAUCUUUGAUCUUGGGUAUAUCUUUUCACGGUCUGCAAUGAGGUGACCUUCUGUGAAUUUCAAGGAAAACAAAAGGCUCAAGUCAAAACUUGAGGAUUCAUCAAGAAAGAUUGUUUUCUUUUUUAGCACCAAUUUUAUCAGCAUGCAUAAUAACCAGUAGCUUAUUCCAUGAAGCUAUGACUCUUAUAGAAAACUCUUCAAGUUUUGAGAUCGCCAUUUAUCGGUUCAGAUUGCUUACCUGAUUAAAAGGGCUUUUUAAAGCACAUAAUGCAGCUAUGUCAUGCUAUGAAAGAAAGAAAUUCAGCUCAAAAGUGUUGAGGUUUGAGGGUUUUAAANNNNNNNNNNNNNNNNNNNNNNNNNNNNNNNNNNNNNNNNNNNNNNNNNNNNNNNNNNNNNNNNNNNNNNNNNNNNNNNNNNNNNNNNNNNNNNNNNNNNNNNNNNNNNNNNNNNNNNNNNNNNNNNNNNNNNNNNNNNNNNNNNNNNNNNNNNNNNNNNNNNNNNNNNNNNNNNNNNNNNNNNNNNNNNNNNNNNNNNNNNNNNNNNNNNNNNNNNNNNNNNNNNNNNNNNNNNNNNNNNNNNNNNNNNNNNNNNNNNNNNNNNNNNNNNNNNNNNNNNNNNNNNNNNNNNNNNNNNNNNNNNNNNNNNNNNNNNNNNNNNNNNNNNNNNNNNNNNNNNNNNNNNNNNNNNNNNNNNNNNNNNNNNNNNNNNNNNNNNNNNNNNNNNNNNNNNNNNNNNNNNNNNNNNNNNNNNNNNNNNNNNNNNNNNNNNNNNNNNNAGAUAGCCUUUUCUCAUUUCAAGCAAGGUGCGGUUAGAAUCGAUAAAUUUUGACCUCAUCCAAUGUAAUGAUUUGGACUUGUAAGAGUCAUGAUUCACGAGUCCAUAACUACUGAAUCCACUAAAUGUCAUUAUGCAUACUGCUAAAACUUAGUUAUAUGAUGUGUGGUUCAGUUUCAGGAGGUAUGAGUUCAAAAUUGAUUGGUCACCUCAUGUCAUUUUCCAGCAUCAAGUUAUUUCUGCAAUCAAAAUACUUUUAAUCUUCAGGAUUGAUUAAUCUUAAUCGCAUGUUGGAGCUUGAUCAAAAUAUUUUGUAAAAAUACCCUUUGAAAGAAGCAUCUCUUGAUUUCAAAACAACAGGAAGACAAAGGAAAGACAUGUUUCGUUCAAGGAUGAGAUGUGACCCCAAAACAAAAUGCAAGAUGGCAAAAUCCAUAACAAAAAUGAUUGACAGUUUAACCCCUUCUUAGAUCAGCCUCUUUGGCGAUAUCUCUGUUUUGCCAAGCAAUUCCGAUCACUCGUCAUUCUGAGGAUGUUCUGGCGAUAAAAUGAUCGAUGACAAGCUCCUUCACGGAUUCCUCUCGUCUUUUGCUCACCAAUUUGCGGACUCGAUUCUUGCAAUUAUUCAACUGAAUGGCCUGAAAUCCCCCCAUGAUAUUCAAAUCUCUUGUUGGGAUUAUAUCACAUAAGAAACAGUGGUUGCAUGGGAUUUAACAGAGUCAGGCAAAAAGUCUGGAAUCUGACAGAUGCUAGUAGUCCAACUUGGGUGGCAGAAAGAUGUCAAUCUUGGCAAAGACACUUAAGUAGCUGGUGCUACAGUGAGACUUGACUAAACCAAGUAACUAUGGUUUCUCAUCUUCAGAGUCAUCUCCUGAUUCAUCUCUCAUCAUUGUUCUGGAAUUCAUGGCAGAUCCUUCAAUCUUUCCCAUCUUGACAGCUAGCUCAAUUCUUUUGGCAAUCCUCACAACAUCAUGUCAAUCUUCCAAUGUUGUUGCGGUUGUAUGAGAAUUGUUGGAAAUGUUCCAGUAGCUAGGUAAUCUUGGCAGCACCCGGAGACUUGCAGCAUUGUCACUGCCGACGUGUGGGAUCACGCGUUGUCUCAAUUGGAAGAGAAACUGAUGAAUCUAAAACUUCUUUGUCUCCUCUUCGAUUCCUCACUGACGGUGCAGCAAAUAGACACCUGUAGAGGGAGUUCCGCUCUGUGAAAGUUUCAGUCUUCUUCAUGUUUUUCAGUCUAGGCAUGUCCCUUCUCUCUACUUUUGCAUUUUAAUACUGACACUGUUAGGAGGAAAAUCAUAGAUGAUCUGAAACUACUGUAUUCCUUCUUGAAUUUCCCACUUGCAGAUCCACAAACAGAUUCCUGUCGAGAGAGCUCUGCUAUGUUGAAGUUUGAUGUUUGCCCCUGUUCUCUAGCUCAGGUCUGGCCUUUUCUGCCUACUACAGUGCUUCGGUACUGAAACUGGUGGCGUAAAUUUUCACAUUGUUUGAAGCUACUACAUCCCCUCAUACAUUCUCCACUUGCAGAGCCACAAACGGGUUUUUAUAGAGAGAGCUCUGUCACGUCAAAGUUCAAUGACUGCUCAUGUUUUCAGACUAGGUCUGACUCUUUGGCCUACUCCAGUGUUUCAGUGCUGAAACUAAUGAGACAACGUUUUAUAGCAUAUGAAAAUACUGCAUCCCCUCUUGCAUGCCCCAUUGGCAGAUCCCCAAACAAAUCUCUACAGAGAGAGCUCUGCAACGUAGAAGUUUAAUGUCUGUUCAUGUUUUUCAGACCAGGUUUGGCUCUUCAACCUACCACAAUGUCUUUGUGCUGAAACUGAUGAGAGAUUUUUAUAGCAUAUGCAACUAAUAAAUCCCCUCUUACAUUCCCAACUUGCAGAGCCAUAAACGGAUUUUUGUAGAGAGAGCUCUGCCACAUUGAAGUUUGAUGACUGCUAACAUUUUCAGACCAGGUCUCACUCUUCUGCCUACUACAAUGUUUUGCUGGUGCUACUGGUGGGAGAAAUUUUCAAAGCAUAUGAAAUUACUACACCCCCUCUUGCAUUCCCCACUGGCAGAUUCACAAAAAAAUCUCUACAGAGAGAGCUCUGCAACGUAGAAGUUCAGUGUCUAAUCAUGGUUUUUUUUUUUUUUUUUACAUCUUGUGCUGCUGAACUGGAAUUGAGCUCAUAGUUGGGGUAACUUCAAAGAAGACUAAUGCACCAUGCACAGAAGGCUAGCAGUUAUUUGGUGCCAUUGAAAGAUACGGAGGCGAUGAAUAAUUAUAAGUGCAACUGAACAAGAACAAAGGUUGUCAUUAGCUGAUGACUGAAGGCAUUGCUGCAAUUAUUCAAGACUGAAAAGAGGAGGAGCAGCUUCAAUAGGACGUGGACGAGCGGUGUUCCCACAAAAGAUUGUGCAGACAUUCCCUUUCCAUUCGAUGCUCAACACUUGUUCAGGGAGAUAUGAGUCUAGCUACUUCACCUUUGAUGCUCUCAACUUCCCUUUGAUAAUGAGCUUCUCUCUGACCCCUUUCUUUAUUAUCCAUCUUUUCAUUCCAAUGUAGUAAACCUUGGAUGGGGGAACCUAUUUUCAACUUGGUACAUGCAUGAUAAAUGUAUGAACAUGUAAACUAUAUGAAGAACUCGCCCUUCGAGGGGUGACAAUAUGGUCGUAACUCUCGUAUGAUGAAACAAAAAUCUUGAUUCUUGCCCAAACUCUACAAUGAAAAUUUUCUGAGUGACGGCCAUUGGGUCACCCACAAGUCUUGAGUUCAAGAUGCUUCAAGAAGGGUUUGCCCUAAUGCAAAUAAAAAUAGCACAUACAACCUAAGGACAGGUUCUAUUCACUAUGUGAACAUGGGUAGGUUCUCUACCUGGUCUCAAAAGGGUCUCAUAUCUGCCCAGUGACGUUCUUCGUAAAGACAGUAUGGGGGCGUUGCAAGGAAUAGUUAAGGUACGUCUACCCACCAUUACCAAGCAGGCACUCAGAUAUGAGUUCGGUUUUUCACGCAUCUGAACCCUGACCAAUAGUCAUAGGGCAGAUCGCUAAUUCACCACCUAACUUAGAAGCUUGUGUGUGCUUUAAAAAAUAAAUACAGGUGAUGCAUGAAACAAUUCUAAAAAUACAUGGAUAAAACAAAAAUAUAACAAGACAGAAAUGCAAAAACUUAAACACAUCAAAUACACAAAGCUUAGUCCAAUAUUGUCAGAAACAAUACCUUCCCCAGUGGAGUCGCCAUUCUGUCGCACGUCAAAAAAUCCGCGCGGCGUCGGCUGGCGAUCAUUAUCGUUGUUAUGUUUGAUUUGAUUGGUUCGUUGGAGUCGCCACCUAGUAUUUAAUUGAGGGUUACUAGAAAACCCAGAUGUACUGGUCUUGUCAGAGAUUCGCGAGUAAGGGAUUGGUUGUGGUUAGGGAAGGUAUUAGCACCCCUAACGCACCCUACCUGAGGUAAGCUGCUUCGUGACUUUGAUGUGUUAAAGAAGUUUUAAUAAUUGUCUUUUCAUCGGAUAUUAGAAAUACAACUUACAUGUAAGUUAAUAAUUCUUGACCGUGAUCCAAUCAAAAUAUUAAAUUCUUCUUUAAUCUUUACAAUUUUAUCUUAAAUAAAAAUAAAACAUCCAUAAAACAAAUAUAAACACACCCAUACACUUUCACUAUAUUUUCUUUUUCUUUUCUUUUGUUGUUACAUUCACAAUACCAAUUAUACAAAUUCAAAAAAUAACUAAACAAAAAUUACAUUAAACAAUUUAAAAUUAGCCUCAAAACAAUCUGGAAUUACAGGGAUUGCCAUCUGCCACCCGGAACAGUGUCAAGGAAGUUUUCUGGGCGCAGGAACAGUGGCGGCGCGUCCUUCCACGCGCCACCGUCGCUGGCGGCGCGUGGGUUCACGCGCAGCCGGGAAAGCAGCCGGCCGAAACUGGCUUCUUCUCCUCUUCUCUUCUGCAACGCCGGUGACCUGCAAAACAACAAAGAAACACAACAACACAGGCAGUUGAUCUUAGUUUUUAUUUCAAAUUUAUUCUUCUCGGGUCUUUUAGAUCUGCUCCGGGUCAGCUGCUAUGGUUCAUCUUCCUCUCUUCUGCUUCAGCGUACUGGCAGCAAGGAGCGCUGGAGGUUGUCGACCGGUGGGGAAGGAGAUCGGCUGCUGCUGCUGGUGGCCGGUCUGUGGACUCUGUUGAAAGCCGGCUGGAGAAGGAGGAUCUGUCGUGGCUGUGGUUGCUGCUGCCGCUGCUGGGGCUGUUCUGCGGCUGAGGAAGGAAAAACCUGCUGGCUGAAGCGGGAGCCGUGGGUCUGAGGAGAUGGGGAACGGCCCUGCCCGUCCUCUGGUCGAUGGAGAUGAGGCUGUCCUGUGAUGCUGCUUGUGGUCGGUUGAUGGAGGGAGAGAGCUGGUCUGUCGGCUGACAGAGGAGACGAUGAAGGCUGUUGGAAGCAGUGAACUGGGUCUGCUGCCGGCCGAAGGAGAUGAUGAAGAAAAUGGGUUUGUCUUGGCUAGCAGCUGGGGGGAGAAUGGAAAAGGAGAGUUGCGGUGGCUGUUGGUGAAGGAAGGGCUACUGCUGGCCGGUGAGGGAAGAAGAAGAUGCUGGAACCGGCUGGAGAGGGAGAAGGAAAAUGAAGGCUUGUGCAGGAAAGGGACUCCGGCUGGAAGAGGAAAACCAAAAACGUGGGGGGCCGGCUCUCUUCAACAGGGAAAAGGAGGCUUCGACUGAGGGGAGGCUGCUCUGUAGGAGGUUGAUGUGGGUUGUGUGCUGUAAUGGCCAGCUUGGCAGUGUGUGAGGAAGGGAGACAGAGAGGGACCAGCGGUGUGGUAGAAGGAAGAAAGGAUGGCGCCGGGGGAGAAGUCUGGCUGCUGAGGGGAAGAAGAAAAUCAAAAACAGGGGGGCCGGCGGCUUCUUCUUUUUGGGGUUAGAGAUAGGUUUAGGUUUAGGUUGUUUUUUUGUAUUUUUUCUUAUGUUUCCAAAAUUGAUCCCCCCUUUGUAAAAACCAGUGUAGCUUGGUAUUUAUAGGAAAAGUUUUGCUAGGUUUUCAAACUAGUCCCUCAACUUUUCCUUUCCUUAUCUUUUCCUCUUUUUUUGUAAAUUUUGAUUUUUCUUAUUUUUUUUUUGUAUUUUUGAAAGCGAGCAAAUAUCAACAUCGACUCAAUGCGGGAAAUCAAUGAUUUUAAAAAUGACGCGUGAAAAGUUGAACGCGUUCCAAAUAUCUUUGAAAAUUUAAAUUCUUUUGAGACGAUGCUAAAAAUGCUAAAAAACGAUGCAAAUGUAUUAAAAACAUAUUUUUUUGGAUUUUCAAUGUUUUUCGCUAUUUUUGAAUUUUUCUGAAAAUUUAUCAAAACAUGGGUCAAAAAUUGGGUAGCAACAAUUACAAUAAAACUAAAUCAUAUGAGGAAAGAGUUGUAGUUUUUCUCACAAAACACUGUGGAUUGCUACAAUAUUUCUCUAAAUGGUUUUUUAUUUUAUUUUAUUAGGAAAAGCGUUAUAGUUUUCCUCACAAAACAUUGUCAAUUGCUACAAUGUUUUUUCCCAUGGGUUUUUUUCCUUCCAAAAUUAUCUUUGUUGGUUUUUUUUUUUAAUAUUAAGUUGGUAGAGAAUUUAGCUUUGUAAUUUGUUUUUCUUUUUAUUAACUGAAAAGCUAAAUCAUGUGGCGAAAGCACUGUAUCUUUCCUCACAAAACACUGUAAAUUACUACAAAUCAUUUUGUUCAGUCUCUAAGUUUUGGAUCACCAACACAACUUUUUUUUUGUCAUGAAAUAUUUGCUCCAUCAUGCCUUUAAUUUCUAUUACUUAUCUAACGCUGGUUCAUAAUUAUAAUACUAUCAAAUACAUUUGUUUUAUAAGCCCGCGACAGCGCGCGGGUAUGUCAUCUCGUAUAUUAUAUAACUUUUCAACACAAAAAGGAUUUUGAUUGAGAGGAAAUUGCAACAAAUUAUCCAUGUGAUGAUACCAUUGUCAUCAUUCAAUUUUUUCCACGAGAUGGGCCGUAUGCUUGCGGCUCUAAAAGCUAUUGUUUUUAAUUUUAUUUCAAUUUAAAAAAUAAAAUAAAUUAGAAGAUAUUUCAUCUUUAAAAUCUUAUUUUUUUUUUUAUGAAUUUCACCUAAAUUCUUACUAAAAUAUUUUGAUUAUAUUCCAGCCAUGUUAUUAUGAUCAAAUAAUAUUUUUUUUUGUUUUUAUAAAAAAUUAUAUAAUUUAGUUUUACGGUAUUAAUUAUAUCUCUUAAUUCGACUGCUGGAUUAGACUAAAAUUUUUUGAGGAACCUCCUAAUAUAUAUUUAUAUCACAAAUUAAAAUAAAGCAAUCAGAAUUUAUAAAAAACUUUGUGAAAUUACUAAUGAUAUUUUUAUAAUUUUAUUAAAAUUUAUAAUUUUAUUACAAAAUAUCAUUUUUUAUUUUUAAAAUACUUAUUGUCAUUGUCAUGGUAAUAAGUCUUCUUCUUUUUCUUUCUAAAGAGUCUAUUUUUUGUAACACAAUCAACAAGUAUGAUGGAUAGGUAUUUGCAGUGUGAAAUGGUUUGUAAGACUUUUGUCAUCAUGCAUUUAUGAGGGAGACCAUUUCUAUCUGCACAAUUGCUCCCUGGGACCGUUGCCAUCAUGCAUUUUUUCCACGAGAUGGGUUCGUGGAAAAUACUUUGGUUUAAUUGGGAAUGCUGUUAUUGAUUGGAAACUUUUUAAUUAAAAUAAAUUUGAUUGGUUUAAGAAACUUUUUAAUUAAAAUAAAUUAAAAUAUCAUUUUCCUAUAUAAAAAAAAUAGUCUAAUUUUACUAUAUCAAUCAUAUUUUUUUAAUCUAAUUGUUAAAUUAGAUUAAAAUUUUAUAAGAAAUCUCCUAACAUAUAUUUAAGGCAAUCAAAGUUUAGAAAGAUUUUGCAAGAUUGUCGAUGAUAUUUUUAUAAUUUUAUUCAAAUUCAUAAUUUUGUUUGGAAAAAUCAUUUUUUAUGUUUUUUUAGAUCAUUUUUUUUUCAAUUUCAUAAUUCAACAAUAGGUUUAUUGAAAAUUAAGAUAUAUAAUUUGUUUUGAUUUAUUUUAUUUGAGGUUAUUAUAGUCUCAUGACCCGAGUCAUGAAUUUUAAAGAUUAACCCAUAUUGAUCAAAAUCGAUCCAAUAUGUUAUUAUCUCAAUAUUUUUUUUAAAAAAAUGUCAUUUUAAUUUUUUUAAGUAAAACUAUAUUUUUAUUAGUUGUCCAAACUAUCUUUGAGCUUAUUGAAUCGAUCGAGUCAUACCGAUUCAACUCUUAUUUUUUUUACUUAUAUUUAAAAUUUAAAUUGCAUAAUUUCAAGCUAGUUUAUCUUUAAAUUUAAAUUGACAUUAUAUUUGUUAAAUUAAUAUUUUGAAUUAUAUAUAUAUAUAUAUAUAUAUAUAUAUAUAUAUAUAUAUAUAUAUAUAUAUAUAUAACUAACAAGUCAAAAUACUCAAAAACCAAAACAUAUUGGUACAAUUAAAAAAAUAAAACACUAAUUAUAACUCAAAAACCAAACCAUUUGCAAGAGAUAAUUACUUAUAUCAGUAGCAAUUUAGUAAUGAUUGAUCAGCAUUUAUAUUAAGAUAGGGCUAUUAAUUCAAAUGUUAAUGGUGUUAGUAACAAUGAUUUUCUUGGAAAGAUGGGUGCCUCUUGAUUACUUGAAAAUAUACGGUUUUUUUAGUUCAAAUCUAUUAAUAAAAAGAAGACUUGCUACUUUCUUUAUAGAAAUUACCUGUGGAAAAUUUAGGCAUUGAAAAAAAUUAAAAAUAAAAUAUUAUUAAUCGUGUUAUUUGCAUUUUGGCAACAAAACUAAUACAGAGACUUGAUUGAUAAAAAUUCAUAAUUAAGAGCAAGCAUUCAAAUUAAAAUAAAUCAAUCAAUCAAUACAAGUUUUUAAUUAGAAAAAAACAAGAUACAAAUACUCCGUGUAAGUAAAAGGUAAUAAAAUUAAAAAAAUAAUUAUAAUCUUAUAAAUUAUUUCAAAUAAAUAAAUAUUAAUUAAAAAUUAAAAAUUAAAUAUAAUAGAUUAAAAUAUUCAAUUUAAAAAAGAUGAGAGAAAAAUAAAUGAGAAUCAAAGUUGAUAUAAAAAUCAAAUUAUAAAAUAUAAAAUUCAAAACAAAAUAAAACCAUUUUUUUUUCUAAAAUAAGAUAUUCAUAUUAAAAGCAUAUAUAUAAAAAAAUACCUCCUUGUUUCUUCCUUCCUUGUUUCAAUUUCAAGAUAUUCAGAAUAAAACCCAAUCGUAUAGCUAGUUGGGCUGAGAAGAAAGGUUUGCUUUUGUAUUACAAAUUAUUUAUAUUAGUUUUUUUAAAUAAAUCAAAUUAGUAUCAUUUUGGUUCUCCAUAGAAGAAAAUAGAAAAAAUAUUUAGUAAUAAGGUGUUAUUUAAUUCCUUACAUUAUUAAUAUAAUCAUACCACUACAACAUAUAUUAUUACAUUAUCAGUAUUAUUAUAAUCAUGGUAUCAUCACUGUAACAAUAAGUUCUCUUACUUAUAUUUUCACCGCCGCAACCUCUUUAUCAAUCAUAAUGAAAUUACUGCAAUAAUAUAUAUUUUUUGAUUCUAUUACAUGAAGUCUUAAUUUAUUUAUUUAUUUUUAUAUAGGUAGUUAUGAAUUAUAGAAAUUGAACAAUUUAGAGAUCUUUGAUUUAGAAUCUAAUCGUUUCAAUAACAGUAUUCUAUUAUAGAGGGAUUUUUAUAUCUUAAAUUAUUAUAUUUAGAUUAAAAAAUAAAAACUAAUUAUAAGUCCAUUAAAUUAAAAAAAAAAUCUCAAAAGAUAAAAGAAGAAAAGCAUAAAAAGUACACUACUCAGCCAAUAAUCGACCAAAAUCACGUGUUGUCCACUGCCAGAACUUAUUAGCAAUUUGCUUACAACAGCAAAUUGAUCAAUAAAAGAGACUUAAAUUCAAAAUUUAAAAACCAACUCAAUUGAGAUCCUUAUUAUUCAUUCAAUUUGUUGCUUUUUUUUUUGGAUUCGAGAAAAUCCCACCCUUCAAAAAAACACAUUUUGAAAUAAAGGAAAUCCCAAGCCUAGGACAACAAAAGAAAACAUCAUGAAAAAAAAUGAUUUUACAAUAAUACACCCCGUGCCAGAGCAUAUAAUUAGCAGAAAUAAAGGUUGUACAAUUCUUUCACAGCUUACAGUAUGUGUAGAAUAGGCAUUAAUAAUUACCUUCAUCUGGAUCACCCGAACUACCUGCAACAUCUAUCAUCACAUCACGCGGGCCACCCUAAGUACAACAAACAAGGAUAUGGUCACUUGCACUAUCUGAGCAGAACACACCUCCAGAACCAAUAUUACUCAGGAUUCUUUGCAAGUCUUCCAAUCUCACUGGUUCUGAUGAAGAGUUUACAUCAUUCAUUACUUCUGCACCAAGGUCUGGGACAACUAAGUUUCCAGUCCUGAGAGCGAUGAGCAAAAAUCUCAUCAGAAUAAAAGAAAAUGGCUACGUAAUAUUUACUGGGCCAUUUCUUUUUGGUAAUAAAAGUGCUCCUUAACCUUUUUGAAGUUAUUUUACAAUGAAUUACAAGCAUUAAACAUGUAUAUACAUGGACAAACACCAAGUUAUGAUUCUAAAUUUCCAUAUAAAAGAUGCCCCAAGUUUUAGAAUUUACCUCGAGGGCAAGUCUGUGCAAGGGCAUAAGGGGACGAAGGAUUUGACAUGGCUAAGGUGGGUGAGAUGUUUUUGUCAAGAAAUGAUUUUGGAAAAUUUCUUGAUAUUUCUUCAAUAAAUAAGAUUGGAGUCUUUAUCAAGGCAAGAACAUAGGCUCUCCAAGAUGAUUGACCAGAAGGAGAGAAGAGAGGCUCAUUCUGCUCCACUGACUCUUAGUCUCAAAGAGCAAAAAAUUACUUAGCUCUAUAUCCCUACUCUUACUUGCUAUAUCAACUCUUAGAGUUGAAGUAUCAUAUUUGAGUAUGCUUCUUUGUUAUAAUAAAUAUACCUUGAUGAGAUAUUAUCUUCAAGCAUGUCUUCAAAAGCUUGGAAAGGAGUAGAAGCAACAGGCUUUUCUUCAUCAAGGAACUCUACCAGGCAACAAGAUAAAGCAGCGACGUUGCUGCUGGAAAAACUUCACUCUUGAAUGAGUGCUGAAGUUAUAAGCCAGGUUAUUAGUUUGAAGGAGUAAAACUGGUUAGUAAAUUUUUAGGAAGACCAAUUCACACAUAUAGAGUGUAGAACUAAAAUAAAUAAAUAAAUAAACAGGAAGUAGAAAACAGAUCCUGUCAAUCGACACGUCAAGAAAAAGCUACCAAGCUCUCACCUCAAAAGAAUAUUAACAAAACAAACAACAGAAAAGGAAAUAAAAACCAAUAUUGGAAGAGAGAAACAAAAUCCCCAGGCUCAAAAACAUAAUAAUAACUAUGACACAUCUUCUACAGCAUUCAAAUUCCUAUCAAGCCACUGUAAAUGAAGCAAACCCUCAUCACCCUGGAACAAUUCAAAAAUUUCGACUUCAAACAGGAAACAAGAUGCUAGAAACACUCUAUCUAGUACUUAAGAUAAACCAAAACAACAGAAGUAACUAAAAAUCUUUACACAGGCACGAACUCUAUAUAUAACAAAAAAAAACCAAAAGACACCAGUUUACCCUUCCAAUGCGAAUAAGUCCUUUUCGAGAAUCAGGAACAAACUUUUUUCCAUCGAAAACCAUUUUACCAGCAUGAAACUCCAACAUAAUUUCCUACCAACAAAACAACCACAACAUCAUAACAUAACCCCAUCAAGAAAAACAUACUUAUACAUCCAAAAAAGCAAUUACAGGCUCUAAUUAAUAAGAUACAAGAUUUUAAGCAAAACCCACAAUUUUAAAAGUGAUUUUAUUUACCUGCAUUGCUGAAAUAUCUAUAGCCGAUGAAGAACCCAUUUUUCGCAUACUUCCUCUAAAGCUUCCUUUUUUCCAACACUGCAAAAAAAAAAAAAAAACAAAAAAAAAGGACAAAUCAAAUACCCAAAUCAGAAACAAUAACAGGAAAAAAAUAAAAGAAAAUCCAAUGCUGGAAGUUGUAAUCAGGAGGAGAACCAUACAAUUUCUGAUGGAAUGACAUUUUAUCAAGAAUUGAACUAGGCAUUCAGUUAAUUAAAUAGGUUGUAAUCAGGUGAGAGUAGUGUCAACAACAUGUUUAGUUUUCCUCUCGGAAGUGUCAUUCUGCACAAGUCAGUGUUUUAAAAAUAUUUUUUUAAAAAUUUAAAUUUGUUUUUUAGUGGUUUUAAUUUAUUUUCAUGUAUUAAUAUUAAAAAUAAUUUUAAAAAAUAAAAAAUAUAUUAUUUCAAUUUAUUUUAAAAUAAAAAAAAACUUAAAAAAACACUGUUAACACAGUAUUAAACAAACUCUAAUCCUAUAACCAGAUGAACAACGUUAAGAUAUUUGUUUUUUGUUUUUUGUUUUUUUUUUUUUGAUAAUGAGAAUGUCCUAAACAAUCUUGCCUAAUGAUUGUUCAGAAAUGAAAGAGGCAACGCAUGGCUAAACCAAUGGAAGCUAAUUAAGCUAAUGAUGUCCCUAGCUAGUAAGCAAUUGUUGCCGCAAUGACAUAUGCCUCGUUAGAGAUAGAUUUGAAUUUACAUAUUAGUAUUAUCAUAUAUUUUGUAUUGUCCUUUAAAAAAAUAAAUAUUUUCCUUAUAUGGAGUUCAGUGUUUUUAAUUUUAUCAUGUAAAAUUUAUAUUUUUUAAAAAAAUUUAAUACAAUAUACAGUUAAUUAAACAUCUAUAAAUUAAUAUCAUUGAGAACAUGAAAUUUAUUAAUUAAUUAAGAUAUUAUUUAGUAAAUAAAUUUAUACACUUAUAGAUUAAUCAAUUAAAAAAUUUCUUUUUCAAAAACAUUGAACUCAAUACAUGCAUCGUGUAUAAUAUUAUCUAAUCAUCAAAUUAUGAAUUAUCAUAAUUCUAUAUAUUUAUUUAAAUAAAACAAGUUCAAGAAUUAAUGUAAUCAAUCUUAUUAAUUAAUAAAAUUCAUGUAUGUAUUAACAUACAAGCAAAAAAUCUAUAAAAAGAAUAUACAAGUGAGCCAAACAACAAUAUAUAUUAAAAACGAACAAGAGGUCGAAUUAAUAUCCAUUAACUAAUAGUAAAAUUAAGAAGAUGAUACCAAACGACACAAAAUCACAAAAAAGCAUUUAACAUUCAGAGAAAGAAGCCUGCAACACCCAUUAAGGAAAAGAGAGAAGGGAAAGAAAUGUAGAUUAAUUGAUACAGAGGAUCACCUUGUUCCAGACCAGCGCGAGACUGUAGGAAGAACCCAGACGAACCAAGAGCAAAAAAUGCAGGAGAGAUAAUCAUGAGAGAAACAAAUUCAUAUAUCCACGAAUAUGUACAAUAUUUGAAACCUAUAAUGCAAGAAUAGCUGCAGAUGUACAUUAAUAUUUUUAAUUUAAAGAAUCAAUUAAUUAUUUAAAAAACUUGAGGGAUUAAUUUGUUUGUUUCACAAAAAAUAGACAAUGGUUAUAUAAAAUUUUACUUAAAUUUUUAUCAUCAUAUUUUAAAAGAAACCAGUUUAUGUUUUGCGCAACACGAAAAAAAUCAUAUAUGCUUAAGUAAUUAUUUGGCAUCUUAAACUCAAUUUAGUAAAUUAAUUUUAAUUUUUUUCUAUCUGGCUCUUUUUCUAUAUCAAAUUUAAAAUUAACCAACAUAAAAAUUAUCCUCAAAUGAUACAGUCAAUAUGAUAGGUUUACAAAAAUAUAUUAAAUUGAUUCUAAUUUUAUGGCUUAACUCUUCAAACUCACUACUCGAAUAAUAGACUCCAUCUAGUUGUAAUUAUUAUUUUGUUUUUUAAUUAUUUUUUAUUGAAUAAUAUGAUAACAAUAUCAAUUCAAAAUCAACUAAAUAUUAAAGAAUAAAAUAAAAAAAAUAAAAAAAAUUCAAUUGAAAAAAAAGGGAGAAGAAUGGUAGAGUUUAAAAGCAAAUAAACAAUAUGACGUCAUUGUUAGAGCACCUUAACUAUUUCAUGAAAUUACUGUUCCUUUUUACUAUAAUGAUGAAGUUUCCACAUAAUAUAAAACAUGCUUAUAAAUUAAUAGCCGAAAUAAAAAUUAAAUUGAGACGACAAUCAAUUCUUUAACUUUAAAACGAUUUAUUAACAAUAGAAUUGAGAAGGCCCGCCACAGAUCAAGAGGACAGCUUCAAUGAAGCCAUCCCAGCCAAUGCAGGUGAUUACCCGUCGGUUGAAGUCUCAUCGCGCGCCUAGCACCAGCCAAACCGCCUCAAUCUGAACAUGCACCAGACAAAGUUCAUGAAAAGACGCCAGGGAGCCUCAGCAGCUGAGAAGAAAGUGCGGGAACACCCACCGCACGAGAAGAAACGUGAAAAGCAGAGAGGGAGCGCGGUAAAGAUUGUCAAGCCACGGGAUUCACACACAGUGCACCGAGUUUUAAUGAGCACUCUUAGUUUUUUUUUUUUAUAUAUAUAUAUAUAUAAUUCUUUUAGUUUUAGUUUUAGUUUGUUAGUUAUGAACAGUGAAGCAGCACCAGAAUACAGUUUUUUUAGUUUGUUAGCGAAUCUGGAAAAGAAUAAAGUCAUCUGUCAAGCUCUGUUCACUUUGGUCCGACAUUCCUCACCUCUCCCCACCUGAGCUCUCUCUCUUUCCCUCCUCCGCUUUCAGAAACCGCCGCCGCCACCACCUCAACCAAUAAGGCUUCAAAUCUCACCCAGAUGCUUCCUUUUCUAUUAUGUUUUUGUUUUUUAAAAUUUACGUCUGCUUUUUCAUUUAUUUAAUUGAAAUUACUAUCCAAAGAGAGAAAUUCGAUUUUAAUAAGUAAAUUAAAAAGAUAUAUAAUCGGACCCGAUGAAAUCGCUGCUCGUGAACGCAACUCGAAGAAAGGCGCAAUCAGCCGACUAUACAAUGGGUGGAGCAUUUAAUAUGGUCAGGGUUAUUGUGUUGUCUAUUCAAAGAAAGAUGUGCCUGUAAAUUUGUUAAGUUGAUUCUUAUCAGUCUACUCUUUAGAGUUGAUGAUAACAUGAAAUACUCGUUGUUAAUGCUCGUUGUUUUCUUCUUCUUUUUUCCUAGAUUAAAACAUCCUAGACAAUCUCUUUGGGAUGGUUUAGUAUUUCUGGCCUCUUCAUCUUCUAUUUGUGCUAUGGUUUUUAGUCUGCUGAUAUUGUUGAUAUUCAUUGGGGAUUGAAAGGCCUCGUUUUAUGACUUUGUUUUGUCUUCUUCUUAUUUCUUUAUUCUUUUGGGGAUGCGGCAUUUUCCUCUUUCAGAGAAAUAAAUAUAUACAUAAAUAACAAGAACAGGACGGGAAGGAGAGGGGGUUUUGACAAUAAGUAUUUGCUUAGAAGGGAAUGCUUCUUUGGUUUAGAAGCACCAUGAAGAUUCAGGCCCAAAUCUUUGCUUAGAAUGCCCGAAAUAAAUAUAUCACACACUUCUUUUUUUGUUUUUUGUUUUUCAUCUUUUCAUGUGUUUCUCACAAGAAGCAAACUUGAGGGAACAUAAAGUGUUGGGAAGUGAUUUUUGUUGGAAUUUCUUAUGUAAUCUCUUCUUUCGAUGAUGACCUCUUGGAUGGCUGCAUGAAGCUUAUUCCGCUUUGAAUUUCAAGGUUAAUCUAUUGUUGUGAGCAUACGUCGAGUUGCAACUGAACUUAAAUGAAUGGUGUUGGAUUUGGGCCUUCCAUUUGUUUUAACUUCUACAAGGUUGAAAUGAUAGUGAUCUUAAAGUAGAAAAGCAGCUGACAAAAAUCAAUUAGCCACAAUGACAGCUACUGCUGGCACUUGAAUGUUUUGUUGACCUCUCUACAUCCAAAAUCAUAUAGACAGCUACUACUGGCACUUGCAGUGGUCAUUGAAUACUGUAGAGUAUAUAUUGCAGUGUGAGAUAAGGUUAACUAGUUGCAUUUUCAUAUAUUGAAAGGAUUUCUCUUCUUUUCUUUGUCAAUUACAGCACAUGCAUAGAAGUGUUCUUACUCAGAGUAAAUGCUAUUGUAAUGUUUUCACGGACUCCCCUGCUUUGCAACUAAGUCACUAAUUAUCUUGGAACAUAGCCAUAAAUGAAAGGGUCUUCCAGUUCAAGAAAAUUAACCAUGAAGCUAGUAGCUAGAAGGGUGGCUAAGUAAACUUCUAUACUUUGUACCUCUAGAAUAAUGUAGGGAAAGGAUGUCUAUGUAUUUUGAUGUCUUAUAUUACUUGACCAACUCUUGCUUAUAUCAUUAUUUGUUUUUACUUUUUGCUAAUGAUUCCACACAUUUCUGAUAUUGGUGUGGUUUAUGAGUUCAGGGUUCUUGCUCGCUGCUGCUACUUCUCUAUAUUUGCCUGGUCAUUAAAAAUGAAACGUGAUGAUUUGCAUAUGCAGAAUGGAGACAUUAAAGAGGCAUUUUCUAUUUUCUGGUCAGGAGAGAUUACAAGAACUCAAGAAAUUUACCAUACAUUUUGAGAGGAAAAAAUUUAUACUACCGCUACCAAUAAGGUAUUUGCUUAAUGCGAGGUUCAAUAAUUAAGAUAUUAUCUAGACAUGAAUAUACACACACAUUUAUGCUUGUACAAAUGUGCGUGUAGAGUUCACAUCUUUUUGUUAAUUCUCUUGACAAGUGUUUUAUUUAGAGUGACCAAGUUCAAGUACAUGGGAAGUGUGCAAAAAGCAAAUAGCGAAUCAAUACAUAAAUAAGUAAAUAAAAAGAGAGGAAACAGAAGUAUAUCCUCACAGAAGAUGAAAUGAUAGAGCAUAUAUCCAUUUUCCUCCUCUUGUAAUGUUUUAUUAUUAAUAUCUGAUUUCAAUCUGAUUAUCUGCAUAAAAUAUCUCUGGAGAUGCUUUCGAUGGAGAUCAAGUUCAAAAUGCCAUGCCCACUGCCCCUAUAGAUCCAGCAGGUAAUAAUGCAUCCGAGUUGAAUUUCUAAACAUCUUACCUUUUGUUUUUCUUCUCACAUUGUUAUCAAACUCUUUUACAUUUUAUUGCUGCAUAUUGUAUGUGUGUCGCCUUGCUGGAAAAAUGGCAUGAUCACCUCCACGAUGCUAAUUCUGUAAUGCAUGUGAAGUGUUUCAUCCUUAACUUGUUAAGGAACAAGGACCGUGAUGCAUGACUAUUUUAUAUUUUAUGAUUGAGAUGGUAGAUUUUAAAGAUUUUCCUGUUUAGGAGAUAAGACGUCACUUUCUUGCUUUUCUUUCGAGAGAGUAUUUGAUCCUUUUUUUGUAUAAAAUAAUGCUGCCAUGCAUUGAAUUUCCAAACAUCUUACCUUUUGUUUUGUUUGUCGCAUUUCUAUCAAACUCUUUUCCAUUUUAUUGCGGCAUAUUGCUAUGUGUAUGGCAUGCUUUAAUCAAAAAGUUGAGUAAUUGAUGAAUGUUAGGCAAGAAAAUUACAGAUUAUUUUUGUUUUCUGCCUCCUCCUUCUCUUUCCCCCACCCCGAAAAUUGUCAUAUUUUUUUUUUCAGCCGCCUCUUCUUCCCCCAACCCUAAAAAUUGUUUAUAUUUGCUUUGGAAGCAUGGCAAACUUCACUGCCUCUCAGCUUAAGGAGAUUGCAGCAGGUCUCGAAGCUUCUGGGCAUCAAUUUAUCCGGGUAUUUAGAAGAAGAAAAAAAAGAGUCAAGAAGACAAGGAAGAUUGUUUACCUCAAGGAUUUGAGGAAAGAAUGGAAGGCAAAGGGCUAUUAUUAGAGGAUGGACACUCCAAGUUUUGAUUCUUGAUCAUGAAGCAAUAGGUGCAUUUGUGACUCAUUGAGGAUGGAACUCAACUCUUGAAGGCAUAAGGCCAAUAUGUGCUGAGCAAUUCUAUAAUGAAAAGUUGGUGACUGAUGUUUUAAAAAAUGGAGUUAAGGAAUGGCCUAGAGUGCAUGGAGAUCAUGUUAAAAGUGAAGCUGUAGAGAAGUCAAAUUAUGAUGGGUGAAGAAGCAGAGGAAAUGAGGAGUAGAGCAAAGAAGCUAGGAGAAACGGCCAGGAAGGCUGUUGAAGAAGGUGGAUCUUCUUGCUCUGAUUUCAAUGCUUUGAUCGAAUAACUGAGGUGGGGUCGCCAUUGAAACAAAGGCAGAAGUAAGUGUUGUCACUCGUGCAUAGAAUAUUUUGUUUCUACUUAGUAGUGGUUUUGGCAAUAUAGACAAGUCUUGAGAGUUGAAAGAGUAAUCACAGCCGAGUCAAUGACCAGUCCAAAUCAGUUCCCUUCCUACUAGUUCAGGAAUGACAAGUCCAGCUUAUAUAUUUAGCCCAAAUAACUAAUCAAAUAGAAAGGCUGAGCUUAGAGGCAGUACACUACAAAAUAAGUACCCAAUGUCUUAGAGACAAACAAUCAUCAUAAACUAGGAAAGACCGUCUCCCCAGUAACAAAUUCACCUUCUGAAGUUGGAGAACUUACGAAAACUAGCCACCACAAAAUAGUAGCAAGUAUCUAAAUUAUUUCCAGAGAGAUCUAACUGCUUCAAUUCACACCAACUUGUAUAAUUUAUCUCUAAACAGUCAAAAUAGUGUUAAAAGAAUCUUUUAUUGAUGAUGUGAUUAUAUUUGUUAAUUUACCUUGAGCGGGUAAAGUGACAUAGAGGUCACAUUCACCAAUAGACAAAACUUGAAGAGCAGGCAAUGCUCCAAUGUUAUGGAAAAAGUUUAUUAGGAGAGAAGUACGAUCUAGAUACAAUUCUUCAAGGGUGCUAGAAUUGAAGAAAGUCCCUGUAAAAAAGAAACAAAAAGAAAAAAGAUAUGAUGAAAAUGGUGGUGGUACAUAAUAGGCAUUCCAUUCAAUAUUAUUAAUUAAGAUUUUAAGAAACUAAACUAUGAUUAACCUUGAUUUAAAUUAGUAUCCUUAAGAGAAAGGAUCUUCAGGGAUGGCAAUGACUGCAGGAAGUCCGACUUCCUUAAACCUAUGAUGUGUAGAAUUGAAAACAGGCAAUCAAGAAAGUAGUGAAAUUAAGUGCUAUCUUGAUUGAGUUUUUAAGCCUAUGAUAAAGAACUAAUGUUGAAUAGUGAGAUGAUUUUUGGAUAGAAACAACAAAUUGCCUGAAAAAUCCAGAGAUUUCACAACUUUACCAUAGACAGUCGUCGAUCCUAGCAACAUAUCGCCUGAUAAAUUUAAAGACUUGAGAUAAGAAAAUCCACGCAGAUGUGAUAAAAUGUUGUCGUUGAAUAUAUUAUAGCUCAGGUCUAGAUUCUCGAGUUUCCUCAAAUGUGAUGAUAUGAUCUCAAAACCUGCCAGAGAAACUAAAGAUAAUUAGAAUUGAUGAGAUGCUGUUGUUCAAUUGAUAUAUGAUUCUCAAAUUAUACAUACAUAUAUAUAUACACACACACACACACACACACACACACAUAUAUAUAUAUAUAUAUAUAUAUAUAUAUAUAUAUAUAUAAUUGAUAUUUAUAAAAGCAUUAACUGUAGAGGAAUAUUUGGUACUUUGUUUCCCAAUAAAAAAUAGAUUUUUCUGCAAAGUAGCACCAAAAAAAAAACUGUUCAAAACUUAUAUAAGAAAUUAUACAGUUAGCGAGUCACAGAUGAUGAAUCUUAAAAAAAAUUGGCAAUAAUAACAGUACUCUAUUGCUAUUAAUUAACUUAAAUAUUCAAAACUUAAAAAUAGUUUUUAAAUUUAUCCAUGCCAAUUUAUCUUAAGAGAGUCGCAAUCUGUGACUAGUUAAAUUAUAUUGUUUCUGUAAAUAAAUUUUGAAUUGUGUUAUUUUUUGUUCUAGGUGCUAUUUUGCAAAAAAAAAAAAAAACCUCCAAAUAAAAUAAUAAGAUUAACGUUUAAGUUGUCUAUUGUUCUUGGAUUUGUAGGUAUAACAACAGAAGAUAGCAAUCAAAAGCGAUGGUGACAUGGUAGAGCUUUGAGUUAUUGCUGUGUUCUAAUGAUGAAGAUGUAGGAAAACGAUCUCCCUUCUGCUGUCUGGAGCUGGGCUUCCUCUCCCUGUAAGAACAAUCAACAUCUUAUCUGCGUUGUUGUUAGUGGCCACUUCAUCGACCCAUUAGUGGGUGGAUUUUAAGCUUAAAAAGGAUUUUUUUUAUAAAAAAAAAAAGGAAGAGAGAGGGGGGGCGCAUCAUCACGUGAAAGCAAGGAGCUUGCCACCCAUUAUAGAGUGUGGGGCACUCUUGCAUCUAAGAAUAAAUGAUCCUGAGGUUGUUCUGGUGAUGGGUAUUGGCCAUUACAUAAAGCUUCGACAAGCCCUUUUAGCUGCCUGUUAUUAGAAUUUGUAUAAUGAGCAUUCAAACUUAAACUUCUUUAAAUGGGAUGAAAACGAGUGAAAAUCAAGAAGUUGGAGGUGUUCAUCUCUAAUGCAUAGCUAAAGAUCCUUUGUAAGAAAAUACAGCUAAGGACAAAAGUGUGUGUGUGUACCAGAGAAAUUGUCGAUAAUAGCCAUCAUUUUCUUUGUCUCUUGUGUCAUAUCUUCCAAAAAUCUUAAAGUAAUUGAUGAAAAAGUGGAUAUAUCACUUUGUCUUCUUUAUAGCACUGCUGGCCACUGUGAGUUAAAGCAUUAAAAGGUCGUGAACGCGGAUGCUUGACGAGCGAGUGUUUACUUGUUAAUUUUUUUAGAAGGAAUCUGGAAAAGAAUAAAGUCAUCUAUUUCACUUUGGGACAACAUUCCUCACCUCUCCCCGCCCUCCCUCCCUCCCUCCCUCCCUCUUCCGCCUCUCGGAAACCGCCGCAUCCAAUAAGGCUUCAGAUUUCUGCCAGGUGCUUCCUUUUCUAUCAUGCUUUUGUUUUUAAAAUUUAUGGGUAUUUUCAUUUAUUUUAUUGUAAUUAUUAUUCAGAGACAGAAAUCCAUUUUAUUAAGUAAAUUAAAAAAAACAAGUAAUCGAUCCGAUGAAAUCUCUGCUAGUGAACGCAAUUCGAUUUUAAUAAGUAAAUUAAAAAAGUAUAUAAUUGGAUCCGAUGAAAUCGCUGCUCGUGAACGCAAUUCAAAGAAACGCACAAUCAGCCGAUUCUAAUAUUCUCUUUUUCAACCCCACCCUAAUUUACAUGAUAUUAUCCGAUUUUUCUCACAGUUAUUGUUGUAAUAAUCAAGCCCUGAAUUCUUGAACCCAAAUUUAUUUUAUUUUAUUUUUUUAGUUUUAUUUUUAAGUUGAGAAUAGAAAUCAAUUCAAAUCUUUUAGGCCCGAUCGAUAAUUUGUUAAUUAGUUUAUGCAGCAGCUGGAGUGGAAGAGAUAUUACUGCCGGAAUGGCCGAAAAAUGAGCUGUUUGGUUGAUUCUUCUUUUUUGGAAUUUACUGAAUUCUUCAAAAUUAUUGUGUUUUUAACAACAAUACGAUAUCCUUGGGUUUUAUGCUCGCUCACACAUGGAAAAAAGAAAGAAAGAAAAGAACUUUAAAUUUUAUAAUUUGGUCAUGUUAACGCGAAAAAAAUAAAAAUAAUAGGUCUGCCUUGAUAACCCUACAGGAUAUAUCUUUCUUUUUAGGACUGCUCAGCUGGUCUUGAGUAUGAGGUGAAAGCUUGAGAGCAUGUGGAAGUGUAAAACAAAUGACUUCGUUCACUUCACCCCAAAGGCGUACCUGUGCAUCUAGUUAGGAAGAACAUUUUAUAACUUACCUCAAGGUCGAACAUGGUCAGGGUUAUUGUGCUGUCUAUUCCGAGAAAGAUGUGCCUGUAAAUUUAAUCUUAUUUCAACAAGAGUUGUUAAGUUGAUUCUUCACAGUCUGCUCAUUAGAGUUGAUGAUAACAUGAAAUAUUCAUGGUUAAUGCUCGUCGUUUUCUUCUUCUUUUUCCUAGCUUAAAAACAUCCUAGACAAUCUCUUUGGGAUGCGUUAUUGUUUGUGGCCUCUUCAUGUUCUGUUUGCUGGGGUAUUUAGACUGCUGAUAUUCAUGUUUGAUGAUUUUGUUUUGUUUUCUUAUUCUUUCUUUAUUCUUUUGGGGAUGUGGUAUUCUCCUCGUUCUAUUUACACUAUUUGCUCCCUACCACAUUUAUUCUUUCAGAAAAGUUAAUACAUGCAUAGAUAACAAGAACAGGAGGGGAGGGGGAGGGGGUUUGACUGUAUGUAUUUACUUGCGAGUAAAAAUUGGUAAGCACCUGAAAAACGGUCCUGUGCUGAAUCUAAAUUGGUAAGAUGUGAUAUUCUGAUAUCUAGAAAGAUAACUUAAUCUAUCUAUUGAAGUAAAGCAUUUAAAUGCGUAUACAAUGCUUUUGGAUCAUUAAAUAUCUAUUUGAUCAGAAUCUGUGAACCUAAAGCCACAAUGAAUACAAAUGCAAGUUUGUCAUUGUAAACAUUGCAUCGAUGAUGCAUCACAGGUGUUGCUAGAAAACAUCAAGUUAAAAUUGAAGCACCAUGAGUUUCUCUAUGGCUUGGUUUACCAGCACUCACCAUCUGUUGGUGCGGCAAGUUAUGAACUAGCUGGCUAGUUUUUUGCUUCCUUGGUUAUUGUAGAAUUGUGAGUAUGAAAAUGAUAUUUCUCUUAUUCUUGAUGCAUGAGUACAGUAUGUAUAUAUACAGGUCUAGGAUUAAUCUAAAUCCCUAGAAUCAAGCUAUAAUUGAAUGCAUAUAAAUCAGCCCUGCAAUCAGCCCUAUAAUUGACAGCCCUAUAGUUGACUUACUCUAUUUAGAACAAUAAUCAAUCCUAUAAUUGAUUUACUAUAUUUACAACAGUUAUAGAAGCACCAUGAAGAUUCAGGCCCAAAUCUUGCUUAUAAUACCUGAAUACCCGAAUACCCAAGAUCCUAGCACCUUGCCCUGAAUGGUCGUGUAUAUUUGUUAUGGCUGUUCAGAUUUUAUGCAUCCAUAUUUGGUAGAAUUCUUUAAUAAAGUACAAGCUAUUAGAUGGAAGUUCUUUUUAAAUCUAUUCAAGUCUGAAUAAACUGAUAUUCCAAUUUUCAUGACUUUGAUGUGCUCUUACUCUUCUGCUGUUCCUGACUUUAUUUUUAGGGUCUAUUCUAACGUGCAAUAUAAUUAAUUUUUUUUGUGGUGAUAAAAGUGAUUUUUUUUGGUUGGCCAAAACCCCAUGGAUGCCAAUAAUUGGAGGCUCACUGCCCCAGGCGGAGAACCUGUGAUGGACACAGGUGAUUGGAGAACUCAAUUGCAGCCUGACUCACGGCAAAGAAUAGUCAAUAAAAUGUAAGUAUCUGUUUCCUAAUAUGUGCAAGUGCUGCAAAAUAGUAUAUCUUGUAUUUAAAUGAAAGAAAAAGAGAAGGGCAAAAGGUUAAUUAAAAUCAGCAGGACUGCCAUGAGGCAACC